ACGCCGGCUUCGCCAGGAGCCGCCAGUCAGGCUGCCCUCGUGCUACCGGCUCAGGCGACAACAACCUGGCGCCGCUAGACCUGCAAACCCCCACGGUCUUCGAGAACGACUACUACAUAAACCUCGUCCAGAAGAGGGGCCUCCUGCACUCAGACCAGGAGCUCUUCAAUGGUGGCGCUGCCGACACGCUGGUCCGGGAGUAUGUCGGUAGCCAGAGUGCCUUCUUCAAGGACUUUGUGGAGGGAAUGAUCAAGAUGGGGGACAUCACGCCGCUGACGGGGUCGAACGGACAGAUCAGGAUGAACUGUAGGAGGGUCAACUAAGAUUGUUCUCCCCUUUCCGCAGCAACAAUCCGAUGUUGUUACCAUGCUUGAUUUGCCCCUUUUCACUUAAACUCGUUUGUUUCCUUUUCUUUUAAGGUUAAAAUGUUAAAAUAUAUUACAAUACUGCCCUUUUGUGGCAUGUUCAUGGAAGAACUGAACAUGGAUGCACUGGCAAAAGAACAAAGAGCAAAGUGAGAUAUGACAAAUCAACAAUUUUAAUGUAUGGAGUGGCAAAUACUCAAAUUAUUAAGUAAAGAGGGGCUAAAGAUCAAAUCCCAUAUGCUUGGAACUCAAGUUAUGAUCAACUCUGAUAAAGUCCCCACCACACACUACCGACAAAGAACCCAUGGGUUCCCCUCCCUCCGCCCGCCACUUAUAAAGAUAUCACUUGGAAAAUAAAAACACUUGGCACAGAUCAUGUAGAACAUGACACCAACGAAUAAAGUAUGAUAUGCAGCAGAGUUUAAGCAUGAUAUCGAACAAAGAAUAGAGUUUACAAGACAUACAAGAGAUUAUAAGUAAAGACGCAAGUCUUGUAACACACACUAUACACUUUUUGUCAUCCAUUGGCAUCAAAGACACCAAAAUGUGAGAAAAGUUAACUACCCAGUCCAUUGAACUAUGCACUGGCCGAAGAAGGAGAACUCUCUUCAUCUUAUGACCUCCAGUAACUUCUCAGUCUUCAUGUACAUAGGCAGUUGGGAAUGUCCAUUUAAUUAUAUUCUAUAUUUAAAUAUCUAGCUUCCACUAACCCAUUUCUCUUAACAUGCAAGCAUGUCAUCUUAGCAAGCAACAUGCAUGGGAAAAUACCCACCUCAAAAUACAAUCAUGCAUAGGAGAAAACCCAACUCAACAUGCAAACAUGCAUUAAUUUUUAUUUCAUUGGGCUAUUUAUAUUUAAUAAAUAUUUUAGAACUAUACAAUAAGCAUUAGAAAAUAUAUUUAUUUUUAGUUAUAGUUCUCAUAUUAUUACUAUAAUCAUGCAUAGGAAAAGGUCCAUGUCAACAUGCAUGACAAUUCAUUCUAUUAUUCUAUUAUGCUCUUUAUAUUUUACAAAUAUGUUACAACUAUACAAUAAUGAAACACAAUAAAAUAUUACUCCAAAUAUAAUGCUUCAUACAAUCAAAUAUCAUUGAAAUAUAUUGCAAAAUAUUUCCACAACAAUGUGCGAGGUCAUCUAGUUUUAAGAAAUAGAAAGGAGCUCAAUUGCUAAAAGUGACUAAUUCAUUCCCAGUCUGUUAAGAAAGUCAGGCAUCAACCAAAUUGGAACUCAGGUUAUGACCAAUCUGAUACUUUGUACCCGAAUAUGUGUUUCUCAAUGCGGAUCCCCAAAUCUAUAGAAGAUUUACUUCGGCAAAUUAGACUUGAGAAAAAGCUAAUUCGUAUAGUAAAUAAAAACAGAGAGAUUAUAUCUAUCUUCCAUGCAUAUAAUAUUAGUCAUCGACCUAGAUCUUCUAGAGCUUAGACUCUAGAGUUGAAGUCAACUUUAUUUCUCCCAACUAACUGCCCGUUUGUCUUAUUAAUUGUCUCCUUUGACACAGCCAUGCCCCACAUGCUACUAGCAAGCUACGUGUACAAUCAAGUAAAUAAAACAGAUUUAUGCAUUGUCACAACCGAUAAGUGACAAAUUCCCCCCACAUGCAUUUAGUUUAUACACAGUGUUUGUGGACGUGAUUUUUUUUUCAAGCACAAAUAGUAUGUGUACAUGCAGCUCCGGAGCAACAGAGAAAGUGUUAGGUGGACAAGAACACAACACAAAAUAUUACCCUCAAUCGUCAAGUCUUGCAAGACAAUUGUUGAUGUGGAGAGCAGGGACAAAGCCAGGAUUUUACAUCGAGGGGGGCAAGUAAGACUGGCUUGGUAUUAUGAGUUUAAUGAGGGUUCUGGAAGUGCUAAAAUACCAUGAACAUGGUGUUCUAAUGAGUGGUGGCAAAAAAAAAAGAGUAGUAAUAUGAAGGAAAUCUGAACCUUGGGCAUGGCUUAGCCCCUGUCCCUGGUGGAGAGAAUGAGAGAGACAAUGAGAGAUGGGACUUACGAGUAAUAUAAUCUAAAGAGUAGAGACACCCAACCUACUCUGUGAGUUAGUUUGUUCGUUUGACUCAAGAUGAUAGUGGAUGAACAGUCAACAAUCGAUUCUAACGUUACGAUGUUCAAGUUUUUUUAGGGUGUAUUUGGUUGGAGGAAUACCAUGGAUGGUUUGGGGUUAUCCUUGUUUUUUUGGCUCAUCGGGUUGUUUGGUGAACACUUGUCACACAUAGACUCAACAGUACUAUUCAAAAAGGAAAAGAGAUAGACUCAUUUUUUUAAAUGCAUGUCACUUCAUUAAGAGAGAACGAUAAUUUGAUUACCAGAGGGUUGCAAUAGAGUUCUGAAGCCCCUAACGGCACAAAACCGCAUCCACAUAUACGAAAUGAACAUGUUGACUACUCCCUAUCACCCAGAGUUCUAAGGAAGAAGAAGAAGAUAGAAGGCCGGUCUGUGUAAAAGUUGCCCCUACCUCGUCCAGACAGCCAACACGGGACGCGAUCCUCAGUAGUGACUCGAAGAGAAUAGUAGUAGCGACAAGAAUAGCACCGGCAUGGCAACGAUCCGGGAGCAACAUCAACGCUCAGCAUCGGUCCUACAAAUCGCACAUUAGUGGCAAGAAGCGCAGCAGCAUGGCAAUGAUUCGGAAUCACCGGUAGCGGUGCAUUGCACUUAGUUUUGGUUGCAUGCAUGUAUCGCGCGUCAGCAACAUCACGACACCUUUUGUUUUGUGCUCAUGGAGUAGUUGUGGCUAAUCGGGUCCCAGAGGCAAUACACAGUCAUGGCUUACUAGUGGCCACCGGAUGCGGGCGGCAUGACAGUCCGGAAGGCGGUGCUCGUGCCAUUGCAGUGGUUGGCGGUAGACGGUCCCCACAUCUAGCCCGUGGGUUGCUCCUCUUGUGUGUAGUCAUAGUGGUGCGGUUUGGUCUGAGUGACAACGUGCAUAGCCAUGGUGGGUGGCAGGUGUGGCCUCUCGACUGUCGUCAUUGCCCUCCUCCACCCAGUCGUCCGGCGCAACUCCAAUUUGCUUGACAUUGGAUCUUGGCGGUACGACAACAUCCAGCGACAAGAUAGAGUCUCAGGUCUGGACAACUGCCAUCUACAUCCCCAUGAAGCAGUCUUCCGCUCGAUAACGCAUGUGUUAUGCAUGUGGUCUUGGGUUUGCUGGCAAGGGUGGCGACACGUGGUAGUGUUGUCUCCUACAUAUCUACCAUCGGCUACCACUAGAGAGAUCAAUCCAGCGCUACCAGGUCAUCCUAAACUGGGCUUUUGGCGGUGCCGAUGACCUUCCACUAGUAGAAAACAAGGCUUUGGUCCAGGCCGGGCUAGCCCAUUAGUCCCGGUUCAGUCAUGAACCGGGACCCAUGGGGCAUAGGUCCCGGUUCGUGAGACCAGGGGCCAGCCGGGCCUCGUGGGGCAUUGGUCCCGGUUCGUCUGGACCCUUUGGUCCCGGUUCCAGACACGAACCGGUACCAAUGGACCUCGCUCCUGGCCCACAACCAUUGGUCCCAGUUUGUGGCUGGAACCGGCACCAAUGAGAUGCCUAUAUAUACCCCCUCGCCCACGAGCAGAGCAGUGGAGAGUGCUCUAUUUUUCUGGCCGGCCGUGGGAGAGCUUUGUGGUGCUCUAGCUCACCUCCUAUGCACAUGAGGUGUUCGAUGAAAUGCCCGAGCCACAAUUAAGCUUUCUCCUCUCGAAGCUCCUUGUCCAAACUCCAUUUUCCUCGAGAUUUUUCUAUGUUUGGCGGUCCGUCCUGUCCCGUCCCCGUCCUCACCGCCGUCGAUCGCCCACGCCGAUCUUGUCGCCGGCACCACCGUGGUGAGCCUCUUGAUCUUAUCUUCUUUCUAAAAUAAAAAAGUUCUUACUUGUAUGAUUUAGAUAGAUACUUGUGUACUUUUCUUACUUUUAUUAUUGUUUUUUAUUAGAUAGUGUGAUGGUUUUGGUAUCCGCCUCCGUCGCCCUUGUCCUGUCUAUGAUUCCACUACAAAAAAAGACACAUCCGUGACAUUUUGGGCCGAACGAAUUUUUUUCUGUCAUACAUAUGACACUUCUAUGACGAUAAUUGUGACAAAACCCGGUAUCAUCAUAGAUGUGGUGGGCUCCUACUUCUAUGACAAAAAAUCAUGACAGAAAAUGGGCUUUUCGUCCUGGGCGGGCCGGAGACGCAGCUGCAUGACAUUCUUUGGGCCGUUCAUGACGGAAAAAACCGUGGUAGAAGCGAGGGCGAGGAAAAUUUCGGGGAGUUCCCGGUUACGGUGGGAGGUCGGGGGCCGAGCGAUGCGCGUUUCUCUCGUACACGUAUGCGCGUGUGUGCGAGGCGUUGGCUCUAACUGAACCCGAGCGAGGCGUUGGGCUCUAACUGAACCCGAGCGAUUGCACUGCAGGCUAUGCGUUACUGAACCCGAGCGAUCGAUCGAUGACUGUUAACUGAACCCGAUCGAGCGAUUCCUUCGCUACUGCUGCUAACUGAAGCCGAUUGAUUGGANNNNNNNNNNNNNNNNNNNNNNNNNNNNNNNNNNNNNNNNNNNNNNNNNNNNNNNNNNNNNNNNNNNNNNNNNNNNNNNNNNNNNNNNNNNNNNNNNNNNNNNNNNNNNNNNNNNNNNNNNNNNNNNNNNNNNNNNNNNNNNNNNNNNNNNNNNNNNNNNNNNNNNNNNNNNNNNNNNNNNNNNNNNNNNNNNNNNNNNNNNNNNNNNNNNNNNNNNNNNNNNNNNNNNNNNNNNNNNNNNNNNNNNNNNNNNNNNNNNNNNNNNNNNNNNNNNNNNNNNNNNNNNNNNNNNNNNNNNNNNNNNNNNNNNNNNNNNNNNNNNNNNNNNNNNNNNNNNNNNNNNNNNNNNNNNNNNNNNNNNNNNNNNNNNNNNNNNNNNNNNNNNNNNNNNNNNNNNNNNNNNNNNNNNNNNNNAACAGUAGACGAUGGAGGGGUGGUUGAACAGUAGCCGGUGGAGUAGCACGCGGUGGAGGCUGGAUGAACAGGAGCCCGUGGAGGCUGGAGGAGGUCGACGGUAGCCCGUGGAGGCUAGAGGAGGUCGACGGUGGAGAUGAGCAGUAUCCCGUGGAGUCCCGUUUUGCGGUACGCCACACCCCUCCCGAUGAACAGGACCCCCGUUUUGACCGUAGGAGGUCCGUUUCAUCUGUUUUGCGGUACGCCACACCCCUCCCGAUGAACAGGACCCCUGUUUCGACCGUAGGAGGUCCGUUUCGUCCGUUUUGCGGUACGCCACACCCCUCCCGAUCAACAGGACCCCCGUUUCGACCGUAGGAGGUCCGUUUCCUCCGUUCUGCGGUACGCCAUGCCUCGUUUCCAUCGCCUGUUCCGUCCAAGCCCUCCCGAUGAACACGACCACGCAUUCCGUUCCGACCCAGCCGGUUGGCUCCCACGCGUUCCGUUGCCUCCCGAUGAACACGACGCAUUCCGUUGCCUCCCCAUGAACACGACGCAUUCCGUUGCCUCCCCAUGAACACGACGACGAUGCUGUUUCUCCGUUCCGACCCAGCCAUGUACACGAGCCCUGGCCGUACGUAUGCGCGAGUAGACGUUCGAGACCCCGCCCGUAUGUACACAUACGUGGCCGUAUUUUCUUUCUUGCACCCUGGCCGCUGUACGUACGUGUACAUGCUAUACGCGCGCCUCUACUACGACACGUACGCGCCUCUACUACGACACGUACGCGUCUCUACUACGACACGUGCGCGCCUCUACAUCCACCAGUAUAUAUGUAUGUACAGUUCGCGACCAGAAUGACAACGCUACGUACGCUUCGACCAGGUGGGUCCCGACUGUCAGACACUUCCUUGCGUGCGAAGAUGUAGCUGGUGGGUCCCUGCAGUCAGGGGGGCGAAUCGUUUUGUUUUUUUGCCCGGACGCACUUCCUUGCGUGCGAAGGUGUAGCUGGUGGGUCCCAGCAGUCAGGGGGGAAACGUUUUUUUCGCAAAAUACGGUGGCCCGUCCGGUGGGUCCCCGCUGUCAGGUGGAGGAAUAAUUAUUUUGCACGUAAUAAGGAGGCACUUCCUUGCUGCGGCCGUGGACCCAGCUGUCAGCCUCUCCACGUACAGUCCACGUCCGAUGAAAGCCAUUCCUUGACCACGUUGACCACGCCGCGCCGAGAGCACCAGGGCGGUGGACGACGGCGAGGCCUAGGAAGGGGAUGACGCGGAGCCGGGGAAGCCGCGGCAGUGGAUGCCCACGCGGAGAGGAGUACGAGGGUUCACUGGUUCGGCUGCGGUGUGAGGCUGCCGUCGCCGCAGAAUAACAGGGGGAGUGGGUGAGUGGAGGGAUGGCCUGGCCAGCGGUGGGAGUAGUAUGGGGACGGUGAGGCAUCCGCGGCAGCACAGCCGGCCACGGGAGGCAGGAGCAUGCGGCACGACCGGCGCUGCUUUGGGCGGCUGGGGCAAGAAGACCAGAGGUUGAAGAAGCACUACGGCCGUUGGAUGGACAUCGUUGACCACGACGCGCCGAGAGCACCAGGGCGGUGGACGACGGCGAGGCCUACGAAGGGAACGACACGGAGCCGGGGAAGACACGGCAGUGGCUGCCCACGCGGUGGAGAGUACGAGGGGUGACUGGUUCGGCUGCCGUUGCCGGAAAAUAACAGGAGGUGUGGGUGAGUAGAGGGAUAGACAGGCCAGGGAUGCGAGUAUGAUGGGGCUGUGAGGCCUGCCCGGCAGCACUGCCGGCCACGGGAGGUGGGAGCAGGCGGUUCCGACGGCGCUGGUUUGGGCGGCUGGGGCAGGAAGAUCAGAGACUGAAGAAGCACGAUUGCCGUUAGAUUGACAUCUAAUGGUCUGACGCUGGUAGAGUCGAUUGUUGACUAAGUUUCUUUUUUGAGAAACCUUGUGUAUGCAUGAACUUAGUAGGCCCACAAGUCAGCCUCCAAAUCUCUGGCAGACAACAUAAAGCCCAUUUGCUAUUUUUUAUAAUUUGCAGCCCAUUUGCUAAUUCUUAAGUAAUUUAUUACAGCCCAUUUUCUGCCGAGGACCACGGUCAAAAAGUUCAACCUUAUUUUGCAUAUUUCGGUGGAGUCCGAACUGUUGUAAUCCCGAAAUGAUAAACAUUUUUUAAGAACUUAUUGAUUUGCCAAAAAAAUCGUUUUGUUUUUGUAAGCAAAUAAGGCGUGGGACAAUUGAGUUGGUUUAAGGGAAAACCAGUGGUAAAAAAAUCAGCGCUGGGUGGGAAAAAACAACAAAAAUAAGGAUGUAAAUAUGAAAAGGGAAUUUUAUGUGUUUUCAAUAUAAUGAUACGUGUAUAUGACUAGUAAAACUAUAGGUAGAAAUUAGAAAACGGAUGUAGGACAUGCGUUUCAAGAGGAAAAUCGAACUGGGCUGUGUGUUUGAUUCAGUAAAAAAACUGCCUGCGGAUGUUGUAAGACAAAAUAUAACUAACGCUGGCGGGCCAGAGGCCAGUAGAUACCUGCUGGAUCUUUGUGCCCCGUUGUCGUCAUGGGCUGGGCCUGUUAAAAACAAAACCAACCCUGGGCAGUCUACAGCCCAGUUGAAACUUGCUCGACCUGAAAAAACAAUAUACGUGCUCAAUAAACGAGAGAAUUCUGCAAGUACAGACUGAUAACUGGGAUGCAGCACGGAUAUUGUUUUUUUAUCGUGAUAAUAAGUGCAUGCACUUGUUUCGAAAAAAUUGGAGAACUGGGAAUUCGAACAGCGGGUGCUUAUGCUACCCAUCAAAUAAAAAUCAGGUGCCUAAAAAUUCGUUUCGAAACAAAUGAUUCAGCUUUAUAUCCACGUCGACCCUCGGCAUGAUGGUUGGAAGCAAAUGCAAGUUCAUACCAAAAGAUCGUUAACAACAAUACCAACUUGCGGACGAUAAGGUAGUACAACUACCAAUACCAAACUAACUUAUAAUGUUUUUACUCCUGGCCCUAGUGUUCGUCUGGUAGAAAAUCUUGCAGAGGACCAGCUCCCGCUCCUUCUCUUGCUCCAGGUCCCCGAGGUGGUACUGGUGCAUCACCCAAUUGGUCCUCUGCUGGUCGAAGUUCUUGUUGGUGUGCAGCACCAGAACCUUUUUUGCUGCCCGUUUGCCGGCCGUUGACCAUCACCGGCAAGGUAUUGCCGGUCUUGUGCCACAUCGCGUGCAUGCCGCACUCCGACUGUAUCUUGUGACGCGUCCACGUGCCCCUUUUGAACGCCCUGGAAUUGCGCUGGAAGAAAUGCUUCCUUAGGCCACUCAGUGUGAUACCUGCAGUAUUGUGGAAUACAAGUUUUAGUGUACCUAGUUGGCAUUUUCAUAACAUCUUUGGCAUGUUGCAGUCACUUGUUUCACCUUUUAUUAACUGUCAAAUUGUAAUUGCUUCACCAGGUCUGCGUCUAAAAAGAAAAAUAGAGCUAUAAACAAAGGAAUAUGUUUGUGCAAGUAGACGGCCGAUCGGUGUCUUACCUGGAAGUUUCUCAGGUUAGGUGUAGCAUAUGCCGUGCUCGCUGUCAAUGGUUGGUAUGAAAAAAUCGAUGAGAGACUGAAAUCUCGCGCUAUCAGCACUCACUUUGGCCUCAAGGUGCCCGAUCAGCUCCUGAUCCGUGGGAUCGAACUUGACGCCAGCCGGUAGCACCGGCCAAUCCUUCUUCGACUUGCAUCGGUAAUUGUAGUUAUAUGGUACUCAAUGUAUGAUCAAUCGACUGUUUUAAGUGAAUGAUGAAAGAUUUCGACAGAUAAGUGGUACUCCAAAUCUGAAGUCCAGAAUACCCGAACACGCCGCCGGGAUUCUUGUGUCACCUCACCCGCAGCGUGUUGUCACGUCAAUUCAAUGUGUGGACAUGAUGAAUAAUUUGACCGACGUAUACUAGUACUGCUACUGUACUACUUACUAGUCGUAUUUAGUGUCACAAUUUAUACAUAGGUUUAACUAACAAGUACGCACUUGAAGCCUAACUGAUAUAUAUAUAUGGCUUCUGCACAGCAUCUCCAUCAUCAUUAUCAGUACAUCCUACGCAGGUGAGUUAGGAUGCACUUGAUCCCAGGAAGGUAUCUAUCCUUCAAACCAGAGGAGUGCUUCAAACUAACAACAAUACAUAAUAUCCAACAAAAGAGGGUCAUGCUACAACAUCAGAAUACAUGGCUCAGUCUAGAUAUCAGCACGAAUCAAGUUGUGCAUAUUUGCUGUUGGCAUGAACCACAUCGCCGCAUGUCGGGUUUGCAAAAGCCAUCCAUCGCAUGGAAGCUUGAUGCCUUUCACACACUGAAGAUUAUCUGGCAACAAGCUGUGUCGACGAAUCUCUGGAUAUGGUGAUUCAUGAAACCCAUGGUAUGAUGUGUNNNNNNNNNNNNNNNNNNNNNNNNNNNNNNNNNNNNNNNNNNNNNNNNNNNNNNNNNNNNNNNNNNNNNNNNNNNNNNNNNNNNNNNNNNNNNNNNNNNNNNNNNNNNNNNNNNNNNNNNNNNNNNNNNNNNNNNNNNNNNNNNNNNNNNNNNNNNNNNNNNNNNNNNNNNNNNNNNNNNNNNNNNNNNNNNNNNNNNNNNNNNNNNNNNNNNNNNNNNNNNNNNNNNNNNNNNNNNNNNNNNNNNNNNNNNNNNNNNNNNNNNNNNNNNNNNNNNNNNNNNNNNNNNNNNNNNNNNNNNNNNNNNNNNNNNNNNNNNNNNNNNNNNNNNNNNNNNNNNNNNNNNNNNNNNNNNNNNNNNNNNNCCCCCCACGAAUGGAAGUUGCAUAACACAGUAAUCAUCGCCGGUGAUAUGAUCGAUGAUUGGUUGGAUGAUCGGAUAAUUGAGCCCGAGGAACAAGGAGUGGUUGCCGAGGCUGUAAACCCGCCUCCAGUUGAAUACGUCUGGCCCAACGGAGCCGGGAUCUUUCUCGAACACGAAGCAGCCAUAGCCAUCAAUGUCACGAACGCCCCACGCAUUGUACUGCAUGUGGUUUGAUGUAAUGGUUUGGUCAAUUUGGUACGUGCGAAUGAGCAUCAAAUGACCACCGUCAGCUGAACGAGCGAUAAACCACCACCCAUCGGCUGGUAUGAUUCCAGGUCCUGGAAUCAUGAAGGCCAGCGCAUUUGCGUCUGCUGCAACAAUUCAAAUUGGAGACCAAAAGGACAAAAAUAAACAAUCAUGUUCAGAGUAUGUGUGGAAUUAAGAUUAUUAUAACAGUGACACAUAUCAUAGACAGAAAAUUGCAAUGCCGUGGUCAUAAUCAUACCCCAAGAUAAAAAAUAAGCCAAUGUCUUUCAUAUUCUAGCAAUAUGUCAUGGUUCAAACAUCAUGUAACAAUGAGAGGAAAACAGCUAUGACAACGCCUACUCAUAUUCUACCAUAGCACUUACUACUACUGUUCUCAUAUCAACUCUAAGCAAUAACAUGCGUUGUUAUAAAAAUCUUGUAAACGAGAGUAACAUAUAGCAAUCAUGAUGUUAUGCUCAUAAUAUGUAUUCUAACAAUCAUUAGAUGCCAAUUCUUCUCAUAUCAACUCUAACAAUAACAUGUGUGGUCAUAAAAAUCUAGGAAAUGAGAGGAACAUAUAGCAAUGAUGUGGUUAUAGACAUGCUAGGCAUUCUAAAUUUGUAACAAAUGAACAGGCAGUCGUAUUCAUAAGGUAAAGAUGAGAUGAGAUAGAACAAUUACACGACGAUAGAUUCCACCAGUAUAGGCAGCCAAUCUAUGCGUCGACCGCUUAAACGAUGCCAUCGUGCACUAUAGCAUCAGACAGAAAUGUUGCCUCAUCAGGAUUGAUGAUGAGCCAUAACCAUGUAUGGCGACCGGAUUCCAGAUAGACUAAUCCCAUGUUGAACAAGGCAAUGAGCUUGUAAUCCAUGUAGUCUUCUGAUGGUGUGGGCACUUCGCAGAUUACAACUUUCUGCAGCAGAGGUCGAGCCAAAAGAUUGACGCGUCUCGUGCGUAGUAGGCAGGAGUGUCCGGCGGGCCGCGAGGCUCGAUGGCGGCGGUAUCCAAUGAUGGAAGGGUGAUCUCUCGCUGGGUGUAGAUAUCCACGAGAUGCCACGGACUACCGGUGUGGUGGAUGAGGACGAUCCAGUUGGCCUUCAUGCCCGCCCAGUAGUGGCCGCGCAUGAAGGACAGGUGGACGGGUAGUGGUAGCAUGUCGAGGGGCACCACGGCAACCUUCGUAGGAUCGUCAAGUCGGUAUCUGGGCCACCUGCGAGGAUCAGGCAUCAGCAAGCAGGGUGUCUUGAAAAGAGCCGGCCGGUUGCAGACGAGUAGACGGUACAAAGACACCGAGCAUGCGGCCAGAUGGACGGUGCUGAGUAGGUCCAUAUGACUACAGAUCUGCUCCAAGAGAACAUCGGGGAGGGAAUUCCAAUCGCGGCUCUGCGUGUCAGUCGGUUCUGCCAUUGGGGUUUUCGGUGCCUGUGAGCCAGCGGGGAAGUGGAUUCGGGCGGGCGAGCGAAGAAGCUUCUCCUCGUGUGGCCAAGCCGUGAGCGGGGGGAUAUGGUACGCGCGAGCUACCAAGGAAGAUGGCGUGGGCGGGCGAGCAGUGAGCGGGUGUAAAUGGUGUGCGGUCGACGAUGGGGAAGAGAGGAGGAAGAAGAAGAGAGGAGGAAGAAGAAGAGAGGAGGAAGAAGAGUGGAAGACGGGGAAGAAAGUGCAUUCAAUCUCAAUUCUACUAGUACUACUACCAGGAUAUACCGUCCUUCGGAGUGUAAAUAGUUACACCGAUGACAUGUGGGUCUACCACAACAGGGCCCAUAUGUCAGUUAAUGGAGGACAGAGGUGCGUAGGCGUAUUUGCGGAAGCGUGCUCUACUGGCAAACAUGAUGGCAGUACUGGGUAAGGCUGAUUUAGUAACACCAACACGCUGGUUCAGCUUAUUAAUUACGUGUCCCAUCUGCCGCAGCAUGUAUUCUCACUUCACUGCGAAGACUAGUUGAAUAGUUCUCUCUGACCGAGAUGGGGAAUAAUGGAUCGCGAGGACUUUCUUUCUACAGUAUCCCUAUGCCUCUAUGCUCACUUCACUCAUUUUGCUCCGUACCUAGUCACUUGUUGAAAUAUGUAGAAAGACAAAUACUCCGUAUUUGGGAACAGAGGGAGGCUUUUACUCCGUACUAUUUGGGAACAGAGGGAGUAUCACCAUAUGGAGGGAACAUAGGAAGCCUGAAAUAUGAACAUGUCAAUGGGAGGGAGUAAGCCCCAUGCAUGCAUGCAUGCAUGCAACAUGCAACACUCACACGUACACAUGGACGCACGCAACACUCACGCACCCAUGCGGCACACAGCACACGACACAACACACACGCUCACGCUCAAGUGCUCAACCUACUCCCUACGUCCGUGAAAGACUGUACAUUUAGAGAUUUACACAUUGACCAGGGCAUAAUUAACGCCCAAAAGUAGCAGACUUAUGUGUGCAUGCGACCAUUGAGAUAAGAAGAUUAAAUGAAGGCCGUUGCAUGCUGUAAUUAAGGAUAGACAUGUAGCCUAUACCUACAACACAAGUUGGUGCAUUAGUCAAUCAAUAUCGAUUUAGAUUAAAGGCUAAAUGCAUUGGAAGUGUAGAUGUACAUCAUGUACUACACUCUUUGUUUUAUAGCCGAUGUACACUCUUUGUUGGAAGACCGAGGGAGGACACGUGCAUGCACUCACAUACACAGCCAGGGCGGUUCGCGCGCAAGGGUUCGACUCGUGUCGCGCCUGCGUAAAGUUUUGUUUAACUGAUUUCUUUGCUCUGCUAACUGACAGGUGGGACCCAGAAACCAGGUGACAAUUUAACCAGUCAACAAAGUGCCACGUCGACUAUGUGGCCGGUCAGUAGGGUGCAAUACGGUGCUCUACGAUGAGCUAGUGAUCGUAUAAUCGCCGCAAAACUAUAUAUAGUGACCGUAAAGAGCGUAUUGUUACAUACGUUGACCGCCAGUGUAUUUUUCUCGUUUCAAGUUAAGCCAUAUUAAUCGGAAAGGACGCAGUAUGGACUACUACUACUAGUACUAGUACUGCUUUGAUGUGUCCCGUCAACUCGCCGAAUGAGGAGAAGCUUGCUUACUACGCCUCUCCCUCGCCCACGCGCGCGGUGGUUCGCAGGACGAGGAGAGGGUUUUGACUACAGCGCCCUCUCCCUCUCCCUCGCCCUCGCGGUGGACGUGCAGCAGUUCAAUCGGUGUCAGAUUGCCAGAAGCAUAUUGUACUGUAGUAUCAUCAUUGUUGGACCUUCCGAAGAGGCGAAGAGCCAAGUGCAAGGUUCACAUGAGUACGAACUGUUGAACCUCCGGAAGAGGCAAAGAGCCAAGCGCAAGGUUUUAUAGGAUUUGUCGUCCUAGUAGGAGUGUACUACAACUAUAGCGAACGAUGCUACUGUAUGAUGCUGCCACGUCACGUAUAUCCAAAGCUGUGCCACCUUUUUUUUCUCAAAGAGCGUGUUGGAGCCCGUGAAACAACCACACAAGUUGCACGUACACAUAACACAUUUACUUGUAAUAAAUUCUAAAGGACAAAUGCCAGUAUGCCACACAAGUUCAUCUCCAAUUCAUGUGAUAAAUUUGUGCACGACUAGUCUACAUAUAUUCACAGCGCUACCGUUCACAAUUACCGUACUCCACUUACACGUUAUAGAUGGGCUACAUGUCCUCCUCCAGGUUCCAGUCCCAGGUGUUCUUCAUGGACGGCACGAUCCAUAGCGGUGGGCAACGGGAAUCAUUGUCGCAGCUUUCUAGUCCGGUUCCACACGAUGGAGACUCAUCCAAGCUGAAGCGGCAUAAAUCAGGGAUAGCGUGUCCCAGCAUGUCGUUCAUCCGGCGGUGCGCACUGAAGACACAACCAUGCUUCAUGAAUGGCAGGCCUUCUGUGUCGUGCACGGAAGGUGGCAUCCGCUUCACAAUGGGGUAGCUGUCCCCGAUGAAAAGCGAGUACUCUCCAAGAGUGUUCCUCGGCACCCACGUAGCAUCACGGGGGUCGAACUCGGCGCCGUUCAUCUGGUACACGCGGCAUCCCAGAUCUGGACACAUGGUGACGUACAUAGUCAAGGUCCAUGCAUAAUAAUGUUAUGCUCAAAUAUGGCGAUCCGUAAUACUGUGCAGCAAAUAGUACUACUCCGGUAUAGAGGAAGUAAAAUAACCGGCUUAUUAUAUAUAGCCACUCUUGGCUACAUGGAUGAGAUAGUAAGACAUGGAAAAACAAAAAUGGUGGCAGCUAGUGGGUUCAAGUCUUCAUGGGCCUAGCUAGCUAUACGCGUCCUCCAAGGUAAAAAGUACUCCUACUAGUACUACAAAGUAUACUACUAGUACAACAAUGAAAGAGAAGGCGAGAGGGUUAAAAAAUGGAAUACCUGGGUAGAUGGUGACGGUCCGAUCGUGGUAGAUUGUGUGACCAUGUUGCACAUCAGUGGUACCAUGGGUAACGACUGCUAAGAUAGUUGAUCCCAAUAUGCCAAAGUCAGCUACAAGGUUCCAGGUUAGACCGAAUCGCGGAUGCAAAUGCACAUCUAGGAUCGGCGAUCUUAUUUUGAUCGGGGGAUGACUGGUCCCUACAAAAUAAUGGAGUACCGUUAGGGAUGCAAAUGAUGGUUUGUGCAUUCCGUUUGUAAUCUCCCAUACCGUAGGAUGGCAACAAGAUGAAACAAGUCCCCUGGCUUGUCACCGCGAAGAUGCGGCCUAGAUGGCGCACGGCGUCUUCGAACGUGUAGGGGUACAAAUCUGCCGCCGCCAACAUGCGCCAGCCUCUGCCGUUACUGCCUCUUGCAUUGACGGCAAUCCUUAUGUCGAACACCGCGAUGAGAUAGUAAUCGUCAUAGCCGCGUCGCUUUGUCGGCGGGUCCGCAAUUGCUAUCUUCUUCAAUCUCAUGUAGGCAUCAUCAUACGUAUUCAAGCCCAGCCAGUCCGGAAGGCCGAUCCCAAUGGUGGAGAAGGGGUCUACCGGAACGGGCGCACUGCUGUGGAUGUUGUGCAAAAUGAUGGUGGUAUCCGGCCGGAGGUAUGCAAGCCAAUCUUCGUUCGCACCAACCCAGACCUAUAUAUAAGACGGUGGGCAGCGGAGAAAUUACGGGAUGGAAAUGGAAUAACUAAGUACUACAUGAUCAAACUCCAUUACUGACCUGCUCAUCGGACAAAAUCCGACUACCUCUCAACGUCGGCAACUCUAGCGGAGUCAACGUGCAACCAUGGCCAGGGAGCGGUGGACUGUUCGAAGGAUUGUCCCAUAGAAGAACCUUCUCCUCGAGGAAGCAUGGAAGACCAACAAGCAUGGCCUUUUCCCAAGCCUGUUUAAGCAGCGUCUUGAAAAAGUUGGUGCAGGAAGCACCGAGUCUUGCGGCGGUGAGGACGUCGGAGCGGCGUGCGAUUUCUCCCACAGGAUCAUCGUCCAAGGUCUCCCAGCCUCGACGAGGAGGAGAACCACCCGGCGAAUCCAUGGGAGUAGCGACGAACUGCCUUCUCUUCGGGGGGAGGGGAACUGGCGAGGAGGAGAUAAGAGCGUAGUAACCGCAGGGCCUCGUGCCUUCCAACUGUAGAUCCCUCAGCGAAGGGGUGAGGCUAUUAUUUACUACUAGUACUAGCAUUAUGGAACGUUAUGGGAUUGCAUUAUACUGUAAAUAAUAGCACUAGUAAGAAAUUUUUGGCACUAGGUAGUAGUUUUUGGCGUGGAUUAAGAAAUUUUGGGUAUGUUUUUGACAUUUUUUGUACACGCCAACUAGUGUCAAAAAACGUCUUACAUUAUGUGACGGAGGAGGACGUACUCGUACUGUAGGAGUACUAGUACUACUUUUCUCAACUAGUAGUGCGAUGUACUGUACUUCUAGUCUAGUCUAGUAUAGUGCACCAAUUUUGAACUCUUGAAUCUCAGGGCCAAGGAGCUACAGUUGGAAGUGGAGGGUACUACUGUUCUCUAGAACCAUCGUUGUACUAUCAAUGCAGGGGAAGUACACCUGCGUAGUGGCCUAGUGGGUACUCUCGGUGCUCUAUUCAGCCGCUCCUCUCACGUAGCUGGCCUACUCAGCUGCUCCUCUCACGCACACACUAGUAGCCUGUUUAUCAGCGACGGUUACUGCGGGGGCAGAACAUUUGAGUUAUUUGAUACAGCGAGACUAGGAUUUUCGCUUCCAUUUGUGGAGGUGUAAUGGAUCUCGUCGAACUUUGUUAGUAGUUCCUUCUUUAUGAAUGAGAUGAAGCAAAGCUUUUGCCUCCGUUUCAAAAAAAACACGUCAAGAGGAAUUACUUUUAUAGUAGAGCCGAUAAUGGAGUGAAGUCCAUGUGUGCAACGCCACAAGCUACAGAGUAGUAGUAGAGCACUUUACGAACAGAGCCAUAUUGCAUAGUUCCCAAUGCCCCGCCAGGCUUUUCCGGCUCCUUGGGCUUAAUUGGGAGGCGCUAGUUUAAAUAUGCUACUAGCUGGAAGCUGCAAGCGAGGUGCGGCUAGGGCGAGCACGCAAGCCACGGGAUGCUGGAAAGGAAAACCCGUUCACGUGGCUAGGCUGUCUAGUGCACCCAGAUUGUGGGGCCGCAUGUCCGUUUGACUUCAAAACUCAAACUACCCGUGUAAAAUAUUGGCUCGCAGCAAAGUGUAGUAGUACUAUUUUUUUAAAAGGCCGUCGUGUGUUCGGCCGGGAUCGAACCCACAAAACGAGGUAUACACUCCCGCGACCACUAGUAGUACUCGUUGGAGUACAACGCAACCUAGAAUCGCCUUUUGUCGCUAGUAGUACGUACAUUGUUCCUUACAAGAAACCCCUAAGAGCAUGGUUAAUAGUAUAGCCAGCUGCUGGCUAUAAGCCAGUGCCAUGUCAUCUACAGCCCAUCUUAUAGCCAAUAUGUACAAUAAUAGAUCAAAAGAGUGUACUACUUUUUUAUUAUGUGGCCCACUUCUCAUCUCACAAAGUGCCUAGGAGCACGUGCUAGAGCUGGCUCUUCACGAAGAGCCCGCUUACCUUCUCUCUCCUCUUCUCUUUCCUCCAACUAAGCAGAAAUAUACUAGUUUAUUUCUUAUAGCCCGCUGACUCAGCUCUAUUGUACUUGCUCUAAUAAUGCAAGAAACCACUAAAAUGCCAAGAAACUACUACCACUUGCAUACGUGGCAGACUUAAGAUAAGACUAUCUUAUCAACCAUUGUACAUGCUCUUACCAACAAAAAUCCUCGAGUGACCUCCUACCUCCGGCCCGUCCACCUAGUCAUCCUCGGCCAUGGGACGCAGCUACCGCCGCCAGCAAAAGGAGAGGUCAAAACCGCCGGCGGUGUGGAGCCCAUGUUGCGGCAGCCUGGAUGCCAGCUCCAUCCGGCGCUCGCGGCCUCUAGCUAGCCAAGAUAGCUCCGUCCAGCUGCUUGUCUGCAAGGUUUGCUAGCUAGAUUGGCACGGCAGCGCGGCGGCUUGCUCGCGCGCGCCGCGCUAAGGCCAGCCAUCUGGCUCGAGCAAAGGCCAGCGCGGCGGCUUGCUCGCCCGUGAGUCAUGCUCGGGCCAGCCUGCCAACCCGUGCGGAGGCCAGCGCAGCGUCCGGCCCGUCCGGCGGAGCGGCGGCCAACUCGCUCAUCACCGGCGCCACCGACGAACACGCAUCAGUACUGUUUGAAGUAAUGUUCAGGAAAAAUAAUGAUUUGAGGGGGAAUAACAAGAUAGAAGGUCAGAUGUGGGUCCCUCGUGUCAACGAUCAAACAAAAUGUGUUGGUUUAAGCUACCUCGUCAGCACAGACGUGUGGGCCAACCCUGUCAUAAAUGGGUUUAAACGAACCUAAUCGGUAGGAGUACUAGGUAGUUUUUGGCGUGGAUUAAGAAAUUUUGGGUAUGUUUUUGCUAUUUUUGUACAAUAGAUUCUUCCUAGGGCUGGUUGAAAGUGGUAGUUUUUUGUUAAAUACUCUACAUAUUGUAAGUAGGAGUGAAAGUUAAGCUUUGGAAGCCAAUAAGAAAGGCUAGUUACAUAGUGCAUAUGUGUACAUGAUUGAAAGUAAAUAUCAACCAUGAGUGACUAAUAUCUUGAUGGAAAACUCGAAACUAUGAAAUACUAGGAAAAAAAAUGCAUGGUUGGAAAUACUAGCAAUGUUCAUGUCCGUUGCAAUGAAUCAUAAUUAGAAUAAUACUUAUUCACAAACUUGGUACAAAACACUCUAAUUUUGAUAAUAUGUCACUAGAGAUAUAUUAUGUUUCAAUUAGAAUAUAUUCCUUGGGCUAUUUUGGUGAGGUCAGGGAGGGAUGUGGUUGGUUUUAAGAUAAUAAUUAUGGGUUUUUUCUGCAAAUUGGUAGACAAGUGGGAUGUUGGUGAGAAAAGGCAACAACUUACCUCACAAUCGUUAGAUGUAGAUCUAAUGGUCAGAAACGACGGAUGGCAGACACACCAACAUCACCAACUUAGUCUUGUGUAGGAGUACUAGCAAGAUCCGUGCAUUGCACGGAACAUCAAGAUACAUUUUUUAUAAAACACUUGUUGUGAUUGACCCUUGCUGGAGUAAUCCCAUGUGUAAAAAGUAAUGAUAUCUCGAGAAAUAUGAGAUAAGGUGAAGAGGAGUGGGGUGUGGUGGUGGUUGGUGGUCGAACUGAGCGGAGGCAUGGGGAUUGACGACGCCGGCAGCGGCCACCAGGCCAGUUUGUUCCAGAGGCUUCCUUUCUUAAUUGCUCAACAAUGAGGUUUGUUGGAGAUAAGGAUGAACGAGGGAAGGCCUUGUCUGCAAAUGUGGAGAGGGGUGCGGGUAUCUUUUAGUUUAAUUUCCAUCCGUCAGAUAUAGAUCAGACGGUCUAUAUUGCAAGAUGGCACACGUACCAUCAUCACCAACUCGGUUUUUUUUAUAACAGAAGAAAUAUAAGUAUGGAGAUACAAACGUAUUAUCGAUACUUGCUUCCGUAAACUAGCAUCUACAUUCUAUUCAACGCCUCGGCAUGUGGGGCCUUAGCACAAUGACUUCUCGACUGUGUAAAACAAACAUUUUCCCGUCGCCGACAAGGAGGGGGUGACGGCAGCGCGCUUUUUGGCUUGCUCUAGUCCUAGUAGUCAUACUAGGUGGUCUAAGCACGUGUAGAUUUAUUCUUUUUCAUGUCUCAUGUUCGUCGUACUGCCACGACUGUUGAUGAAUAGAUGGUAAGUUAUUCACGGGGAAACCCUUGUUGAGCGUGUUUGCGAGAGAGAGAGAGAGACAGUGUGCGUGUGUGAUAUGUUAGAGACUGAGGCAAUGAUAACAUAUUCUUUGUGUCUAUGUGUGUGGAGGAUAGAGAGAGACAUGUACAUGGGGCUUUGUGUUGUGUAACGUGGAGACACAUAUACAUAAUUAGAGAGUGAGUGUGUGAGAUACACAUGCGGACAUGAGGAGAGAUGAGGAUCCAGAUAAAUGGGUGUUUGUGCGUGUCUGUGUGUGUUUGUGCACGCGUUUGUGUGUGAGAGGGAGAGAGUGUAUGUGGAGUAGAGAGACCACUGAUGAUGUAAACCUAGUAUAAGGGAAGGGGGAAUGGUGUGACAUGUGUAGUAGCGAGAUAGCAUGGGUGCGGGCGGGGGGAGCAGACUAUUUGGAAGAGACAUCGAGUGUGUGUGUGGGAGAGGGGUGUGAGAGCGAGAGAAAGAGAGAGCUAGCGACGGAGAGAGAGAGAGAGAGAGAGAGGAAGAGAAGGGGCGAGAGGGGUCGUUUGUGUCCAUAAAUGGCGUAUAGAUAGGGAGACAAUGUUGAUGUUGUCCGAAACUGGCCUAUGAACGGAGACGCAAGGGAAGCGAGUCAUCGUGUGUGUGAUAGGGACUUCAUGAGAGAUCUAGAAUAGAUGGUGUAGAGAACAAUGUGCGAAAUCGAGAACGAUUAUACAUUAGGGAGCUAUGCAAAGAGUCACGACAUAUAUGUAUACAGGGAAGGAGCUGGGGCGGGUCCGCAUGUGGGAGAGAUAGAAAGAGGAGAGUGGUGCACAAGGAGACAAAGUGUGCUUGUUUGCAGUGGGGGUGGUGUGUGAGGUCAGUGCGCGAGAACCACAUAACUAGGGAGAUAGACAUUUGGGGGCGACGUUUUGUGUGUAUGGGAAAUAUACACUCUACAUAGUGCGUGUGCUUGGGUAAGAGAGAUAGCGGGAGACCUAGAGAGUGAGGGAAGAGAUGUGUGCAUGCCCGAGAGACAAAGUGAUAGAGACCUAUGUUGGGGUCCAGACUUUACAAGAGAGAGGGGUGUUAAUGUGCUCGUGUGUUGGUGUUUGGGGGAGAGAACGANNNNNNNNNNGGUGGGGGGGGGUUGACUUCAGAUAAAGAGUGAGGUGUCUAUAUUUGAGGGACUUUAGCGUAAUUGAGAUAUUGUGCACUCAUGGUUGAUCAAUUUGUUUCACAGUUUGUACUAUGAGAUAACAAUACUUUUGAACAUGCGUGAUAUACCUUGAUGUACCAGAAUUACAAACCUAAGAUUGGAAUUUUGGAAUUCGACUCCAUCAUUAGCUUUUGUAAUUCAUUUAAACGGAGGUACAUUUUUUAAGCCGGGAUUUCGUGAUUUCAAAUUCAUAUAUCAAACCUAGAGAUAUACACAUACGGGCAUGUUCAAACUUUAUAAUCAUCCACUUUAUUCAUACACGUACACAUUUUUGCUUUUGUCAUCAUAUUUAGGAUAAACACAUUUGGAAUUUCAUUUGAAUUGGACCGUAUGAUGGUAUUUGCUUGUAGUAGCUCAAUGAUCCAUAUUUGAAUUGAAUGGACAAUCUAAGUUUCGAGUUGGAGACAUUGAUUUUCAAAACUUGCACUUUUUUUUUGCGUGCGAAACAAACAAAUUGUCGGCCAUGAUAUCAUAGUCGGCCGUACGAGAGCAGAAUACUUAUAAUUUUAGGCGCCAAAAGCUUUCAAACUUCCCGCUCACAUCGAAAUAUCACGCGCCCGAAAGUUUAGCCCUGCGAUAUUCCUGUUUUACCCCUGCCACAUGAACGGAAAAGGGCUGCUUUGGUAACUCCGUUGUUUUCCCCUCUUUGCCCCCAACAUUCUUCCCCAGAGCCCCUCCCCUUCCCCUCCCCGACCCCCCAACCACGGCAAGCCGCCGAAUCUAGUCCUCCGCCGCAGCGGUGGACCUCACACCCCGCCGGAUCUACCUUCCGCACCUUGGAACCCCCAACUGCCAACUCACCACUUCACCGGAGCCGCUUCAGCGACUGGCUUGUCCACCCCUCCAGAUCUCCUUGACCGCCAUCAUGGUCCACCGCACCGGAUCUGCUUAACCGGCGCCCUCGUCCACCACAGCAUAGGCCCUUCACUGACUCCCUUGUCCGCCCCUUCGCUGGCCCUUCAUACAAGCCCUCGUCCGCCGCAACAGAUCGGCCUCACCGAAAGCACCGUACAACGCGCCCGCCGAAGCCUUUGUCCACUGCACCGGACCCGCUCCACGGACGCCAUAUUCAACUCCACCGGCCCUGCUUUACCGACGCCGCAGCCUCAUAAGGUUAUUUCGAUUUGUACUCCUUCGGUUUUUCUCUUUAUCGUGCAACUGUUCACUUACGACAGAUGAGCUUUCUUGUAUGUUGACAAGCGCCGCAACCGUAGCACCGGAGUCGCUUCAGCGACGGCGACAGCCGGCCCAAACUCAACCGCAACACGAGCACCAUCGACGAUCCUUAGCUAUCAAGUAUGACAACGAUACCCAUACGCCGCCGAGAAUCAGGUACUAUUAUCCAACGGCCGGCGCCUACGUUCACUUUCCUAGCAUAAGCACCGCACCUUUGAAUUUCUUCAGGGCAUCAUUCAGUUUUUCAUGAGACGCGUUAUUCUACUUGCAUCUGUAGGGCCAUACUUCUGGCAGUGAACAUGUUACAUGUGCUAAAUUACAUACCAGUGCACAUAUAGUUAAUAUGCUUUAGUUUUGUUCUGAUGCCACCUGUUGGUUCCAUCAGACUGCUUAAUGUUCUCUAUGCUUAAUUACACAUCAGCAAACUAGCAUGUGGUUCUGCUGCUUUUGUUCGUUUUACCCUACAUUUUCUGAUGCUAGCUAUUACAUCACUGCUCCGAGCCUCUGUUCAUUACUUGUUUGUGUGUUCUUGAUCUUCCCAAGUUGCAUGACUAAUUUGAUGCUUCUAUUAAUUAUGGAGCUGCCAUCCCCAUCAAGCAAAAUAUUUGUUCUUUUGGGGCUGGCACCUCGAACAAGCAUAAAAAUAGAGGGAAGCAGAUAUAUUGUCGUGUAUGCACACACCCUUCUUUCAUUAGUUUAGAUGAACCAUUGAUGAUCAAUUCGGACCAGUGCAUGCGAUUAAAAUUAAUUUUACCUAAAUAGAUGGUGCAGAAUAAACUACAACAACUAGAUUUGCAACCACGGGAUGCUGACGAUAUCUUCAAAAAACAUUGCAAUAGCAGCUAGGCUUCACAUCAACAUAUGGUAAGCCAGUGUGUUUUAGUACAUGUGAAAUGUAAUGCGAGUGGGCUGCUUUCUUGGCUUGUGCCCUCAACGUGUAAUCCUACCGAAUUACAAAUAGUUCAGUUGUCUGCUUUGCUGUAUUGCUUGAUUCGAAUGCUUAUUUGUUGUUACACUAUACCUGAGUUGGCCAAUAUGUCAGCAGUGCCUACUGUACUAUCGUAAAGAAAUGCAUGCCUAUUUCAUUUGAGUCCUUAACUUUUCCUCUCAACUUCAUCACAAGACUGUCUUCAUAGUUUAUAUGAGGCCACACUGUUAAGUGCUUUCUCAAAUUAUUUCAACUACUUAGAUGCCUUGGCAACUUAAAUAUAGCGGUUGUACACUCCCUUUCAACUAGGGAUGUCAACUGGGUCCCGUUUAAUCCCGAUUAAAGUCCACUAGUGGUAUGAUAGUUCAAAAGAGUUUUUGUUUUUUGAGGAAAAUGAACUAGGGAGGUAGCAAACACUAACUAGAUGGGACUGGCGGAUGUCGUUCAUUUGCCACUUACAUCCCUAGUUUCAUCUUACCAUUUUAAUUUCUUUUCGGCUAAUGCUGCUUCGAACCAUUUAAAUAUAGUUUGCCAUGCUCGGCAAUAAUUCGUCCGUCGUUUACCAUGUAAGCUUACUGCCUGGAUCAUAUGAUAACUAUCUCUUACUGAUGUCCAGCAGAAACCUUUUAGGAUGCCGUUCACACUAGGACACAAUGUACAACCCCAGAAUCUAUUUGUUGAAGCAGUGCGCCAUCCAUGUUACCAGAUGGUAGCAGUUCAGAGGCAACACCGCCAGAGAGCAGUCUGAGCACAGAUAUUAUAGUGCUUGAGGCUCUACUAGAGGCAGAAAGAGAUGGUGUGGCUGCCAUGAAUGAGGUAAUCUUUAUCUUGAGGCUGGAAAUUACGGAAUUAGCGGCACGCAUUAUGCAAGCAACCCAAGAAUUGGAGGAAGUAAGAAUGUUGCAUUUGAAGACGGAGGAGGUCCUGCUGUUUCUGCUAUCUGAAGCCCAAGGUAAUCCCGGUUCUUCUUUAGAUACCAGUUGAAAUUGUCAUUAGAUUAUUGUACUUGCAUGUUGUGUCAUGUCUCUGAAUGGAUUAUGUUGCAAGACCCCUUAUGUUGUCCAUGUGUUGUAAUGAUCCGAAUUUUUUAGGCGAGGUAAUCCUCAAUACUUGUAUGAUUGACAUAAGGUGAACUGUUUUUCGUGUGAGCAUAUUGUAUUGGAUGAAAUAACUGUUUGACUCAGAGUGUAUCCAACCUACUGAAUUCGAAGAUCAAGGUAUUUCUAAAUCAUAAUCAUAUAUAAAGGUGGAAUAAAUCUUUGUUGUGGUUUUGAAGAAAUAAAUAAAAAACAUAUAAUUAUCUGUGGAUAUUUGUAAUCGAAUACAAAUUGGAUUUGAAUUUAGUUUGCCAGGUCCCAGGGUAAACAUGCAUGCUAAUUCUCCCAAGUUUUGAACGAAGCGGCUAAACACCCACUAUAAUUUGUCGGCUGCCCGAAGCAAGUGUUUGCGAGAUGGAAAUUACUGUCUACCCCUGACACUUGACAUCCUUAUCGACCGGAUUUACACUGCUGUCGAUAGGGGUAGACUAGUAACUUCAAUCAGACGUGACACGACGGCCUCUGAGCCCAUUCAGACACGGUGGGCGCCAAACGUGGGCGGCAAAACACAUUUGAUUCAAGCUCGUCCGAAAGACAUGUGUCUCUUCCUCCAUUUCCCCAUUCAUACACGGUGGGCGGCAAAACAAACUCUCCUCGUCCGAAAUCGAUGUAGGCUAAUAUUUUAAAUAGGGGCAGAUGUGUAACUUCCAUCAGACGUGACACAACCGCCCUACCUGUCAGCCCCGUUCAUACACCGUGGGCGCCAACCGUGGGCGGCAAAACACCCUCUCCUCGCCCGAAAUAGUUACCGGCAAAUAUUUGGGAGAUGCGAGAUUACCGUCCCAUCCCCAACCAACGCGAUGUCCGAAAUUUUAAACGGGGGAUAAGUUCGUAACUUCACCCCAUUUCAGAGAAGCGCGUCCCAAAGUUUGAGAUCCCCCUCCCCUCCAUUUCCCCAUUCAUACACCGUCGGCGGCAUGACAACCUCCGCACUGCGGCCAGCCUCCUCCGUCCGCCACCCCAUCCUCCACCUUGCCGGAGCCGCUACCCCUACCCCGUCGUCCACUGCAAGAGAUGGACGUCUCUCAUCCACGACGCUGGACCAGGAUCCUUUCAUCGCCUCCUCUCGCUUCAUCGGCGCUGUCGUCCACCUUGCCGUUGCCGCUCCUACGACCGCCUCGUCCACGGCAACAUGAUAUAUCCCCCGACCCGGCCGUCUGCCGUCUAAAGUCUUCUUCCCCGCCGCCGACAGCCAUCGCACCCGCAGCACCCUCAACAUAUCAGCAUAGGCCUACACGGCGUCGCAAGAGAGGUGGUACUCUUUCAUAUGUGCUUAAGUUAUUGAUCUCACCCGGAAAAUAGAUCGUAAUUUGUUUACUGUACUUUUCUUGUCCGUACCAAAUCGUAGUGGCUAGUUGAAAGCAAACAUUGGUUGCGAAGUAGCUUUGUCCGGUUUGCACCUUCAGAUCCGCCAUGGCACGGGCACUAUACUCGUAAAGCUUAUGGUUUCCCCCCUUUAUAUUCACUGCCAUCAUCAUAGGUGCUUCGUGUCGUGCUAGCACUGCUCCUCAAGACCUCAACCCAAAGCUUACGUGUUGAAAUACGAAUCUGAUAUGAUGCUCAUAUCACUAAAAUAGAGAACGUUUAAUUGGUCACCUAAUGUUCCUAUAUUCGUUUCGAAAAGCAUGUGCGCCACCCACUGGUCCAGCUAGUUCCACUUUCCUGAUUUUUCUCUUGAUGCUUAGGGUUUCCCCUUUAUCUACUCUACUAUCAUCUGCGUAGGUGCUUUCUGUCGUACUAGCAUUACUCCACCCUUCAAGCUAAACAACACAACACUCAGAAUUCGAAAGCUUAGUUGUUCAAAUAUGAUUGUGAUAUGAUACUGAUAUUAGUUAACCGACACAUUUAAUUGGUUAGCUAAAGGUCCCACUUGAGUUUCCAAAUGCAUGUCGCGACAUAUAGAGAGACAGCAUAAUUGCAUUUCUUUGUCACUUGUUGACCGUACUUUCUUGUCCAUACCAAAUCUUAGUUGUUAUUUCAAAGCAAACAUCGGUUGCUAACUACCCUUUGCGCGGUUUGCAGCUUCAGAUCUGCCAUCCCACUGCCACGGUCAAUACUGUACUCAUCAUGCUUAUGUUUUCCCCAUUUUAUGAUGACCACAAUCAGCCUACGUGGUUCAUGUCAUAAUAGCACUGCUCCACCCAUCGAGCUAAACAAGCUUAGUUGGACAAAUUCAUAUCUGAUAUUAUUGUUGAUAUUAGUAAAACUGAGAGAUGUUUAAUUGGUUAGCUAAAUGUUCCUACUUUAGUUUCGAAAUGCAUGUGAGCCACAUAUGGAGAGACCAGAAAGAAUAGUAUUUCUCUGUGCGCUCUGGUUCAUCAUGGGUGGCCAACCGACAUUGUAUUGAAAGACUUGUAAUAUCUUCAAUCUGCUUGCUCUUCUACUCUUCUUUAAGAUGAUACUCUUCUCUUGCGGUCGACUGGUCAGGUCGAGUUGUUCUCCCUUAGUAUAUUUUGAAUCUGUCAGGUCAGGUAGACUUGUUCUUCUUUACUAUAUGUUGAAGCUAUCAUCAGCGAAGUGUCAUCACUUCUGGAGCUCUCAUAUUUGAGUAGUAGGCCACAUUAUAUUAAUGCACACACAAAAUUACAGCAUGCAUGGCAUCUUUAAAAAGAAUUGCAGAGAUAGCACAAAGGGGUUUACAGGGAGGCAGCAUUGGAUUAGAAUCACUUCUGCAUUACAAAGAAAAUCUCACUUGUUUUUAUGUUUUCAUGCAUGUCAGAUAUUGAACAUUAUCAAAAUGAAUAUGAGAAUGGGCGCACGAGAGGAAUAUUGCGGAACGAUCCACUGGCUAACAAACUUGGCAUGGUGGAGGAUGGCCUAUCUUAUUCACCCAUCAAGGUGCUUGCUCUAACUUUGCAAAGUUGUAUUGGUCGCACAUAUUUUGCAUCUGACCUCUUACAUUACUUCUACUUUGUUACACCAUCUGCUUAGUUUAAGCAUCAUAUAUGAGUAUAUGCCAUACCUAUCCAUUUUCUGUACCUAUUCCAUGUGUCGUCACACUAUGUUUUUCCAGUCAAAUGUUGUUCUUUCGUAAUAGAUGUCCAAAAGGAAGAGGGUGAGUGCAGAUCCUCAAGGAGUACAAACUAGAUAUUUGGAAAAGGUAGUGAUACCUGUUAAAUCAGAUAUAUCAGCAGCCACAGAAAACACAGGCCCAACUGUACCACACUUUACCCCUAGUCCAGUGGCCAAACCCCUAUUAGAACUGCUGGGAGCCCAGCGUCAGGUAUUGUCUAUGAUAUCAAUUCAAAAUUUGAACUCCUAAAUUUCUGCUUGUGCCUUACCUUCUCUCUUGUAUGAAAACUAAUUUCAGAUGAAUCUCCUUGCUCAAAGGAUCAUACGAUCUCAAAACAAUAAUGGGCUCUGCAUUGCUCUUGUCAGUACCUCUCUCCCUUUUGCCUUGUAACGCUGUACUUAAUUAAUUGCUAUUUGAUUAUGUAUCAUCAGUCUGCACCUGAGCUUCAUUAUCCUCUGUUUCUUCCAAUAUUAUUUGAUCUAUAUUUACCUUUGCAAAAUGUAGAAUAAUGGCAACGCUUAUAAAGAAUUUUUUUGGGGAAUUUAUUGAAUUAUCCUUCCAUCAACAUGGAGAAGGGCUUUGUCCAGCCCGUGUUAACAUGUAAUGUAAGUUCAUCCUUCUCAAGCCUUCAAACUUUGUUCUAGUAUAGAUUUGGAUAGGCAUCAUUUCCUCCACUGCUGUUUGCUUUGCUGUUUACAUCUGAUUGGAUGUUUGCAACAACUACCAGUUUCAAAUUGUAGUUGUAAAAACAUGUUCCUUAUGCAGAACAGAUCCAUUUAUUUGCUUAUAUAAUUGUGAAACCUAGUACGUGUCUCCUUGUUUCUCUUUCAGACUCGUAUCUCUUACGCCAGGCGGAACUUUAGGGAAGAUAGUGAGCCAAACCAUCUUGAGGACAGCGAGAUGACCCCAAGGUUCUGUCUUGAUGAAGACAGUGAGUUGAAGCUACUCACCAGCAGGUGUGAGACAACCUCUGUGCAGUUGCUGCCUCAAUCAGUUUGACUUCUUCAGUCUCAACUUAAAGCGGAAAGGCUUGCUUCAGCUCAGCUCCGACUUGAAGUCAAAGAUGCAAUGAAGAUGUCAGAGGACAGCCGUGCGCACCAUCAUGCCUUAAAUCUAGAGUUGAUGCAUCUAUCGUUGACACAAUUGAGGUCUACUUAGCUUCUUCAGCUGUUUGGGGGGCCCGACGUGGCCAGGCCUAGUGCCUUCUAAAGUGCUCUCAGUUUUGUAUAUUCUUUUGUCGGCGCUUUUAUUUGCACUGGUGGCGAACUUUGAUGCCCAGUGGAUGUAAUAUGUGUGAUAGCCGUGAUAGCCUAGCGUAAGUUGCUUGCUUAUUUAUUUCCUUGUUGUCUUGUUUAUUUUUUUGCUUGUAGUCAUUGCAGUUCUUUUUCUGUGGUUUGCUAGUGGUUGCAAUAACCUAUUUUUUAAAACUAGGCCACAAUAACCAUGGGCUAAUAUUUACUGUAGUGACACUGGGCCUCCUACGGGCCGUAGAAACAGUGGGCCUUCUACGGGCCGUAGAAACAGUGGGCCUUCUACGGGCCGUAGAAACAAUGGGCCUUCUACGGGUCGUAUCAUCAAUGGGCCUUAUACGGGCAGUAUGAUCGAUUGGCCAAACAUGGGCCAAUAACAGGCCGCAUUAUGGCCGUAAACGGGCUAGAGUUGGAAUCGUCCGUUCAUGGGCCGACCAUAACGGGCCAUCGUUAAUAGGCCGUAUUUGAUGACGCUAUGAAAACGGCCGAACGUAUUAACGGACCACAAAUGGGCUGACUGUAACCACGGGCUGAAUUUGGCCCACAAGCAGAAAAUGACUGUAACGGGCCGUAAGUAAAAGAAUGCUGGAAAUGAGCCCAAGAAUAAAUGGGCUCUGAGAAGGCCGAAAGAUAACAUGGGUUGGAAACGGCCCAACGGAAUAACGAGCUGUUAAUGGGUAUGAAGUGAUACACUGUUCAUUACGGGCCAGUUUCACCACGGGCCGUUAAUGGGUGUAAAGUGAUACACUGUUCAUUAUGGGCCAGUUUCACCACGGGCCGUUAAUAGGCCAAGAGUUACAUAGGGUCUCAUAUGGGCCGAAAGACGUCAGGGGCCAUACAUGGGCCAGAAGUGAAAACGGGCUGGAAUCAUAUUGGGUGGCCCAGAUGACGCUACUGGGCCUAAUUCGGAUAGGGUGUAACGGGCCUUGGGUUAGCGGGCUGUAAAUGGGCUAUAUGCGAACAAGCCGUUAACACGCUUUACAUGGGCCGGCCCGCCACCUUUUGACCAAGUCAAACGGGCCGGCCUUUUCACGGGAAUGGGCCUCUGUUCGGCCAUGCCAUGUGUCGACAUAUCAUAGGCGCCUUCUGUCCAAUGAGUGGAUGACAUCUGUCCCAACGAUGAGCCGACACGUGUUUCCUCCAGCCAAUGAUGAUUUUACACGUGGAAAAUCCCCAUUGGCCGGGGCUGUUAACGGGUUAUCGGAUCCAAAACCCGACCCGAUAGCUUAACGGCGUUCCGUUACGGUAGAUGCCACGUGUUGGUCACCCUUGACGAAAGCACUUCUGUGACGCGGGAUUUAUCGUCAUGGAAGUGGACACUUCCGUGAUGAUAAUUUUGGUAAUGUCAUGGAACACUUCUACGACAGCACAUGUAUGACUAUCUUGAUUCUGCCAUAAAAUCGUCACGGAUGUACAUGCAUGACACAAAAUGCGACCUACUGUGACAAACACGUAUCAUCAUGGAAGUGUAUUUUUUUGUAGUGUUCGGAUGUUGUAUAUAUAUUAUCUUUUAUAACUAUUUGGUUCAUUUAGUGUUUAUGACAAUUAUGCCGACCAAUGUGACAUAGAUUUUUUUAGCAAGGAGGUAUGUGAAUCGGAAAUUCCAACCGACCCUAUUGUCGAGAGGUUAAGUUUAGUUGAAGAAGAAAACAAUUACUUGAAGGAAAAAUUAAAAAAAAACUGAGGAGGAGAAGAUGAUAUUGGAUUUGCAUGUUGCGGAUGUCGUCGAUGAUAACAAGAUCAAGAUGGAUGCAAUGCGCUUGAAGAUUAGAAAGAUUAGAAAUAUGCCAUUCAUACCGAGGCUUGGUAUCAUUAUGCCGUUGGAUCAAUUGUUACCUUGGUUGCGAUUAUGAUCGCAUUUGUUGUUGCAUUGAAAUGUUUUACAUAGUUUCAAUGUAUGGUUUAAUUAGAUGCUCUGGAGAGCUAUAUGUUGUUCAAUGAGAACUAUGUAUGUACUUUGGUUUUAAUGUGAUGAUGAAAUUCUAUUAAUUUGGUCACUUAUCUAUUCAUGAUGUUUUGUAAUGGUUUUUGACACACUUAAUUAUAUAUAAUGCACGCAGACGAACCGGCAAUGGAUGUACGGUAACAGACGCACCUCCGAGUACAUUGAGGGCAUGCAUAAUUUUCUCGCAGUGGCUGAGGCAAACAAGCAGAAUGGUUUUAUGUGUUGUCCAUGCCCUAGCUAUGGGAAUACGAGGACUUACUCUAAAUCGAAAACCCUUCACACCCACCUGCUUUAUAAGGGUUUCAUGCCACACUAUAAUGUUUGGACCAAGCACGGAGAAAGAGGGGUUAUGAUGGAAGACAGCGAAGAAGAACAGGAUGAUGGCAACUAUGUGCCCCCUGAAUACGGUGACGCUGCAACGGGGGAAGUUGAAGAUCAAGAGGAACCAGACGAUGUGCCCGAUGAUGAUCUUCGCCGGGUCCUUGUUGAUGCAAAGAAACAGUGCGAAAGCCAAAAGGAGAAGCUGAAGUUCGAUCACAUGUUAGAGGAUCACAAAAAAGGGUUGUACCCCAAUUGCAAAGAUGGCAACACAAAGCUCGGUACCGUACUGGAAUUGCUGCAGUGGAAGGCAGAUAAUGGUGUACCUGACAAAGGAUUUGAGAAGCUACUGAAAAUAUUGAAGAAGCUUCCAAAGGAUAAUGAAUUGCCCGACAGUACGUACGCAGCAAAGAAAGUUGUGUGCCCUCUAGGAUUGGAGGUGCAGAAGAUACAUGCAUGCCCUAAUGACUACAUCCUCUACCGCGGUGCGUGUGAGGAUUUGAAUGCAUGCCCGGUAUGUGGUGCAUUGCGGUAUAGGAUCAGACGAGAUGACCCUGGUUAUGUUGACGGCGAGCGCCCCAGGAAAAGGGUUCCUGCCAAGGUGAUGUGGUAUGCUCCUAUAAUACCACGGUUGAAACGUCUGUUCAGAAACAAAGAGCAUGCCAAGUUGAUGUGAUGGCACAGAGAGGACCAUAAGAAAGACGGGAAGUUGAGAGCACCCGCUGACGGGUCGCAGUGGAGAAAAAUCGAGAGAACUUAUUGGGAGGACUUUGCAGGUGACGCAAGGAACGUAUGGUUUGGUUUAAGCGUGGAUGGCAUUAAUCCUUUUGGGGAGCAGAGCAACAAUCACAACACCUGGCCCGUGACUCUAUGUACCUAUAACCUUCCUCCUUGGCUGUGCAUGAAGCGGAAGUUCAUUAUGAUGCCAGUUCUCAUCCAAGGCCCUAAGCAACCCGGCAACGACAUUGAUGUGUAUCUAAGGCCAUUAGUUAAAUAACUUUUAUAGCUAUGGAAUGGAAACGGCGUAUGUGUGUGGGAUGACCACAAACAGCAGGAAUUUGACCUGCAUGCGUUGCUGUUUGUAUCCAUGAAUGAUUUUCCUUCUCUCAGUAACCUUUCAGGACAGACAAACAAGGGAUACCAUGCAUGCACGCACUGUUUAGAUGACACCGACAGUAUAUACCUAGACAAAUGCAGGAAUAAUGUGUACAAGGGCAUCGUAGAUUUCUUCCGACCAACCAUCAAUGUCGAAAGAAAGGCAAGCAUUUCAAAGGUGAGGCAGAUCACCGGAAGAAGCCCGCCAUCCGUACUGGUGAUCACAUACUUGCUAUGGUCAAUGAUUUACAAGUAAUCUUUGGAAAGGGUCCCGGCGGACUAUUGAUACAUCCAUUUUGCAUCAUGCUUUUAUAUCAAUAUUUAUUGCAUUAUGGGCUGUUAUUACACAUUAGGUCACAAUACUUAUGCCUAUUUUCUCUUAUUUUACAAGGUUUACAUAAGGAGGGAGAAUGCCGAAAGCUGGAAUUCUGGGUUGGAAAAGGAGCAAAUAUUAGAGACCUAUUCUGCACAACUCCAAAAGUCCUGAAACUCCACGGAAGUUAUUUUUGGAAAUAAUGAAAAAUACUGAGCGGAAGAAAUACCAGAGGGGGGCCACACCCUGGCCACGAGGGUGGGGGCGCACCCUACCCCCUGGGCGCGCCCCCUGCCUCGUGGGCCCCCUGUUGGCCCUCCGGUGCCCAUCUUCUGCUAUAUGAAGUCUUUCGUCCGAAGAAAAAUCAGAAGCAAGCUUUCGGGACGAGACUCCGCCGCCACGAGGCGAAACCAAUCUAGGGCUCUGGCAGAGCUCUUCUGCCGGGGACACUUCCCUCCGGGAGGGGGAAAUCAUCGCCAUCAUCAUCACCAACACUCCUCUCAUCGGGAGGGGGCCAAUCUCCAUCAACAUCUUCACCAGCACCAUCUCCUCUCAAACCCUAGUUCAUCUCUUGUAUCCAAUUCUUGUCUCUAAGUCUGGGAUUGGUACUUGUAGGUUGCUAGUAGUGUUGAUUACUCCUUGUAGUUGAUGCUAGUUGGUUUAUUUGGUGGAAGAUCAUAUGUUCAGAUCCUUUAUGCAUAUUAAUACUCUUCUGAUUAUGAACAUGAAUAUGCUUUGUGAGUAGUUACGUUUGCUCCUGAGGACAUGGGAGAAGUCUUGCUAUUAGUAGUCAUGUGAAUUUGGUAUUCGUUCGAUAUUUUGAUGAGAUGUAUGUUGUCUCUCCUCUAGUGGUGUUAUGUGAACGUCGACUACAUGACACUUCACCAUUAUUUGGGCCUAGAGGAAGGCAUUGGGAAGUAAUAAGUAGAUGAUGGGUUGCUAGAGUGAUAGAAGCUUAAACCCUAGUUUAUGCGUUGCUUCGUAAGGGCUGAUUUGGAUCCAUAUGUUUCAUGCUAUGGUUAGGUUUACCUUAAUACUUCUUUUGUAGUUGCGGAUGCUUGCAAUAGGAGUUAAUCAUAAGUGGGAUGUUUGUGCAAGUAAGGGCAGCACCCAAGCACCGGUCCACCCACAUAUCAAAUUAUCAAAGUACCGAACGCGAAUCAUAUGAACGUGAUGAAAACUAGCUUGACGAUAAUUCCCAUGUGUCCUCGGGAGCGCUUUUAUCUAUAUAAGAGUUUGUCCAGGCUUGUCCUUUGCUACAAAAAGGAUUGUGCCACCUUGCUGCACUUUAUUUACUUUUGUUACUUGUUACUCGUUACAAAUUAUCUUAUCACAAAACUAUCUGUUACCUAUAAUUUCAGUGCUUGCAGAGAAUACCUUGCUGAAAACCGCUUAUCAUUUCCUUCUGCUCCUCGUUGGGUUCGACACUCUUACUUAUCGAAAGGACUAUGAUAGAUCCCCUAUACUUGUGGGUCAUCAAGACUCUUUUCUGGCGCCGUUGCCGGGGAGUGAAGCACCUUUGGUAGGUGGAAUUUGGUAAGGAAAAAUAUAUAUAGUGUGCUGAAAUUUACUAUCAGUUGUUACUAUGGAAAGUAAUCCUCUGAGGGGCUUGUUCGGGGUAGCUUCACCCCGACCAGUAGAGCAAAGAGUUGCUCCUCAACCUACUGAACCUACUGAAAAUGAAAAUGUCUACUUUGAAAUUCCUUCGGGUAUGAUAGAAAAACUGUUAGCUAAUCCUUUUGCAGGAGAUGGAACAUUACAUCCUGAUGAGCACCUAAUAUAUGUGGAUGAAGUUUGUGGAUUUUCUAAGCUUGCAGGUAUGCCCGAUGAUGUUAUCAAGAAGAAGGUUUUCCCUUUAUCUUUGAAGGGAGAUGCAUUGACAUGGUAUAGGCUAUGUGAUGAUAUGGGAUCAUGGAACUACAAAUGAUUGAAAUUGGAAUUUCAUCAGAAGUUUUAUCCUAUGCAUCUUGUUCAUCGUGAUCGUAAUUAUAUAUAUAAUAUUUGGCCUCGCGAAGGAGAAAGCAUCGAUCAAGCUUGGGGGAGGCUUAAGUAAAUGUUAUAUUCAUGCCCCAAUCAUGAGCUCUCAAGAGAAAUGAUUAUUCAAAAUUUUUAUGCUCGGCUUUCUGAUAACAAUCGCACCAUGCUCGAUACUUCUUGUGCUGGCUCUUUUAUGAUGAAGACUAUUGAAUUCAAAUGGGAUUUAUUGUAAAGAAUUAAACGCAACUCUGAAGAUUGGGAUCUCGACGAAGGUAAGGAGUCAGGUAUGACAUCUAAGUUUGAUUGUUGUCAAUCUUUUAUGGAUACCGAUGUUUUUCGUAAAUUUAGCACUAAAUAUGGACUUGACUCUGAGAUAGUAGCUUCUUUCUGUGAAUCUUUUACUACUCAUGUUGAUCUCCCUAAGGAGAAGUGGUUUAAAUACCAUCCUCCCAUAGAAGUAAAAGUAGCUGCACCUAUUGAAGUCGAAGAGAAGACUAUCACUUAUAAUGAUCCUAUUGUUCCUACUGCCUAUGUUGAGAAACCACCUUUCCCUGUUAGAAUAAAGGAUCAUGCUAAAGCUUCAACUGUGGUUCGUAAAAGCAAUAUUAGAACUUAUACACCUCCUGAGCAAGUUAAAGUUGAACCUAAUAUUGCUAUUGUUAAAGAUCUCUUGGCUGAUAAUAUUGAUGGGCAUGUUAUUUAUUUCUGUGAUGAAACUGCUAGAAUUGCUAAACCUUGUGCUAAAGAUAAACAUAGAACUGUGGUAGGCAUGCCUAUUAUUUCUGUUAAAAUAGGAGAUCAAUGUUAUCAUGGCUUGUGUGAUAUGGGUACUAGUGCUAGUGCAAUACCUAUUGACUUAUACAAAGAAAUUAUGCAUGAUAUUGCACCUGCUGAGUUAGAAGAUAUUGAUGUCACAAUUAAGCUUGCCAAUGGAGAUACUAUUUCACCCAUGGGAAUUGUUAGAGAUGUUGAAGUCUUAUGUGGGAAAACUAAAUAUCCUGCUGAUUUUCUUGUUCUUGGUUCCCCACAAGAUAGCUUUUGUCCCAUUAUAUUUGGUAGACCCUUCUUAAACACUGUUAAUGCUAGGAUAGACUGCGAAAAGGAUGUUGUUACUAUUGGUCUAGGUGAUAUGUCUCAUGAGUUCAACUUCUCUAAAUUUCGUAGACAACACCAUGAAGAGGAACUGCCUAGUAAAGAUGAAAUUAUUGGUCUUGCUUCUAUUGCCGUACCUCCUAGUGAUCCUUUAGAACAAUAUUUGCUAGACCAUGAAAAUGAUAUGUUUAUGAAUGAAAGAAGGGAAAUAGAUGAAGUGUUCUUUAAACAGGGACCUAUUCUGGAACACAACUUGCCUGUUGAAAUCCUAGGGGAUCCUCCUCCACCCAAGGGUGAUCCUGUGUUUGAGCUUAAACCAUUGCCUGAUACUCUUAAAUAUGCUUAUCUUGAUGAAAAGAAGAUAUAUCCUGUUAUUAUUAGUGCUAACCUUUCAGAGGAGGAAGAAAAAUUAUUGAAAACUCUGAAGAAGCACCGUGCUGCUAUUGGAUAUACUCUUGAUGAUCUUAAGGGCAUUAGUCCCACUCUAUGCCAACACAAAAUAAAUUUGGAGAAAGAUGCCAAACCAGUUGUUGAUCAUCAACGACGGCUGAAUCCUAAAAUGAAAGAAGUGGUAAGAAAGGAAAUACUAAAGCUCCUUGAGGCAGGUAUAAUCUAUCCCGUUGCUGAUAGUCAGUGGGUAAGUCCUGUCCAUUGUGUCCCUAAGAAGGGAGGUAUUACUGUCGUUCCCAAUAAUAAAGAUGAAUUGAUUCCGCAAAGAAUUAUUACAGGGUAUAGGAUGGUAAUUGAUUUCCACAAAUUAAAUAAAGCUACUAAAAAAGAUCACUACCCCUUACCUUUUAUUGAUCAAAUGCUAGAAAGAUUAUCCAAACAUACACAUUUUUGCUUUCUAGAUGGUUAUUCUGGUUUCUCUCAAAUACCUGUGUCAGCUGAUGAUCAAGCUAAGACCACUUUUACUUGCCCUUUCGGUACUUUUCCUUAUAGACGUAUGCCUUUUGGUUUAUGUAAUGCACCUGCUACCUUUCAAAGAUGCAUGAUGGCUAUAUUCUCUGAUUUUUGUGAAAAGAUUUGCGAGGUUUUCAUGGAUGAUUUCUCCGUCUAUGGAUCCUCUUUUGAUGAUUGCUUGAGCAACCUUGAUCGAGUUUUGCAGAGAUGUGAAGAAACUAAUCUUGUCUUGAACUGGGAAAAGUGCCACUUUAUGGUUAAUGAAGGCAUUAUCUUGGGGCAUAAAAUUUCUGAAAGAGUUAUUGAAGUUGAUAAAGCUAAAGUUGAUGCUAUUGAAAAGAUGCCAUGUCCCAAGGACAUCAAAGGUAUAAGAAGUUUUCUUGGUCAUGCCGGGUUUUAUAGGAGGUUCAUUAAGGAUUUCUAAAAAAAUUCUCGGCCUGUGACUAAUCUAUUUCAAAAAGAUAUACCAUUUGUCUUUGAUGACGAUUGUGUAGAAGCAUUUGAAAUACUUAAGAAAGCAUUGAUUUCUGCACCUAUUGUUCAGCCACCUGAUUGGAAUUUACCCUUUGAAAUUAUGUGUGAUGCUAGUGAUUAUGCUGUAGGAGCUGUUCUAGGGCAAAGAGUUGAUAAGAAAUUAAUUGUUAUUCAAUAUGCUAGUAAAACUCUAGACAAUGCCCAAAGAAAUUAUGCUACUACUGAAAAGGAAUUCUUAGCAGUUGUAUUUGCUUGUGAUAAGUUCAGACCUUAUAUUGUUGAUUCUAAAGUAACUAUUCACAUGGAUCAUGCUGCUAUUAAAUAUCUUAUGGAAAAGAAAGAUGCUAAACCUAGGCUUAUUAGAUGGGUUCUCUUGCUACAAGAAUUUGAUUUGCAUAUUGUUGAUAGAAAGGGAGCUGAGAACCCCGUUGCAGACAACUUGUCUAGGUUAGAAAAUGUUCUUGAUGACCCACUACCUAUUGAUGAUAGCUUUCCCGAUGAGCAAUUAAAUGUCAUAAAUGCUUCUCAUACUGCUCCAUGGUAUGCUGAUUAUGCUAAUUACAUUGUUGCUAAAUUCAUACCACCUAGUUUCACAUACCAGCAAAAGAAAAAGUUUUUCUAUGAUUUGAGACAUUACUUCUGGGAUGACCCGCAUCUUUAUAAAGAAGGAGUAGAUGGUGUUAUUAGACGUUGUGUGCCUGAGCUUGAACAGGAACAUAUCCUACGCAAGUGUCACUCCGAGGCUUAUGGAGGACACCAUGCUGGAGAUAGAACUGCACAUAAGGUAUUGCAAUCCGGUUUUUAUUGGCCUACUCUCUUUAAGGAUGCCCGUAAGUUUGUCUUAUCUUGUGAUGAAUGUCAAAGAAUUGGUAAUAUUAGUAGACGUCAAGAAAUGCCUAUGAAUUAUUCACUUGUUAUUGAACCAUUUGAUGUUUGGGGCUUUGAUUAUAUGGGACCGUUUCCUGCCUCUAAUGGAUAUACACAUAUUUUAGUUGCUGUUGAUUACGUUACUAAGUGGGUAGAAGCUAUUCCAACUAGUAGUGCUGAUCAUAACACUUCUAUUAAGAUGCUUAAAGAAGUUAUUUUUUCGAGGUUUGGAGUCCCUAGAUAUUUAAUGACUGAUGGUGGUUCACAUUUUAUUCAUGGUGCCUUUCGUAAAAUGCUUGCUAAGUAUGAUGUUAAACAUAGAAUUGCAUCUCCUUAUCACCCACAGUCUAGUGGUCAAGUAGAAUUGAGCAAUAGAGAGCUCAAAUUAAUUUUGCAAAAGACUGUUAGUAGACCUAGACAGAAUUGGUCCAAGAAACUUGAUGAUGCAUUAUGGGUCUAUAGAACUACAUAUAAAAAUCCUAUGGGUAUGUCUCCAUAUAAAAUGGUUUAUGGAAAAGCAUGUCACUUAUCUCUCGAACUAGAACAUAAGGCGUAUUGGGCUAUUAAAGAGCUCAACUAUGAUUUCAAAAUUGCCGGUGAAAAUAGGUUAUUUGACAUUAGCUCACUUGAUGACUGGAGAACCCAAGCCUAUGAGAAUGGCAAGUUGUUUAAAGAAAAAGUUAAAAGAUGGCAUGACAAAAGAAUACAAAAGCGUGAGUUUAAUGUAGGUGAUUAUGUAUUGCUAUACAACUCUCAUUUAAGAUUUUUUGCAGGAAAACUUCUCUCUAAAUGGGGAGGUCCUUACGUUAUCGAGGAGGUUUAUCGUUCCGGUGCCAUAAAAAUCAACAACUUCGAAGGCACAAAUCCGAAGGUGGUGAACGGUCAAAGAAUCAAACACUAUAUCUCAGGUAAUCCUAUAAAUGUUGAAACCAACGUUAUUGAAACCGUAAACCCGGAGGAAUACAUAAGAGACACUUUCCAGAACGUUUCAGACUUCGAAAAGGAAUAGGUAUGUGGUACGGUAAGUAAACCGACUCCAAAACAGUUCUAAUGGCAAUUUUUCUCCGUUUUGGAAUAUUUAGAAAAAUAGAAAAAUAAGAAGCAGUCCGGGAAGGACACAAGGGCUCCACGAGGGUGGAGGGCGCGCCCCUGCCUCGUGGGCACCUCGUGUGCUCUCCGGACUCCGUUUUCUUGCACGAUACGUAUUUUGGUCGGUAAAAAUUCAUUAUAUAAUCUCCCGAAGGUUUUGACCAUCGUAUAACGCAAUUGUCCUCUGUUCUUGUUUCGAGCUGUUUUUCCUGACAGAUCUAGAUCAUCAUGAUGUCUCCAAGUGGCCCCAAGGACAAGUUCUUCGAGAAGGUCAUCAACCCCUACCUCGCGGAGGUGCUGCAACACCCUCAAACCAUUGAGAUGCAUGAGGGGGUGCUGCACAUCCGCGAUGUUGAGGGACCAAGGAGGACCGGAAGCGUGGAGACAAGGCAAAAGGCAAUGGAGCAACAAGUUUUCAAGUGCUAGGAGAUGGUGGAGCGUGGACUUGACUCCAAUCACAUAAUGAUCACGGAGUUCACCAACAACCACAAGCUAGAUGCCAAGGACAUUGGGGAGGCCAUCUUCAAGCUCCACGAGAAAAUUGAGCACCUCCAAGCCCAAAUCUAUGACCUGCAAAACCAAAACUAUGAGUAUGAAUAUAGAUUCAAGAGGAUGAGUUUGGCUGCAGAUUUAAGGAUCCCGGAGACUCGAUCAUCCUUCUAUGAUGGUGAGCCUAUGCCUUGGAAGAUGGACGACAAGCCUACAUCAUCCACAACCCCUUCACCAGCAAAGGAGACAUAAUCACAUGGGUAUGGGCACUCCCCUUGGCAACUGCCAAGCUUGGGGGAGGUGCGCCGGUAUCGUAUCACCAUCACAUCUCUAUCUUUACCGUUUUUCUUAGUUCGAUCCUUUUUAGUAUUAUCUUGAUCUAGUAGAAUAAAAGUUUUAGUAUGAUCUAGUUUUGAGUUUUGCUUUAUGAUCCUUCUAUGUAAUCGAGUCCGUGAGCCAUAUAAUAAAGAUUAGUGUUGAGUCAAGGGCUUGAUUAUUUUGCCAUGAUCUUGAGUGAAUAAAAGAAAAAGAAAAGGAAUAAAAAGAAACAAAGAGAUCAUAUUGAUCUUAUGGAGAGUAAUGACUUCACAUAGAAAGAGUAUGAUGAUUAAAAGUUGUUGAGAGUUGACAAGCAUAGCCUUGGUCAUCGUUGCAAUUAAUAGGAAGUAAUAAAGAAAGGGAGGUUUCACAUAUAAAUAUACUAUCUUGGACAUCUUUUAUGAUUGUGAGCACUCAUUAAAAUAUGACAUGCUAAAGAGUUGAUGUUGGACAAGGAAGACAACGUAAUGGGUUAUGUUUUCUUAUAUCCGAAAUAAAGUAUAUUGUUAUGGAUCAUCCAACAUGUUGAGCUUGCCUUUCCCCCUCAUGCUAGCCAAAUUCUUUGCACCAAGUAGAAAUACUACUUGUGCUUCCAAAAACCCUUAAACCCAGUUUUGCCAUCCACCAUAUCUACCUAUGGAUUGAGUAAGAUCCUUCAAGUAAGUUGUCAUCGGUGCAAGCAAUAAAAAUUGCUCUCUAAAUAUGUAUGAUUGAUUAGUGUGGAGGAAAUAAGCUUUAUACUAUCUUGUGUUGUGGAAGAAAUAAAAGCGACGGACUGCAUAAUAAAGGUCCAUAUCACAAGUGGCAAUAUAAAGUGACGUUUUUUUCACAUUGAGAUUUUGUGCAUCGAACCCUGAAAGCGCAUGACAACCUCCGCUUCCCUCUGCGAAGGGCCUAUCUUUUAAUUUUAUCCCUUACCCUUAUGCAAGAGUCAUGGUGAUCUUCACCUUUCCUUUUUAUAUUUUGUCCUUUGGCAAGCACAGUGUGUUGGAAAGAUCCUGAUAUAUAUAUAUAUAUAUCCAAUUGGAUGUAAGUUAGCAUGAACUAUUAUUGUUGACAUUACCCUUGAGGUAAAAGGUUGGGAGGCGAAACUAUAAGCCCCUAUCUUUCUCUGUGUCCGAUUAAAACUCCGUAACCACAAGUAUUGCGUGAGUGUUAGCAAUUGUGAAAGACUAAAUGAUAGUUGAGUAUGUGGACUUGCUGAAAAGCUCUGACAUAGACUCUUUCUGAUGUUAUGAUAAAUUGCAAUUGCUUCAAUGACUAAGAUUAUAGUUUGUUGGUUCUCAAUGAAGUUUCUGAUUCAUACUUGACAUUGUGAAUAGAUUAUUACUUGAGCAUAAGAAAUCAUAUGACAUUAUCCAUAUAUGUUGCUGUUAUGAGAAUAAUCAUGAUGCCCUCAUGUCCGUAUUUUAUUUUAUCGACACCUCUACCUCUAAACAUGUGGACAUAUUUAUCGUUAUCGGCUUCCGCUUGAGGACAAGCGAGGUCUAAGCUUGGGGGAGUUGAUACGUCCAUUUUGCAUCAUGCUUUUAUAUCGAUAUUUAUUGCAUUACCGGCUGUUAUUACACAUUAUGUCACAAUACUUAUGCCUAUUUUCUCUUAUUUUACAAGGUUUACAUAAGGAGGGAGAACGCCGGCAGCUGGAAUUCUGGGCUGGAAAAGGAGCAAAUAUUAGAGACCUAUUCUGCACAACUCCAAAAGUCCUGAAACUCCACGGAAGUUAUUUUUGGAAAUAAUGAAAAAUACUGAGCGUAAGAAAUACCAGAGGGGGCCCACACCCUGGCCACGAGGGUGGGGGGCGCGCCCUACCCCCCUGGGCGCGCCCCUGCCUCGUGGGCCCCCUGUUGGCCAUCCGGUGCCCAUCUUCUGCUAUAUGAAGUCUUUCGUCCGAAGAAAAAUCAAAAGCAAGCUUUCGGGACGAGACUCCGCCGCCACGAGGUGGAACCUUGGCGGAACCAAUCUAGGGCUCUGGCGGAGCUGUUCUGCCGGGGACACUUCCCUCUGGGAAGGGGGAAAUCAUCGCCAUCGUCAUCACCAACGCUCCUCUCAUCGGGAGGGGGCCAAUCUCCAUCAACAUCUUCACCAGCACCAUCUCCUCUCAAACCCUAGUUCAUCUCUUGUAUCCAAUUCUUGUCUCUAAGUCUGGGUUUGGUACUUGUAGGUUGCUAGUAGUGUUGAUUACUCCUUGUAGUUGAUGCUAGUUGGUUUAUUUGGUGGAAGAUCAUAUGUUCAGAUCCUUUAUGCAUAUUAAUAGUCUUCUGAUUAUGAACAUGAAUAUGCUUUGUGACUAGUUACGUUUGUUCCUGAGGACAUGGGAGAAGUCUUGCUAUUAGUAGUCAUGUGAAUUUGGUAUUCGUUCGAUAUUUUGAUGAGAUGUAUGUUGUCUCUCCUCUAGUGGUGUUAUGUGAACGUCGACUACAUGACACUUCACCAUUAUUUGGGCCUAGAGGAAGGCAUUGGGAAGUAAUAAGUAGAUGAUGGGUUGCUAGAGUGACAGAAGCUUAAACCCUAGUUUAUGCGUUGCUUCGUAAGGGGCUGAUUUGGAUCCAUGUGUUUCAUGCUAUGGUUAGGUUUACCUUAAUACUUCUUUUGUAGUUGCGGAUGCUUGCAAUAGGAGUUAAUCAUAAGUGGGAUGUUUGUUCAAGUAAGGGCAGCACCCAAGCACCGGUCCACCCACAUAUCAAAUUAUCGAAGUACCGAAGGCGAAUCAUAUGAACGUGAUGAAAACUAGCUUGACGAUAAUUCUCAUGUGUCCUCGGGAGCGCUUUUCUCUAUAUAAGAGUUUGUACAGGCUUGUCCUUUGCUACAAAAAGGAUUGGGCCACCUUGCUGCACUUUAUUUACUUUUGUUACUUGUUACUCGUUACAAAUUAUCUUAUCACAAAACUAUCUGUUACCUAUAAUUUCAGUGCUUGCAGAGAAUACCUUGCUGAAAACCGCUUAUCAUUUCCUUCUGCUCCUCGUUGUGUUCGACACUCUUACUUAUCGAAAGGACUACGAUAGAUCCCCUAUACUUGUGGGUCAUCAACUAUCUGUUCUGAAUGACACUGAGGGACACGCACCCAUGUGGAAGAAGAAAUCUAUAUUUUGGGACCUACCCUACUGGAAAGACCUAGAGGUCCGCUCUUCAAUCAACGUGAUGCACGUGACGAAGAAUCUUUGCAUGAACCUGCUAGGCUUCUUGGGCGUGUAUGGGAAUACAAAAGAUACACCGGAGGCACGGGAGGACCAGCAACGUGUGCACGAAAAAGAUGGCAUGCCUCCAAAGUAGUAUGAAGGUCCUGCGAGCUAAGCUCUUACCGAAGAAGAGAAGGAAAUCUUUUUUGAAUGCCUGCUCAGUAUGAAGGUCAUCUGGCUUCUCGUCGAAUAUAAAGGGAAUAAUAAAUAUGCCAGAGAAAAAGUUCCAGAACCUAAAGUCUCAUGACUACCACGUGAUUAUGACGCAACUGCUUUCAGUUACAUUGAGGGGGCUUCUACCGAAAAAAAUUCGAUUAGCCAUUGUGAAGCUAUGUUCAUUCCUCAAUGCAAUCUCUAAGAAGGUGAUCGAUCCAGAAAUCCUACCAAGGUUAAGUAGUGAUGUGGCGCGAUGUCUUGUUAGUUUCGAGCUGAUGUUCCCACCAUCCUUCUUCAAUAUCAUGACGCACAUCCUAGUUCAUCUAGUCGACGAGAUUGUCGUUCUGGGCCCUGUAUUUCUACACAAUAUGUUCCCCUUUGAGAGGUUCAUGGGAGUCCUAAAGAAAUAUGUCCGUAACCGCACUAGGCUAGAAGGAAGCAUCUCCAUGGGCCAUCAAACAGGGGAUGUCAGUGGGUUUUGUGUUGACUUCAUUCCUGACCUUAAGAAGAUUGGUCUCCCUCAAUCGCGGUAUGAGGGCAGACUGACUAGAAAAGGCACGCUAGGAGGGGACUCAAUAAUAAGUAGGGACGGGCAUUCUUGGUCUCAAGCACACUACACAGUUCUAUAGAAUUCUACCUUGGUGACCCCGUAUGUCGAUGAACACAAGAACAUUCUGCGCUCCAAACACUCGGAGCAGUGUGACGACUGGAUUACAUGUGAACACAUUAGGAAUUUCGGCAGUUGGUUGCAAACACGUCUUAGGGGUGACAACACUGUUUCUGAUGAGCUGUACUCGUUGGCGAGGGGACCAUCUUUGACUGUAUUGACUUACAAAGGGUACGAGAUAAAUGCGAAUACAUUUUGCACGAUCACCCAAGAUCAAAAGAGCACCAACCAAAACAACGGUGUCCGCUUUAAUGCAUCAACCAAGAGGGGAAAGGACACAUAUUAUGGUUACAUAGUGGACAUAUGGGAACUUGACUAUGGACAUGAUUUUAAGGUCCCUUUGUUUCAGUGCAAAUGGGUCAAUCUGUUAGGAGGCGGGGUACAGGUAGACCCACAGUACGGAAUGACAACAGUGGAUCUGAACAAUCUUGGGUACACAGACGAACCAUUUGUCCUAGCCAAUGAUGUGGUGCAGGUUUUCUAUGUGAAGGACAUGUCUACCAAACCGAGAAAAAGAAAAGAUAAGGAAGCUAAUACAUCAUACGAUGAGCCAAAGCGCCACAUAGUUCUUUCAGGGAAAAGAGGCAUCAUGGGAUUGGAGGGCAAGACAGACAUGUCUGAAGAUUAUGAAAAGUUUCAUGAAAUUCCUACCUUCAAAGUCAAGGCUGACCCAAGCACCCUGUUAAACGAUGAAGAAUAUCCAUGGUUACAGCGCAAUAAGCAAAGAAAAAGUGAAGACUUUCUCUCCACAACUAUUAUGAUGAUGCCUUUGAUCUAGAAUAUCACUGCAGUUACAUGUGAAGAAAUGAAAUGCUUUUUGUAACAGAUGAGCUUUCGUACGAAACCUUGAUACUUCGAAAGAGAAUGUACGUUUUCUACACGAAGUGCAUCCAGUUUUUGCCGUAGCCCUCUCAACUUUUUAGCACAUGCUAUGUGGGUGAAAUGAUGAUACCAUGCCAACUUUCAACCUUUUCAGAGUUCAUUUGUAGUGCUUUUCAAUUUCAGGGUCAUAUAGCUCAAAAAUAUCAGUAAAUACAUGAAAAAUACCAGAUGAAAAUAGAAAGAGUUGAAAAUUGAUGAUGUGGCUAUGAAUGGUUCAUUUUGAACACACAAAAAGUCUGGAGUUCAAAUAAGUUCAAAAAAUUAAAAUCCCUUUGUAACAGAUGAGUUUUCCUCCGAAACCCUGAUACUUCGGAAGAGAUUGUCCAUUUUGUACACGCACAUCCAGUUUUUGGGGUAACCCUCUCAACUUUUUAGCACAUGGUAUGUGGGUGAAAUGAUGAUACCAUGCCAACUUUCAACCUUUUUAGAGUUCAUUUGUAGUGCUUUUCAAUUUCAGGGUCAUAUAGCUCAAAAAUAUCAGUAAAUGCAUGAAAAAUAACAAAUGAAGUCAGAAAGGGUUGAAAAUUGAUGAUGUGGCUUUGAAUGGUGCAUUUUGAACACACAAAAAGUCUGCAGUUCAAAUAAGUUCAAAAAAUGAAAUCCCUUUGUAACAGAUGAACUUUCGUCCGAAACCCUGAUACUUUGAAAGAGAUUGUCCAUUUUGUCCACAAAGUGCAUCCAGUUUUUGACGUAACCCUCUCAACUUUUUAGCACAUGCUAUUUGGGUGAAAUGAUGAUACCAUGCCAACUUUCAACCUCUUCAGAGUUCAUUUGAAGUCUUUUUCAAUUUCAGGGUCAUUUAGCUCAAAGAAUGAACUAAUAGCAAAAAGAAUGAACUAGAAAACUUUUAUGAAACUCUAAUAGCAAAAAUAAUGAACUAGAAAACUUGAAUGAAACUCUAAUAGCAAAAAGAAUGAACUUCAAAACUUUAAUGAAACUCUAAUAGCAAAAGGAAUCCACUAAAAAGCUUUUAUAAACGUCUAGUAUUUUUGAAACUGAAAUUAUAUAAAAUUUAUGCAACUAAAAUUAUCAAAGUAUUUUUUGUUCAAAACAUUAAUAGCAAAAAGAAUUUUCAUAAAGAAUUUUUUGUUUGAAACUUUAAUAGCAAACUAAAAUAACAAAAUCUGUUUUUGAUUAAAACAGACAUUUCAAAUAAGCUGAAAAUUACCUAAUUGAAUAUAAUGAUAAAAUAUAGUAGUAUUAAAUAGCAGGAAAAAGAAUCACUCAAAAAUCUAUUUUUAAAGUAAAGUUAUUCAAAAACUAGAGAUUCACACAAAUUUCAAAAAAUUCAAUAUUCACAUUGGAAAACCAAUGGUACUAACAGAAAGUUAAUAAUUUUUAUUACCUAAAAGCCAAAAGAAUCACUGAAAAACUAGUAAGUAUUUUGCUGUAAGUAGAAACAAAAUAAAAUAAAUAAAGCAAAAAAGAAAACAAAAAAACUGGAAAAAAAUUAAAAAUGCCACCUACUGGGCCACCACGGCCUGAAUACGACUAGAAACCCAACCAUGGGCCAGGAUGCAGGCCCGCAGCAGGCCCAAUAGGCCCACAGGCAAGGAGUGACAGAUUAGGCCCGGAAGUCUGCAGUUGAGAGGAGUGAUAACCCACAAGUAUAGGGGAUCAAUUGUAGCCUCUUUCGAUAAGUAAGAGUGUCGAAUCCAACGAGGAGCUAAAGGUAGAACAAAUAUUCCCUCAAGUUCUAUCGACUACCGAUACAACUCUACGCACACUUAACGUUCGCUUUACCUAGAACAAGUAUGAAAGUAGAAGUACUUUGUAGGUGUUGUUGGAUAGGUUUGCAAGAUUAUAAAGAGCACGUAAAUAAAUUCUAGGGGUUGUUUAGAUAAAGACACAACUAAGUUAGUUUCAGUAGAGAGCUUUUUGUCACGAGAAAGUUGUUUGUCCCUAGGCAAUCGGUAACUAGACCGGUAGUCAUUAUUGCAAUUUUCUUCGAGGGAGAGGCAUAAGCUAACAUACUUUCUCUUCUUGGAUCAUAUGCACUUAUGAUUGGAACUCUAGCAAGAAUCCGCAACUACUAAAGAUCAUUAAGGUAAAACCUAACCAUAGCAUUAUAAGGCAUCAAGUCCUCUUUACUCCCAUACGCAAACAACCUACUUACUCGGGUCUGUGCUUUUGUCACUCACGCCACCCACCAUAAGCAAAUCAUGAACAUAUUGCAAACCCUACUGUGGGGAUCCCUCAUGCUUGAGCAACACGGAGAGCACCAUAGGAUAGCACCAAUAAUAAAACAUGCAACUCAAACCAAUCACGAUCAUCGAUUAACCCAUAGGACAACACGGAUCUACUCAAACAUCAUGGGAUAGCCAUACAUCAUUGGGAAAUAAUAUAUAGCGUUGAGCACCAUGUUUAAGUAGAGAUUACAGUGGGUAAAAGAGGGGUUACACCGCUGCAUAGAGGGGGUAAGAGUUGGUGAUGAUGGCGGUGAAGUUGUUGGUGUAGAUCGUUGUUGCGAUGAUGGCCCUGGCGGCGUUCCGGCACCACCGGGAGAGAGAGGGGGAGAGAGCCCCCUUCUUCUUCUUCUUCUUCUUCUUCUUCUUCUUCCUUGACCUUCCUCCUAGAUGGGAGAAGGGUUUCCCCUCUGGUCCAUGGCCUCCAUGGCGGCGGAGGGGCGAGAGCCCCUCCGAGAUUUGAUCUCUCUCUCUAUUUCCUUCUCUUUCUGCGCUCCCUGAUUCUGCCCUUUCACCGUUUCUUAAAUUCCCGGGGAUCCAUAACUCCGAUUGGGCUGAAAUUUGGACACGAUUUUUAUCCAGAUAUUGGCUUUAUUGCGGCGAAAGAAGGGUACCAACCGCCUUACGGAGUGGCUACGAGGGCCCAGGGUGCGCCCUACCCCCUGGGACGCGCCCCUCACCCUCGUGGGCCCCUCGGGCAUCGUCUAGCGUUGAUUCCACUUCCCAAAAUUCACAUAUAUUCCAAAAAAAAUCUCCGUAAGUUUUUAUCCCGUUUGGACUCCAUUUGAUAUGGAUUUUCUGCGAAGCAAAAAACAUGCAAGAAACAGGAACUGGCACUGGGCAUUGGAUCAAUAUGUUAGUCCCAAAAAAGUAUAAAAAGUUGCCAAAAGUAUGUAAAAGUUGUAGAAUAUUGGCAUGGAACAAUCAAAAAUUAUAGAAAAGACGUAUCAGCAUCCCCAAGCUUAAUUCCUGCUCGUCCUCGAGUAGGUAAAUGAUAAAAAGAUAAUUUUUGAUGUGGAAUGCUACCUAGCAUAAUCUUGAUCAUGUAAUCUAAUCAUGGCAUGAAUAGUAAGAAACGAAUGAUUCAAAGCAAUAGUCUAUCAUUUGACAUUAAGACAAUAAUACUUCAAGCAUACUAAUAAAGUAAUCAUGUCUUUUCAAAAUAACAUGGCCAAAGAAAGUUAUCCCUACAAAAUCAUAUGGUCUGGCUAUGCUCCAUCUUCACCACACAAAGUAUUUAAAUCAUGCACAACCCCGGUUUUAGCCAAGCAAUUGUUUCAUACUUUUGACGUUAUCAAACCUUUUCAACUUUCACGCAAUACAUGAGCGUGAGCCAUGGACAUAGCACUAUAGGUGGAAUAGAAUAUGAUGGUGGAGGUUGUGUUGAGAAGACAAAAAGGAGAAAGUCUCACAUCGACGCGGCUAAUCAAUGGGCUAUGGAGAUGCCCAUCAAUUGAUGUCAAUGUGAGGAGUAGGGAUUGCCAUGCAACGGAUGCACAAAGAGCUAUAAGUGUAUGAAAGCUCAAUCUGGAAACUAAGUGGGUGUGCAUCCAACUUGCUUGCUCAUGAAGACCUCGGGCAUUUGAGGAAGCCCAUCAUCAGAAUAUACAAGCCAAGUUCUAUAAUGGAAAUUCCCACUAGUAUAUGAAAGUGAUAACUCAAGAGACUCUCUAUAUGAAGAACAUGUUGCUACUUUGAAGCACAAGUGUGGUAAAAGGAUAGUAGCAUUGCCCCUUCUCUCUUUUUCUCUCAUUUUUUUGUUUUUUUGGUGGGCUUCUUUGGCCUCUUUUAUUUUUUGUGGGCUUCUUUGGCCUCUUUUUUUGUAAAGUCUGAAGACUCAUCCCAACUUGUGAGGGAAUCAUAGCUUCCAUCAUCCCUUCCUAACAUGGAACAAUGCUCUAAUAAUGAUGAUCAUCACACUUUUAUUUACUUACAACUCAAUAUUACAACUGGAUACUAGAACAAAAUAUGACUCUAUAUGAAUGCCUCUCGCAGUGUACCAGGAUGUGCAAUGACCUAGCAUAGCAAAGACAUAAAAAAACGGACAAGCCAUGAAAACAUCAUGCUAGCUAUCUUACGAUCAUGCAAGGCAACAUGAAAAUAAACGCUCAAGUCAUGUAUAUGAUGAUGACGGAAGUUGCAUGGCAAUAUAUCUCGGACUGGCUAUAGAAAUGCCAUGAUAGGUAGGUACGGUGGCUGUUUUGAGGAAGAUAUAAGGAGGCUUAUGUGUGAUAGAGCGUAUCGUAUCACGGGGUUUGGAUGCAUGGUAUGUCUCCACCGUAUCUAUAAUUUUUUAUUGUUCCAUGCUAUAUUAUAUUCUGUUUUGGAUGUUUAAUGGGCUUUAUUAUACACUUUUAUAUUAUUUUUGGGACUAACCUAUUAACCGGAGGCCCAGCCCAAAUUGCUGUUUUUUGCCUAUUUCAGUGUUUCACAGAAAAAGAAUAUCAAACGGAGUCCAAACGGAAUGAAACCUUUGGGAACGUGAUUUUCGAAACAAACAAGAUCCAAAGGACUUGGAGUCUACGUAAAGCAAUCAACGUGGAGAGCACGAGGCAGGGGGGCGCGCCUACCCCCCCACCCAGGCGCACCCUCCACCCUCGUGGGGCCCACGUUGCCCCACCGACGUACUUCUUCGUCCUAUAUAUACCUACGUACCCCCAAACCAUCAGAGGCAUCCACGAAAACCUAGUUCCAACACCGCAACCUUUUGUACCCGUGAGAUCCCAUCUUGGGGCCUUUUCCGGCGUCCUGCCGGAGGGGGCAUUGAUCACGGAGGGCUUCUACAUCAACACCGUAGCCUCUCCGAUGAUGUGUGAGUAGUUUACCUCAGACGUUCGGGUCCAUAGUUAUUAGCUAGAUGGCUUCUUCUCUCUCUUUGGAUCUCAAUACAAAGUCUCCUCGAUUCUCUUGGAGAUCUAUUUGAUGUAACUCUUCUUUUGCGGUGUGUUUGUGGAGACCAAUGAAUUGUGAGUUUAUGAUCAAGAUUAUCUAUGAACAAUAUUUGAAUCUUCUCCGAACUCUUUUAUGCAUGAUUGGUUAUCUUUGCAAGUCUCUUCGAAUUAUCAGUUUGGUUUGGCCUACUAGAUUGAUCUUUCUUGCAAUGGGAGAAGUGCUUAGCUUUGGGUUCAAUCUUGCGGUGUCCUUUCCCAGUGACAGCAGGGGCAGCAAGGCACGUAUUGUAUUGUUUCCAUCGAGGAUAACAAGAUGGGGUUUAUAUCAUAUUGCAUGAGUUUAUCCCUCUACAUCAUGUCAUAUUGCUUAAAGCGUUACCCCGUUCUUAUGAACUUAAUACUCUAGAUGCAUGCUGGAUAGCGGUCGAUGUGUGGAGUAAUAGUAGUAGAUGCAGAAUCGUUUCGGUCUACUUGUUACAGACGUGAUGCCUAUAUACAUGAUCAUACCUAGAUAUUCUCAUAACUAUGCUGAAUUUUGUCAAUUGCUCGACAGUAAUUUGUUCACCCACCAUAAUACUUGUGCUCUUGAGAGAAGCCACUAGUGAAACCUAUGGCCCCCGGGUCUAUUCUCCAUCAUAUUAAUCUUCCAAGACUUAGCUAUUUUUAUUGUCGUUUAUUUUACUUUGCAUCUUUAUCAUAAAAAUACCAAAAAUAUUAUCUUAUCAUAUCUAACAAAUCUCACUCUCGUAAGUGACCGUGAAGGGAUUAACAACCCCUGUUUUGCGUUGGUCGCGAGGUUCUUAUUUGUUUGUGUAGGUGCGCGGGACUUGCGCAUGAUCUCCUACUGGAUUGAUACCUUGAUUCUCAAAAACUGAGGGAAAUACUUACGCUACUUUACUGCAUCACCCUUUCCUCUUAAGGGAAAACCAACGCAGUGCUCAAGAGGUAGCAAGAAGGAUUUCUCGCGGUGUUGCCGGGGAGAUUCAAGCCAAGUCAAGUCAAGUCAAGACAUACCAAGUACCCAUCACAAACUCUUAUCCCUCGCAUUACAUUAUUUGCCAUUUGCCUCUCAUUUUCCUCUCCCCCACUUCACCCUUGCCGUUUUAUUCGCCCCCUCUUUUCCGUUUGCCUCUUUUACGCUUGCUCCUUGUUUGCUCGUGUGUUGGAUUGCUUGCUUGUCACGAUGGCUCAAGAUAAUACUAAAUUGUGUGACUUUACCAAUACCAACAACAAUGAUUUUCUUAUCACUCCGAUUGCUCCUCUUACCGAUGCGGAAUCUUGUGAAAUUAAUGCUGCUUUGUUGAAUCUUGUCUUGAAAGAUCAAUUCGCCGGCCUUCCUAGUGAAGAUGCCGCUACCCAUCUGAAUAGCUUCGUUGAUUUGUGUGAUAUGCAAAAUAAGAAAGAUGUGGACAAUGAUAUUGUUAAAUAGAAGCUAUUUCCUUUUUCGCUUAGAGUCGUGCUAAAGUUUGGUUUUCAUCUUUGCCUAAAAAUAGUAUUGAUUCAUGGAAUAAGUGCAAAUAUGCUUUUAUCUCUAAGUAUUUUCCUCCCGCUAAAAUCAUCUCUCUUAGAAACGAUAUCAUGAAUUUUAAGCAACUUGAUCAUGAACAUGUUGCACAAGCUUGGGAGAGGAUGAAAUUAAUGGUACGUAAUUGCCCUACACAUGGUUUGAAUCUUUGGAUGAUUAUACAAAAAAUUUAUGCCGGAUUGAAUUUUGCUUCUAGAAACCUUUUAGAUUCGGCCGCGGGAGGCACUUUUAUGGAAAUCACUUUAGGAGAAGCUACUAAACUCCUAGAUAGUAUUAUGGUUAAUUAUUCUCAAUGGCACACCGAAAGAUCUACUAAUAAAAAAGUUCACGCGAUAGAAGAAUUUAAUGUGUUGAGUGGAAAGAUGGAUGAACUCAUGAAAUUAUCUGCUACUAAAAGUGUUUCUUCUGAUCCUAAUGAUAUGCCUUUGUGUACUUUGAUUGAGAAUAAUGAUGAAUCUUUGGAUGUGAACUUUGUUGGUAGGAAUAAUUUUGUUAACAAUGCGUAUAGAGGAAACUAUAAUCCUAGGUCAUUCCCUAGUAAUUCCUCUAAUAAUUAUGGUAAUUCCUACAACAAUUCUUAUGGAAAUUUUAAUAAGAUGCCCUCUGAAUUUUAGACUAGUGUUAAGGAGUUUAUGAAUUCACAAAAGAAUUUCAAUGCUUUGCUUGAAGAAAAAUUGCUUAAAGUUGAUGAAUUGGCUAGGAACAUUGAUAGAAUUUCUCUUUGAAACUUAGAUCUAUUCCACCUAAGCAUGAUAUCAAUGAGUCUCUCAAAGCCAUGAGAAUUUCCAUUGAUGAGUGCAAAUAAAGAACCGCUAGGAUGCGUGCUAAGAAAGAUUGCUUUGUGAAAGCGUGUUCUUCUAAUUUUUAUGAGAAUAAAGAUGAAGAUCUAAAAGUUAUUGAUGUGUCUCCUAUUAAAUCUUUGUUUUGCAAUAUAAAUCUUGAUAAUUAUGGGACUGAAUAUGAGUUACCUUUACCUAGAAGGCAUCCCAAAAAUUCGGAGUUUUUAGAUCUUGAUGCUAAAGUUGGUAAAAGUGGGAUUGAAGAAGUUAAAACUUUAGAUAUUAAUGAACCCACUAUUUUGGAUUUCAAGGAAUUUAAUUAUGAUAAGUGCUCUUUGAUAGUAUGUAUUUCCUUGUUGCAAUCCGUGCUAAAUUCUCCGCAUGCUUAUAGUCAAAAUAAAGCUUUUAAUAAACAUAUCGUUGAUGCUUUGAUGGAAUCUUAUGAAGAAAAACUUGAGUUGGAAGUUUCUAUCCCUAGAAAACUUUAUGAUGAGUGGGAACCUACUAUUAAAAUUAAAAUUAAAGAUCAUGAAUGCUAUGCUUUGUGUGAUUUGGGUGCUAGUGUUUCCACGAUUCCAAAAACUUUGUGCGAUUUGUUAGGUUUCCGCGAAUUUGAUGAUUGCUCUUUAAACUUGCACCUUGCGGAUUCCACUAUUAUCUAUGUGCCCGUAGAUUUUAUUGUUCAUGAUAUAGAUUGCAAUCCUUCAUGUCCUAUUAUUCUUGGUAGACCUUUCCUUAGAACAAUUGGUGCAAUUAUUGAUAUGAAGGAAGGGAAUAUUAGAUUCCAAUUUCUGUUAAGGAAAGGCAUGGAACACUUCCCUAGAAAGAAAAUAAAAUUACCUUAUGAAUCUAUUAUGAGAACCACUUAUGGAUUGCCUUCCAAAUAUGGCAAUACCUAAAUCUAUACUUGCUUUUAUGCCUAGCUAAGGGCGUUAAACGAUAGCGCUUGUUAGGAGGCAACCCAAUUUUAUUUUUAGUUUUUUUUCGCUUUUUUCUUCUGUUUAGGAAUAAAUCUUUGAUCUAGCCUCUUCUUAGAUUUGUUUUUGUGUUUUAAUUAGUGUUUGUGCCAAGUUAAACCUAUAAGAUCAUCUUGGAUAAUAGUUAUUUGAUCUUGCUGAAAAUGCCCGAAACUUUCUGUUCACGAAAACAAUUGUUAAAAAUCACCAGAACGUGAUAAAAUAUUGAUUCCAAUUGCAGUAGAUCAAUAAACAAAUUUUCUAGGUCGUCCUAUUUUGGCAGAAUUGUUUUGGUUCCAGAAGUUUGCGUUAGUUACAGAUUACUACAGACUAUUCUGUUUUUGACAGAUUCUGUUUUUCGUCUCUUGUUUGCUUAUUUUGAUGAAUCUAUGGCUAGUAAAAUAAUUUAUAAACCAUAGAGAAGUUGGAAUACAGUAGGUUUAACACCAAUAUAAAUAAAUAAUGAGUUCAAUACAGUACCUUGAAGUUGUGUUUUGUUUUCUUUCGCUAACGGAGCUCACGAGAUUUUCUGUUGAGUUUUGUGUUGUGAAGUUUUCAAGUUUUGGGUAAAAGAUUUGAUGGAUUAUGGAACAAGGAGUGGCAAGAGCCUAAGCUUGGGGAUUCCCAUGGCACCCCAAGAUAAUCUAAGGACACCAAAAAGCCAAAGCUUGGGGAUGCCCCGGAAGGCAUCCCCUCUUUCGUCUUCGUCCAUCGGUAACUUUACUUGGAGCUAUAUUUUUAUUCACCACAUGAUAUGUGUUUUGCUUGGAGCAUCUUGUAUGUUUUGAGUCUUUGUUUGUUAGUUUGCCACAAUCAUCCUUGCUGUACACACCUUUUGAGAGAGACACACAUGAUUCGGAAUUUAUUAGAAUACUCUAUGUGCUUCACUUAUAUCUUUUAGAGCACGGUGGUGGAUUUGUUUUAUAGAAACUACUGUUCUCUCAUGCUUCACUUAUAUUAUUUUGAGAGUCCUACAAAACAGCAUGGUAAUUUGCUUUAAUUAUGAUAGGCAUCUAAGAUUAGUACAAAUAUGUUCUUAUGAGUGUGAUGAAUACUAUGAGAAGUUUGAUGCUUGAUAACUGUUUUGAGAUAUGAAGAUGGUGAUAUUAGAGUCAUGCUAGUUGAGUAGUUGUGAAUUUGAGAAAUACUUGUGUUAAAGUUUGUGAUUCCCGUAGCAUGCACGUAUGGUGAACCGUUAUGUGAUGAAGUCGGAGCAUGAUUUAUUUAUUGAUUGUCUUCCUUAUGAGUGGCGGUCGGGGACGAGCGAUGGUCUUUUCCUACCAAUCUAUCCCCCUAGGAGGCUGCGCGUAAUACUGGCUUUGAUAACUUGUAGAUUUUUGCAAAUAUGAGUUCUUUAUGACUAAUGUUGAGUCCAUGGAUUAUACGCACUCUCAUCCUUCCACCAUUGCUAGCCUCUCUAAUACCGCACACUUUUCGCCGGUAUCAUACACCCACCAUAUACCUUCCUCAAAACAGCCACCAUACCUACCUAUCAUGGCAUUUCCAUAGCCAUUCUGAGAUAUAUUGCCAUGCAACUUACCACUGUUCCGUCUACUAUGACACGCUUCAUCAUUGUCAUAUUGCUUUGCAUGAUCAUGUAGUUGACAUCGUAUUUGUGGCAAAGCCACCGUUCAUAAUUCUUUCAUACAUGUCACUCUUGAUUCAUUGCAUAUCCCGGUACACCGUCGGAGGCAUCCACAUAGAGUCAUAUUUUGUUCUAAGUUUUGAGUUGUAAUUCUUGAGUUGUAAAGAAAAUAAAAGUGUGAUGAUCAUCAUUAUUAGAGCAUUGUACCAAGUGAGGAAAGGAUGAUGGAGAGUGUGAUUCCCCCAUAAGUCGGGAUGAGACUCCGGACUAAAUAAAAAAAGAAAGGCCAUAAAAAAGAGAAAAGGCCAAACAAAAAAAAUGAGAGAAAAAGAGAGAAGGGACAAUGCUACUAUCCUUUUACCACACUUGUGCUUCAAAGUAGCACCAUGAUCUUCAUGAUAGAGAGUCUCCUAUGUUAUCACUUUUCAUAUACUAGUGGGAAUUUUUCAUUAUAGAACUUGGCUUGUAUAUUCCAACGAUGGGCUUCCUCAAAAUGCCCUAGGUCUUCGUGAGCAAGCGAGUUGGAUGCACACCCACUUAGUUGCUUUUCUUGAGCUUUCAUAUACUUAUAGCUCUAGUGCACCCGUUGCAUGGCAAUCUCUACUCACUCACAUUGAUAUAUAUUAAUGGGCAUCUCCAUAGCCCGUUGAUACGCCUAGUUGAUGUGAGACUAUCUUCUCCUUUUUGUCUUCUCCACAACCACCAUUCUAUUCCACAUAUAGUGCUAUGUCCAUGGCUCACGCUCAUGUAUUGCGUGAAGAUUGAAAAGUUUGAGAACACCAAAAGUAUGAAACAAUUGCUUGGCUUGUCAUCGGGGUUGUGCAUGAUUAAAUACUUUGUGUGAUGAAGAUAGAGCAUAGCCAGACUAUAUGAUUUUGUAGGGAUAACUUUCUUUGGCCAUGUUAUUUUGAGAAGACAUAAUUGCUUAGUUAGUAUGCUUGAAGUAUUAUUAUUUUUAUGUCAAUAUUAAACUUUUGUAUUGAAUCUUUCGGAUGUGAACAUUCAUACCACAAUUAAGAAAAUUACAUUGCAAAUUAUGCUAAGAAGCAUUCCACAUCAAAAAUUCUGUUUUUAUCAUUUACCUACUCGAGGACGAGUAGGAAUUAAGCUUGGGGAUGCUUGAUACGUCUCCAACGUAUCUAUAAUUUUUGAUUGUUCCAUGCUAUAUUAUAUUCUGUUUUGGAUGUUUAAUGGGCUUUAUUAUAAACUUUUAUAUUAUUUUUGGGACUAACCUAUUAACCGGAGGCCCAGUCCAAAUUGCUGUUUUUUGCCUAUUUCAGUGUUUCGCAGAAAAAGAAUAUCAAACGGAGUCCAAACGGAAUGAAACCUUCGGGAACAUGAUUUUCGGAACAAACGAGAUCCAGAGGACUUGGAGUCUACGUAAAGAAAUCAACAUGGAGAGCACGAGGCAGGGGGCGCGCCUACCCCCCCACCCAGGCGCGCCCUCCAUCCUCGUGGGGCCCACGUUGCUCCACCGACGUACUUCUUCCUCCUACAUAUACCUACGUACCCCCAAACCAUCAGAGGCAUCCACGAAAACCUAGUUCCACCGUUGCAACCUUCCGUACCCGUGAGGUCCCAUCUUGGGGCCUUUUCCGGCGUCCUGCCGGAGGGGGCAUUGAUCACGGAGGGCUUCUACAUCAACACCGUAGCCUCUCCGAUGAUGUGUGAGUAGUUUACCUCAGACCUUUGGGUCCAUAGUUAUUAGCUAGAUGGCUUCUUCUCUCUCUUUGGAUCUCAAUACAAAGUUCUCCUCGAUUCUCUUGGAGAUCUAUUUGAUGUAACUCUUCUUUUGCGGUGCGUUUGUCGAGACCGAUGAAUUGUGGGUUUAUGAUCAAGAUUAUCUAUGACCAAUAUUUGAAUCUUCUCUGAAUUCUUUUAUGUAUGAUUGGUUGUCUUUGCAAGUCUCUUCGAAUUAUCAGUUUGGUUUGGCCUACUAGAUUGAUCUUUCUUGCAAUGGGAGAAGUGCUUAGCUUUGGGUUCAAUCUUGCGGUGUCCUUUCCCAGUGACAGCAGGGGCAGCAAGGCACGUAUUGUAUUGUUGCCAUCAAGGAUAACAAGAUGGGGUUUAUAUCAUAUUGCAUGAGUUUAUCCCUCUACAUCAUGUCAUCUUUCUUAAAGCGUUACUCCGUUCUUAUGAACUUAAUACUCUAGAUGCAUGCUGGAUAGCGGUCAAUGUGUGGAGUAAUAGUAGUAGAUGCAGAAUCGUUUCGGUCUACUUGUUACGAACGUGAUGCCUAUAUUCAUGAUCAUACCUAGAUAUUCUCAUAACUAUGCUCAGUUCUAUCAAUUGCUCGACAGUAAUUUGUUCACCCACCGUAAUACUUAUGCUCUUGAGAGAAGCCACUAGUGAAACCUAUGGCCCCCGGGUCUAUUCUCCAUCAUAUUAAUCUUCCAACACUUAGCUAUUUUUAUUGCCGUUUAUUUUACUUUGCAUCUUUAUCAUAAAAAUACCAAAAAUAUUAUCUUAUCAUAUCUAUCAGAUCUCACUCUCGUAAGUGACCGUGAAGGGAUUGACAACCCCUUUUUCGCGUUGGUUGCGAGGUUCUUAUUUGUUUGUGUAGGUGCGCGGGACUUGUGCGUGAUCUCCUACUGGAUUGAUACCUUGGUUCUCAAAAACUGAGGGAAAUACGUACGCUACUUUACUGCAUCACCCUUUCCUCUUCAAGGGAAAACCAAUGCAGUGCUCAAGAGGUAGCAAUGCACCGGCGAAGUUUGCACCAACUCUCAAGGUGAAAAAGGGCAAUGCACGAUACCGAAGAGGCUAGCAAUGAUGGAAGGGUGAGAGUGCGUAUAAUCCAUUGACCCAACAUUAGUCAUAAAUAAUUCACAUACUUAUUGUCGGUAUCAAAACCGGCGGAUCUCGGGUAGGGGGUCCCGAACUGUGCGUCUAAGGUCGAUGGUAACAGGAGGCGGGGGACACAAUGUUUACCCAGGUUCGGGCCCUCUCUAUGGAGGUAAUACCCUACUUCCUGCUUGAUUGAUCUUGAUGAAUAUGAGUAUUACAAGAGUUGAUCUACCACGAGAUCGUUAUGGCUAAAACCCUAGAAGUCUAGCCUGUAUGACUAUGGUAAUGAGGCUAUCCCCCGAUCCGAACUAAACCCUACAAUUUAUAUAGACACCGGAGGGGACUAGGGUUGUACAAAGUCGGUUAUAGAGAAAGGAAUCUUCAUAUUUGGUCGCCAAGAUUGCCUUCCACGCCAAGGAGAGUCCCAUCCGGACACGGAAGAGAGUCUUCGGUCUUGUAUCUUCACAGCCCAUUAGUCCGGCCCAUGUCUAACAGGCCGGACGCCCGAGGACCCCUUAGUCGAGGACUCCCUCAGUAGCCCCUGAACCAGGCUUCAAUGACGAGGUGUCCGGCGCACAGAUUGUCUUCGGCAUUGCAAGGCGGGUUCUCCCUUCCGAAUACUCCAAGAUAGUCUUCGGACGCAAUGAACACGUCCGGAUCUGCAACACAAGUACCACACACACAGCCAUAGAGAGUAUAAUAUUUCACAAGUCCAAUCCGCCGACAACUUUUUGUAAUGUGACAUCACACUUGCCCGGUCAUUAUUUCGAACCGUUUCCUGUCCUGCCGUUCCACGUUUUGAGGCGCGGUUUUUAUUGGCACGUCUUGUCGAGGCAGAGAUCGUGUCCCCUUAUUGAGGGAUUUUCAUCAAUAUGAGCGCGGGUAACCCAACCAUUCCAUUGGAAAGAUUCCUUAGGAAUAGGCAGGCUUUCAGGCUUAGGAGGAGGCGUUCGAUACCCGUUGCCUUUAUAAAGGAGCCAAGGGUCAUCUUUAUUUACGCCAAACCUCUCCUCAGCCUUCCCAACCUCGAGUUCUAGCACCCAAGGUUCGACUCCAUUGCUUCAAGCUUCCCAGUCAUGUCCGGACCCAGCCCGCAAGGCCGAUGGGUGGCAUCCUCUGUCACAGAGGUGGACAUUGCGAAGCUUCGGGCGGCCAGAUACCCAACCGUGGAGAUUCCCCACAGGCUUCCUGCUCAAGGACAGGUUAUUCUGACUCCCAGAUCCGGCGAGAGGUUCGUAUUCAUCUCUCACUUCCUCCGAGGGCUAGGGUUCGCUCUUCACCCCUUCGUUCGGGGGCUCAUGUUUUAUUACGGACUAGAUUUUCAUGACCUAGCCCCAGAUUCCUUCCUCCACGUCUCGGCAUUUAUCAUUACGUGUGAGGCCUUCCUCCGAAUUCCCCCACACUUCGGCUUAUGGCUCAAGACCUUCAGUGUGGCGCCGAAGGUGGUCGACGGGAAACAAACGGUGUGCGGCGGUGCUGUAGUGAGCAAGCUUACCAAUACUCACUGGCCAAAAGGCUCUUUCACCGAAACUUGCACCCAAUGGCAGCAGGAGUGAUUUUAUAUCACAGAACCCCGCGGUACCAAGUGGGCCACUAUACCCGCGUUCCGUUCUGGCCCUCCGUUACAGCUUGCAUCAUGGAUUAAUAAGGGGCUGGACUGGGGAUCAGUUGAUGAAGUGCAGACUCUACAGAGCUGCAUCCGAACCCUCCUCGAGAGGGACAUCGAUCUUGUCAACGUGAUUCAAGUAAUGCUAAGCCGCCGAACCCUGCCAUGUCAGUGUAGGCCUCUCCGCAUGUGGGAGUUUAAUCCGGAAGGACCACGAACCUUCCAACACUUCUGCGGCACUACGCACAAAGGAAUGUGGAAGUUGUUUUUCGGGAAACAAAAAUAGUGGCCGGACACCACCGAGGACCUUGGCCUUGACUGCAACCAUCUGGAUACCUCGGUAAGCGCUCAACUUCCAAACACUUUGUAGUUAGGUACACCGUAGUACGUUACUGAACAGACUAUCUUCCUCCAGGGCUGGAUAAAGAAAGCAGAGCGUAUUAGGUGUCCGGCCCCCCUCCCCGAAGACUCAGCGGAUCCCGUACCAACGAGGAUGCUGGCCCCGGCGCCGUACCAGGUGCCUGCGAAGGGAGACAAGGCGGAGAGCGGUAAAGCCAAAGGUGGCCUCCCUUCCGAGGGUACAUCAGACACCGAGUCUGGGGAGAUAAAGAUUCCCCCGCCCUAAGGCCAAAGUGAAGGAGAAGCCAAUAUUCCUUCUCCCCAUGGUAAGAAAAGGGCCACCUCCGAAAGUUGGGAGGAAACGGCUCCUAAGCGAGGCAGGAUGCCCCCGUUGGGUGGCCCGGGCUUGGAGGGCGAUGUCAUCGCAUGGUCCUAGGGAGAGGACAAGCCUUCGGGCAAACCGUAAGUGAACGAGGGUGCUUUUAAACAUAUCCCGUCCCUUUCUUGUGACCGAGGUAACAUCUAGCAUAUAUGUUUUUUGCAGCUCGGCGAACAGUCUUCAGCAAUCCUCUUCCUCAGGGAACCUUCUCCCAGAGAUGAUGGAAAGCGAGACGCAUCCACCGGUCUCCUCGCCCAAUAGGGCGGACGACCUUGAGGUGUCGUCGCGGAGGGUCUCUCCUGAUCAACAAGUGGCGCGAGGGAUGGCGAAGACACAACCCGAAGGUAAUACUUCGGUAGCCCAGAGUCCGGGGGCCGAUAAUAAAGGCCGCGAGCUGUUCGGCCUACAGCCGGAGACAAUCACAGGGACGAAUAAACGGAUCCCUUCAAAGGGAGGCCGUACUCCUACGGCAGCUUCCGGAGAUCCCGAAGCGCCGGACGUAUUGACGAACAUGCUGCACAAGGCGUUUGUCUCAGAGGAACAUCGUACCUUGAUGGGUACGGUGGUUGAAAGGGUUCUAUUCGCGAAAGCGGGUUGAAUGAAGCCUUUGUGAGCUUGCUAAAAGCUUCGAGGUUUGUAAUGUAAUAUUUUUUGAUUGUGCUUGACUCACACACUGCACCUGUGUAUAGGUAGUAGCCCCUGAGACUCGGAUUGGCUUCCCAAGGGAGGCGAUCAGAGGAUCAAAAAAAGAUAUUUCUAGGAAAUAAUAUCAUUAAUUGAAAUGCAGGCUGUCGCUUCCCGGGCGUCCGCCCGGACUACAGAAGUUGUCGAUCUAGAGCGGAAGCUUGAUAUGGCGGGAGAUGACCUUAUGCUUAUCAACAAGCGUCUUGACGAGUCGCAAGGUAUGUUUUUGGGGCAGUCCUUACAAGCGCAUGCUUUGUAAUGUGAGCAUCACGCGAAAUAUUGUAUACUGAGAUAUGCAUUAAUGCAGAUGGUGCCGUCGCAGUCGAGAUCCUUCGGGCUGAGCUGGCCCGGGCCAAAGAGCAGGUCCGGAUUAAUAAUGCGGCUGCCGAGAAGGCAUCUGCCGAGUUAAAGGCCAAACAGGCUGCUCGGCGCCAAUGCGAGGAGGGAAUAUCCAUGAUGACGCGUGAGCUAAAGGAUGCCGCUAGCCACUGUGAAAUCCUCGAGAAGGAUAAUAAAGCCAAAACGGCUGAUCUUAACAAGGCCUUACGGGAGGCGAAAGAAGCGCGGUCUGAAUCUAGAGCGGCCCGGGAGGAGAUCCGACAAGCUGGAGAGAUCACGGUUGGUAAGCCCUUUUUAUUGCAAACUAAGUUCGGUGAUCCGGAUUAUGCUCCACUUAAUCAGGUGUGGAGUUCUCCAGACACGUUAUUGGACCUGCCGAAGAGUGCUUCCGAUGCGGCGCAGUUUUACCAAGCGCAAGAAGGGUGUGCAAUGGAGAAGCUUUCCUGGUCGCAAUUCGGUGCGUCAAAACGCCCACUGUUGCUGAACGAACAGAUGACCCAAUGGGCUGAGCUCCAUAGACUAUCCGGUUCUGUUAUGAGGGACAUCGUGAUCGGGCUGUGGCCGAACGAGCCAAUUUCGGAUAGUUAUUUUGGUUUGGCACGGCGACUUGCUGAUGCGGUGCCGCGUAUCGACGUCGUGAAACGGUCAGCGUGCAUUGAAGGUGCACGGAUGGCCUUUGCCCGUGUCAAGACAUAUUGGGCGAAGAUGAAGGCCACUGAUGUUGCAGCGAAGGGUCCACCCAAGGGCAAGGACCAUCAUGCACCAGAGCAUUAUUUCGAGGAUGUCCUGGAGGGUGCCCGCUUGAUAGAGGGCCAAUGCUCGAAAAACAUGAUAUUCGAGUGAAAUGUAUGGAAAUUUGUAAAAGACAAUAUUACAAUAAGGCUAUUUUUGUAGUUUCGCCUAAAACUUUUGUUCCUCCUGUGCGGCCGUUUUUGUAUUAAUCUGAAAGUUUUCUAGUCGUCGGCUUCAGCCCCCUCGUAUAAAGUACGGGGGUGUUCGGAAAAGCAUUUGGUCACUCUUAACCCAACGUCUUGGUCCAUUAAGGAGGUGUCCAUGCGGUGAACGAGGCAAUCGGACUAUAGGGCAUUAACACUUUCACUUAGCCAUAGGAGUUUUAUAGGGGGGACUACGAUAUAGCCCCUGGUAUGUGUACGGCUUAUUCCAAUAUGGUGUGUUACAUAUAUGACCUGAAGAAAAAUGUCCUUCGUAUAAUAUGGAGGGAAUCGUGAAAGAUUCCGAUAAGUCAUUGAGUGGUUGACCAGCUCUCGCCGCAUCAUGACAGUCAGUUUUUGGCUUUCUCUACUGAGGUGCUUGACCAGAUGAACCGGAAGCACAAUCGCGGUAGUUCUCCCUUUACUACCCUAGCCGAUAGAGCAGAACGUAAGGUAGCAAGCACAGGAGCCGGACAACCCAACUAUUGACCCAAUACAUGAUUCAGAGCUGAUGCAUAUAAGGCCAAACUCGCGACGCCGAAGUGCGCUAUAAAGUUGUUCGGACUUGUCGGCAACUCAUUUGUUCCCAUACCGAGCCCCUGGCAAGUUAUGCCGAGGUGUAUGUGUGAAACAACCACAUGAGCCAAAUUCAGUUCUUUUUAGAAAAAAGCGAAUGCUGGAUGCGGAUUAUGUUUACUGGGACCUGAGUGAUAUGCAAAUCGUUAUUUUAUAGAUAAAAAAGCCGCAACCCUGGCUAUUUGACAUGCCUGGGGUCGAAGGCGGAGGGAAAAGGCACAUUACAGGCUCAAAAUAAAGAGUGCGGUCUACAAAAAGUUAUUUUGGACCUCCUAUCGCACAUCUGCGUUGCCUGUCCUCGGUGAGGGGACUCCUUGACGGGAAUAGCCCUUAGGUGAGUGUACGAAUCCGAACUCCGAUAGAUUCCAUGAGAUGAUUAGCCUUUGCGUCACCUGUGGUAAAGGAAAGAGAAAGAGUAAUUAGAAAGGAAACAAAGGUUAUGGGAGUGCUUGCAGGCUCAUCCGUAUUGUGCUUCCGCCGAUGCCCAGGGUAUCUUAAGUGCAUAGUUAUGUAUGCGCGGUACAGAUUUCGCAGAUAUAUGAGGUUGGCGGCGGAAGCCGAACUGCUAUUUCCGCUCCGGAAUUGGUCGAUCCUGUUGAAUGGAGACCGGUGGCUUAAUGGCCGACAAGGUAUGCGGUUUAAUAAGACCGCUUUGUACUGAAGUUGCCGUAGUAUGAUCUUCAGUCCGGAGGGAGUGCUUCUCCUGCUCCCUUGUAGAGUUGUGUAUCGUGUAUACCAUGUUCACUGUUUUUUUACUUCGGGGGGAAAUUGCUUCUAACCCCCGGUAUUUGGUUGGCGAGUCUCUUCGUCGUCGCUAUCACCGGGCGGCCUCCUCCCCUUGUGUUCGGCGUUGAGCUUGCCGGCCUACUUGAAGACCCAACAACUUCUAUUGGUAUGAUUAGCUGGUUUGUCGGGGUGGCCAUGAAUCUGGCAGGGUCGAUCCAAUAUCCUGUCUAAAUUGGAUGGUCCGUCUCUGUUCGCCUUGAAUGGCUUUUUCCGUUGACCAGGUUUGGGACCGUUGAAUCCGGCGUUGACCGCUGUGUCACGCGUUCUUUCAUUAUCAUUGCAACGUUUGUGCUCGCUGCGUCAUGGCUUGCCAUUGCCGUCUUGGAUUUCGGAAGUGCCCGGAUCGCUGGCACUGUUGCUUCUACGAGCAAGCCAGCUAUCUUCUCCCGCGCAAAAGCGGGUCAUUAGAGCGGUAAGGGCUGUCAUGGAUUUUGGUUUUUCUUGACCAAGGUGGCGGGCGAGCCAUUCAUCCCAGACGCUGUGUUUGAAGGCCGCUAGGGCUUCCGCGUCCGGACAGUCAACGAUUUGGUUCUUUUUAACUAAGAACCUAGUCCAGAGCUUCCUGGCUGACUCUCCGGGCUACUGGACAAUGUGACUUAAGUCAUCGGCAUCCGGUGGCCGAACAGAUGUUCCUUGGAAGUUGUCGCGGAAGGUGUCUUCCAAGUCCUCCCAGCUGCCAAUAGAGUUUUUCGGCGGACUGUUUAACCAGUACCGAGCUGGUCCUUUGAGUUUUAGUGGUAGGUAUUUGAUGGCAUGAAGGUCAUCUCCGCGGGCCAUGUGGAUAUGGAGGAGGAAGUCCUCGAUCCAUACCGCGGGAUCAGUUGUUCUGUUGUAUGAUUCGAUAUUCAUGGGCUUAAACCCGUCUAGGAAUUCGUGCUCCAUUACUUCGUCUGUGAAGCAAAGAGGGUGUGCAGCGCCUCUAUAUUAGGCCACACUGCGACGUACCUCCGAUGGAGUCCGUUUGCGGUUUUUGGCCCGGGCAUGGCUAGGUUUGUCACGUCCGAAUAGGUAGCCGUCUGUAACACCCUGAAUGUAACUUUCUAUAUUUGUAACUCCAACUCUUGCCAUUUCCGGCUUUGUGAUAUGAUAUUUCCUUCGUGGUUGGGUUUUUGUCUCUCAUUUUGAAUUUUGUUCAUGUCAUGCAUUUCAUCUCAUGUCAUCAUGUGCAUCUUCAUGGUGUAGCUCAUUGCAUUGUGGCAUGUUCUAUGUGGAUCCAAGCAUCAUCAUCCCCCUUCUCUCAUCACCACCUCUCCUCCUCUUUUCUUUCUUUGGCAAGUGCCAUCUUGCCCUCCUCCAUUAAUGUUCAUCUUUGCCUCAUAAAUCAUCCACCUCAUCUUUAACCUCUCUGCCAAAUUUCAGCUCAUUUGGAGUUGUGUUGGUUAGGUUCAAAAAUGCUCCAAGUUUGAACUAUAUUCAAACUUGUUGUAUUUUUCUACCUCAAAAAAUGCCCAACUCAAUUUUAUCAAAUUGAGCAUAAUUCCAGAGUUAUGGGGAUAUUUUUAUAUUUCUCUAACUCCUCCCCUAUAUCCCUGUACUUUUCUGUUCAAUUCUCUGUCUGAGGGUAAAGGAAAAAGAAACAGCAGCAGGGGCAGUCAGCAGCACCAGCACCCUGCCUGGGCCUCAGCCCAACAGCGCGGCCCAGCCAGCCUCCCGCAGCCCACCUAGCCCGCAAGCGACAGGAGCUUCGUCCUCCUGUACCGCAGCACAUCCAACAUGUCCAUGUCGACACCCCGGUUGAUUUGACGGCCGUCCGGCGUCCCUAGCCCCUAUAAAGCAUGUCCAAACCCUACCCAGGUCUCUCCUCUGUCCAUCCAGGCCAUCUCCUUCCCUCGCCGCCGCCAAGUAAGGCUAGCCCAAGCCACGCCGUCGCCCUGCCCACGAUGCUCCGGCCGAGCAUGAGCUCGCGCUCGGAGUAGCUCGUCGCCGCGCCUCUGACCCCCUCGGACACGAUGGAGAGGAACGCCAAGUACCUNNNNNNNNNNNNNNNNNNNNNNNNNNNNNNNNNNNNNNNNNNNNNNNNNNNNNNNNNNNNNNNNNNNNNNNNNNNNNNNNNNNNNNNNNNNNNNNNNNNNNNNNNNNNNNNNNNNNNNNNNNNNNNNNNNNNNNNNNNNNNNNNNNNNNNNNNNNNNNNNNNNNNNNNNNNNNNNNNNNNNNNNNNNNNNNNNNNNNNNNNNNNNNNNNNNNNNNNNNNNNNNNNNNNNNNNNNNNNNNNNNNNNNNNNNNNNNNNNNNNNNNNNNNNNNNNNNNNNNNNNNNNNNNNNNNNNNNNNNNNNNNNUCAGAGCUCCCUCGCGUCGUCUCCGGCUCGUCUCCGUCGAAUCCAUCGUGUCCUAGGGUGAGCUGGGUAACGCGUCUCCCUCUCCAUUUCUUUCCAUGGCAUGUAGAACCCCGUAGCACUCGCCCGAUCCAUGUCUUCUCCGCGCUCGUAGUGCUCCGGCAAUCUCUGAAGUUUUAGUUGCGCAUGUUUUGCUCCUGCACGUGCACACGCGCACACGCGCACUCGCGCUCUCCCCUGUUCCCACAUGCUUGCGCACGCUCGCUCGCCGCGCCCAUAGCCCCACAUGCAUCUGCACUCGCGCGCGCACCUUGCCUGCUCAUGCCGCUCGCUCGCCGUGCCGUGCGCACCCGAGACGAGCUCGAGCUCGUGCUCGGGCACCGCAAGCACGCGCCUUCCGCAGCCGCUCCGCGUGCACACCCUGGCCCCGCCUUCAAAUUCCACACCCUCGCCGGUGACCCUCUGCUUCAGUGGUCGCCGUCGUGCUUGCUGGCAGCGGCGCCGUUCUCCUCUGCCGCCGGCAGGACCAGCCAGCCCCGCGCAGCGUUAGGUCAAGAGGUUCAGCGACCGUUUCUUGCAACAACAGCAGCAGGAGCAUAGUGGUUGUGGUCUUGCUGUUCCACCCAGAAGUGCAGGGUUUGAAUCCCAGACUCCAUAUGUGUACCUUCGGCCUUUUAAUUUUUCUUGGGACACUCACGUCUCGGCCCCACUGUCAUACAAACACGCACACAGCUCUCUCCUUUUUUUUUGUGUUUUGUUCAUAUUACCCCACGUUUUCCAUUUGUGGAACGGACCCUCUUUCCUAUUUGGGCAAGUCCAAACCUGAAAAGUACAGAUCAGGCAGUUUUCCAAUUCUGUCAUAUUUCCCUUUUAGGCAGGUUUUAACUUAAUGCACUUGUGGAUGUUUUUCUACAGUGACCCCAACAUAUUAUAUAUGUUUUGGGGGUAAAAAAAUCCAAUGAGUCUAGUGGUGGCAUUAUUUACUGCAUUUGAGCAAGUUUGCACACAUGUCAUUUUGCAUCAUGUUGCUGUUUUGUCUUUUAUGUAUAUAUUUAUGCAAACAUGCUAUGGGGUAGUUUUGCACAUGAACAUGCUCUCCAACAUGCCUACUACAUGCUAGAUUUUGUUACAUGCCAUGACAUGCUUUAUGUUGAGUUAAUCAAGCUUGUAAACAUGCCAACAUGAAUCUGUUUUUGCCAUGCUAGUCAUUUUCACUAAGUCUGCUAGAACUGUUGUCAUUUGCAUUUUUGCCAUGCUGUUUGAGAGCUGUUCGAGUGAGUUAUAGCAGUAGCUCAGUGUUCAUGUAUUGUAGAGAUUAACAUGUAGUUCACUCCCAUGUAUUCAGUUUUCAUGUUUGUUGCUGUAGCAUAUUUAAACCUUGCAUCUAAGUGGCCAUGUUGCUGUUUUAAGCAGUUUGCAUCAUAUCUUGUUUUGCUUGUCGUUUGCAAACCGUGUACCCGUUUCCGGUGAUCCUUAUAUCGAUUUCGACCGAAAUCACCUCCUCUUUCCAGCGGCAUACUUGGUUUGCCAAGUUGAUGCCUCAUUCAUCUUUUUCCUUCCGGAGUACCCAUACGCAUUGCACAUCAUAUAUUGCAUAUCGUGCCAUGUCUUGCAUCAUGUUGCUUGUGCAUUGCACUGUGAUUGAUUGUUGUUCUGUUGCUUGGGUUAUUGCUUUGGGUAGAGCCGGGAGACGAGUUCGUGAACUAGGAACCUGUUGAGUAUGCUAACGAGGAGCAAGCUUUCGACAACUCUGAGAACUUUGCAGGCAAGAUGACCAUUACCCUCGAUAUCACUUCUAUCUUUUCUUGCUAGUUGUUCGCUCUAUCGCUAUGUUGCGCUACCUACCACUUGUUUACCAUGCCUCCCAUAUUGCCAUGUCAAGCCUCUAACCCACCUUCCUAGCAAACCGUUAUUUGGCUAUGUUACAGCUUUGCUCAGCCCCUCUUAUAGCGUUGUUAGUUGCAGGUGAAGUUGAAGUUUGGGCCAUGUUGGAACAUGAUGAUGUUGGAAUAUCACAAUAUCUCCUAUUUAAUUAAUGCAUCUAUAUACCUGGUAAAGGGUGGAAGGCUCGGCCUUAUGCCUGGUGUUUUGUUCCACUCUUGCCGCCUUAGUUUCCGUCAUACCGGUGUUAUGUUCCUUGAUUUUGCAUGCCUUACGUGGUUGGGGUUAUGGGACCCCCUUGACAGUUUGCUUUGAAUAAAACUCCUCCAGCAAGGCCCAACCUUGGUUUUACAUUUGCCUACCUAAGCCCUUUCCCUUGGGUUUUCGCGAGCCCGAGGGUCAUCUUUAUUUUAUCCCCCCGGGCCAGUGCUCCUCUGAGUGUUGGUCCGAACCGGGCAGCCUGCGGGGCCACCUCGGGGAAACUUGAGGGCUGGUUUUACUUGUAGCUUGACCUAUCCGGUGUGCCCUGAGAACGAGAUAUGUGCAGCUCCUAUUGGGAUUUGUCGGCACAGUCAGGCGGUCCUGCUGGUCUUGUUUUACCAUUGUCGAAAUGUCUUGUAACCGGGAUUCCGAGACUGAUCGGGUCUUUCUGGGAGAAGGAAUAUCCUUCGUUAAUCGUGAGAGCUUGUGAUGGGCUAAGUUGGUACACCCCUGCAGGGUAUAAACUUUCAAGAGUCGUGCCUACGGUUAUGUGGCAGAUGGGAAUUUGUUAAUGUCCGGUUGUAGAGAACUUGACACUUGACUUAAUUAAAAUGCAUCAAUCGUAUGUGUAGCCGUGAUGGUCUCUUCUCGGCGGAGUCCGGGAAGUGAACACGGUUUGGGUUAUGUAUGAACGUAAGUAGUUUCAGGAUCACUUCUUGAUCAUUGCUAGCUUCACGACCGUUGCAUAGCUUUCUCUUCUCGCUCUUAUUUGCGUAUGUUAGCCACCAUACUUGCUUAGUGCUUGCUGCAACUCCACCUCAUUACCCCAUCCUACCCAUAAGCUUAAAUAGUCUUGAUCUCGCGGGUUUUGAGAUUGCUGAGUCCUCGUGACUCACAGAUACUACCAAAACAGUUGCAGGUGCCGAUGAUACCAAUGCAGGUGGCAACCGAGCUCAAGUGGGAGUUCAAUGAAGUUCUUGGUCGUUACUAUGUUUCGUUUCCUGAUGAUGAGUAGUGGAGCCCAGUUGGGACGAUAGGGGAUCUAGCAUUUGGGGUAAUCUUCUUUUCAUUUGAAUUCGUCCGUAGUCGGACUAUGUGUGUACUCUGAAUGAUGUAUGUUUAAUUAAUGUAUUGUGUGAAGUGGCGAUUGUAAGCCAACUCUUUAUCCCAUUCUUGUUCAUUACAUGGGAUUGUGUGAAGAUGACCCUUCUUGCGACAAAACCACCAUGCGGUUAUGCCUCCAAGUCGUGCCUCACGUGGGAGAUAUAGCCACAUCGUGGGUGUUACACCAUCGUUGCGUGUCGAGGCAUGUCCUCGCGAUUCAUAGAUCGAUCUUGUAUGUCCUGCUCUACUGUCCAGCUCCUGCCGAAGGUCGUACGUAUAACCCCGAGCUGUUUAUUCCUGCCUUUAUGGCGAGGUGGGGCGGUCUGGUGUUCGGCUUGAGUUGCCGCUUUAUCCCGACUGCGUGGCGGUCGAUCGGCCGCGUUGCGUGAUGAUGGUACGGGCUCCAGCGCCUCGUCAUCGAACUGAGGUAGUAAUUUGCGCUUUGGGUAAUUUUUUGGCUGGCCACUAAGGCCAUAUUCCUCGGCGGACAGGACUCCGGUCCAUCUAUCGUUGAGCAGAUCUUGGUCAGCUUGAAGCUGCUGCUGCUGCUGCUUCUUUUUCAGGCUCCUUGCAGUGGCUACUAGCUGGCGUUUAAAGUGCUCCUGCUCGAGAGGUUCCUCAGGCACUAUGAAAUCCUCAUUACCGAGGCUCUCCUAUUCCUCGGAGAGCGGAAGAUAAUUACUGUCCUCCGAGUCUUCGUGUAUGGCCUGUUCAUCAGGGCUAACGUGCACGUCUUCCCGUUCAUCCUGUUUGGAGAUUGCCCCAACAGGGUCUUCAUUGUCUUCGGCAUCGUCCGGAGUAUUGUUUUCUCCGGUGCCGGUGUAUUUGUCUUUUGCACGACGUGACUUAGAGCGGCGCCACUGACGCCGGCGUCUGGGCUGUAUCUCAGGCGGUUUGUCCUCAUCUGGAUCCUCUUUGUCAGCGUUGUUAGUUUCUUUAGGUUUAUCCACCAUGUAUACGUCGUACGAAGAAGUGGCCGUCCAGCAUCCGGUAAACGGCGGGUUUUGGACCUGCUCCUCAUCGGCAUCGUCGUCCAUACCGUCGAUGUCUUCGGAGCCGUAAUCAAGCAUGUCGGUUAAGUCCUCGAUAGUGGCUAUGUAGUGGGUGGCGGGUGGGAAACGAAAUUCCCCGUCAUCAGCCUCCAGUUCAAACCGGACAUAGCUCGGUUGUGAGUCUCCCGCCAAGGACAGAUUUUUUAAUGAGUUUAGCACAUCGCCAAAAGGCGAGUGUCGGAAGAUGUCUGCGGCGCUGAAUUCGAAGAUCGAUAACUGAUCAAGCUCGGCGUCCGCGGACGCACAUGGUUCGGAACUUAUGGCCGGAAACGAGUCCGAAGUUCCGGAGGCACAGGUAUCACCCGAGGUUAGCUCUGUGUGCGGCUCCGACGCCGUGGAAUCUGCGGCCUCCGUGGCGGGGUUGAACUUCCCGUCCUCGGAUGGCGCGAUUUGCUCCGGAUCUAAGGCCGGACUAGUUUCAGGUGCAAUUUCCUGAGCAUGGUCCGAUGACAGAUUUGGGUCAUGUUCAUCGUAGGGACAGGGAGCGGCUGCCGUGGUCUCAAAGCCGUCGAAGAUCAAGUCUCCAUGGAUAUCCGCGAUGUAGUUCAAGCUCCCAAAUCUGACCUCAUGGCCAGGGGCGUAGCUAUCGAUCUGCUCCAGAUGGCCAAGCGAGUUGGCCCGCAGCGCGAAGGCGCCGAACACGAAGAUCUGUCCGGGGAGGAAGGUUUCCCCUUGGACAGCAUCGUUGUUGAUGAUUGAAGGAGCCAUCGAACCUUUUGGGAACGGCACAGUGGAACUCUCAAUGAAAGCACCAAUGUCGGUGUCAAAACCAUCGGAUCUUGGGUAGGGGGUCCCGAACUGUGCGUCUAAGUUCGAUGGUAACAGGAGGCGGGGGACACAAUGUUUACCCAGGUUCGGGCCCUCUCUAUGGAGGUAAUACCCUACUUCCUGCUUGAUUGAUCUUGAUGAAUAUGAGUAUUACAAGAGUUGAUCUACCACGAGAUCGUUAUGGCUAAAACCCUAGAAGUCUAGCCUGUAUGACUAUGGUAAUGAGUCUAUCCCCCGAUCCGUACUAAACCCUCCGGUUUAUAUAGACACCGGAGGGGACUAGGGUUGUACAAAGUCGGUUACAUACAAAGGAAUCUUCAUAUUUGGUCGCCAAGCUUGCCUUCCACGCCAAGGAGAGUCCCAUCCGGACACGGAAGAGAGUCUUCGGUCUUGUAUCUUCACAGCCCAUUAGUCCGGCCCAUGUCCAACAGGCCGGACGCCCGAGGACCCCUUAGUCCAGGACUCCCUCACUUAUUGCAAAUGUCUAGAAGCUAUCGAAACAAAGCAUUUGUAGCGACCCGACCCGAAUGGAUCAACUCUCUGUGCUUAAGUGUCAUCCCUGGAUCGGUAUGCUGACACACACAGUACUCGAGGAUUUAUAACAGAGUGCAAUCACAUGUAAAAGUAACGUAAAUACUAUUACCUAAAUCUAUAUAGUGGAAGUAACAACAAAGUUGUGGAGUUCCCAACAACGCCAACGGCAAAGUUGAGUGUAGACAUCGUAACCCUAAGGUAUCACUUACUCAUCGUAAGAAUCCUGCAACAUGAGACAUUGCAGCCAUGUAGGUCAGUACAUUGAAUGUACCGGCAAAUUCACACUGUAGAGCAAUGCUGAAUAAUGGCUAUCACAACAUGCAUAUUUGGAUGGUGGAGGCUCUAAGUUUAACAUUUGCAUAAAGCUAAUUUUUCCCUACAACAAAGGAAAACAUUUUAUUUACUACUAAGUUAAAUUACCCAUAUUGAGAAGGUAAGCCCAACUCAAUCCAAAAAUUCCCAAAUCAUUAAUAACCUAACAAUUUCAUUAAAUAGAGUGAUGCGAUCAAAUCAAUAAUUCAAGUACCAGAUACUCAAGAUGUCCAUAACAGGGGACACGGCUAAUCAUGAUUAGUAUGUACACUCUGCAGAGGUUUGCGCAAUUUUCCCCACAAGAUUCGAUCUCCUCCAUUGAAUUUCUUGCACUACAUGAUGCUUGAGAAACGGAUGACCGAGACACAGUCUUUCCGAAGAGUUCCCCUUAACCGAUAGAUAGGCCGGUACACCUACAAUCCCCUACAUCUGCUAGCCCAUCAUGGAAAGGUUUCCCACAACUUACUCAACUAUGCCAGAGGCCAUAAUGGCUUGUGGCUGCACACGGAAGUUUCUAGCAUUAAUAAUCUUAUGAUCCCUUUGAGCCUGGGUGGCAAACCAUAGGAUGAUCACACGGGUUUCCCGAGAUCUCCUAGGACAACAUUGGAUUCCCUAGGUGUCCGGGCAAUCCACUGGUAUCCCCAGGGUGCCCCAACCAAUCCACCCAGAUGUGUAUUAAAGUAGCCACCUUAAGUUAACCAUUAAUAAUAACUCUCACAUCUUCCAUGAUUCACUCAAACCAAACCACGUCUACAAGCAUAGCAUAGCAGUAUAAGCAUAACGUAAUAAUACCCGGGGUUGACAAAAUACAAUAGGUUCCUACCUCAGCAACUACUUCCCAGUAACCACAUGUUAACAAAUCCCAACCAUGCAAUGUUUGAGGGUUGAAACUAAUGCAUAAAAAAACUGGGUAAUAAAGAGAUAUGAUCAAAGUGUGAACUUGCCUUGUACUGUUGAUGAAGAUUCGUCGCACUCAUAAUUCUUGAUAGUUCUACUCGUCACACUCCGGUCAAUCUAUCGUGAGCAAGCAAUUGCAUACAUAAGCACUCAUGCAAAAGAAUCGAAGAAAAGAUCUCAGAAAACUUCAAAAAUAGGAAAAUAACUCUUGCAACAGAAAACAAUUUCUAACAGUACCAAAAUUAAGUGAAUUUGGCCUUAUCAGAAAGUUUAGGUCAAGAGCUUCGAUUUGCAACAAGAAUCAAUUAAAUCGGAGUUAUAAAACUCGAGUUAUGAACAGAAGAAGUUUGAAUACAAAUCUGUUGAAAUCAAAUUUUAUACUUUUAAAAAUAUGUUUAAGUUGCUUAUCUGGGUAGAGGGGAUCAUAACGAAGAAGUGGGCAUUGGUUUCGUUGGAUUUGGACAAACGAUUAAAAAGUUGUGAUCGUUUGAAGAUCAGGGGCUAAUCUGAAAAUAAACUAAUUGCAUCUAGGUCCCUGGCCGAAAUUAAAACAGAAAAAGAAAAAAUCUAACGAACGCUCGCUGCAGAAGCUUAUAUGACGAAAACCGUUCGCUACAGAACCUAAACUAGCGAACGUCCACUAAAUAACCUAACUAAAUAAUAAAACCGGCUUUUAAAAGAAAAACCCGAGAAAACCUAAAAAAAAAAAUUGGACCGGGGCAGUUUAUUACCGGUUCGGCGGUUCGACCUCGGAUCGUCGGCGGCGGCGGCGGGCUCCGGCGAGGUGGUGCAGGGCGGCAGCAGCGGCGACGGCNNNNNNNNNNNNNNNNNNNNNNNNNNNNNNNNNNNNNNNNNNNNNNNNNNNNNNNNNNNNNNNNNNNNNNNNNNNNNNNNNNNNNNNNNNNNNNNNNNNNNNNNNNNNNNNNNNNNNNNNNNNNNNNNNNNNNNNNNNNNNNNNNNNNNNNNNNNNNNNNNNNNNNNNNNNNNNNNNNNNNNNNNNNNNNNNNNNNNNNNNNNNNNNNNNNNNNNNNNNNNNNNNNNNNNNNNNNNNNNNNNNNNNNNNNNNNNNNNNNNNNNNNNNNNNNNNNNNNNNNNNNNNNNNNNNNNNNNNNNNNNNNNNNNNNNNNNNNNNNNNNNNNNNNNNNNNNNNNNNNNNNNNNNNNNNNNNNNNNNNNNNNNNNNNNNNNNNNNNNNNNNNNNNNNNNNNNNNNNNNNNNNNNNNNNNNNNNNNNNNNNNNNNNNNNNNNNNNNNNNNNNNNNNNNNNNNNNNNNNNNNNNNNNNNNNNNNNNNNNNNNNNNGGUGGCGAGAUCCAGCGGCGGCGGCUUGGGAGGAGAGAGAGGGCCGGGGCCUCGCCUUUUAUAUGCGGGAGGAGGUGGUGGGGUGGCUUGGAGGAGGGGCGAUGCGAGGCAGUGGCGGUGUCCGGAUCGGGGACGAGCGGCGGCGGGCGUGCUGAAGUCGGUCCCCGACUCGAGGUCGGGGACGAGCGGCUGGGCCGGCUGGGCUACGGCCCAGUUCGGUCCGAAAGAUUUUUUUACACACACACAAACACAAAAUAAAAUAAAACGUCAAAAAUAAUAAAAAAUUAUAUAUAGCAUAUUAUAUGUCAAAAUUUUCAGAAAAAGAUUUUCUAAAACAUGAACAUUUUACUAGUGUCAAAUAAAAUCCACAAAAACUUAAAUAAAUCAAAUAGUGCUACUGGUUUAUUUAAAAACCAAAUAAAAAUAUUUUAAAAUACCAAAAGGAUUUCAAAACCAUUUUUCUCCAAUUUUCUACUAUAGGGAAUCAUUUUAGCCUAAUUUCCAUUUAUUUUAUUUUUAUGGAGAAAAAAUAAUUUGAAUAAAAACCAAAUAACUCCAAUUUGAAAAAUAAUUUCAAAGGGACUUUAAAUUUGAUUUCCUUUAAACUCCCAACUCAUAUUUCAUAUGGUUUGAAGAAGUCAUAUUAUCUUCUCUCAUGAAAAUCAUUGAGUUGCUUAGAGUUUCUGAAUUGGAAAUAUUUCCAAAUGAAAUUCAAAUCUUUUCAAAACCCUUUUCAUUUAUUUAAAUGGAAGAAGUCAUGUCAUCUUCUCUCUAGGGUUUUGUAUUUGAAAAGAAUUUGAAUUCAUGGAAAUCAGAAAGCAAAGUGAAAGUUUGGGAAAGUCAUUUUAUUCCCUCUCAUUUAACUUUCAAAAAGUUUCAAAUUUCACUCAAUUUCACACAACCAACCACACCACAAUCUAACAAUCAAUCAAAACUAUUUAUUUAAUAAAACAUUCCAAAAUUUAGAAUUUUGGGAUGUUACAAACCUACCACCCUUAAAAUGAACCUCGUCCUCGAGAUUCGGAGAGGCUAGCAAGAAAUAGGUUAGGUUUGGGGGUCUUCUCAAAAUCCAGCAAUCGUCUCCGGGGGUCUCGGGUGCUACCACCCCUAGAAGCAUUGUUACGGUUCCAUCAAAACUCAUAUACUCCAUCCUUAUUCUUGAUAGUGUCGGUCUUCUCAGAUUUUCAGGAAAAUUCCUUCUUUGGGCUCUUCCUGUAGUGGCAUAACCUUUACCGCAAUUCUUCUGUCCUUUCAUCUUGAUACAGUUCUUCCAUGAUUGGGUCUUCUUAGCUGACGGGUCUGGCGCCAAUACUAAACAACUAUCGAUAUCUCAUGGUGGUCAAAAAUUUAUGGUUUCUCCUGCAGGAAAUUGGUCUGGGCUUCAUUCUCACCGUAUGACCUACGAUUGGGAACAGCUGCCUUGUACAAGGGAAAAUACUUAUACCAUUCUAUGGUUCAAACAAGGUUUAAUAUCGUCAUCUCUCUACUAUAGGCAAGUCACUCAGAUUUACCAUCCCAUAUAGCAAGGCGAAUAAUAAGAGUAAGUCGGUAUGGUGAUCAAUCCAUCCCGCACCCAAAUCAUUACCUUGUAUAUGGUUUAGCGAAUCUCGCAUUAUAACACUCGGUCAUCCCCACAAGCAUUGCAGAAUUUCUCUUGUCGACAAACCAAGUUCGGAUAAAUCCAUUGAUUCUGUAAGCCAAACAAACAUCUAUCGUUUCUUCACAACUCUCAGGUUUUGCGUAAACUCCUAUGAGAUCGUCUGUUGAUAAAGUUGUAACUUCUUCCAGGGUUUUUCCUUCAGCAAGAGUGUGCUUGCUUCUUGGCAGGUCCUGGGGCCUGUGGGUUAUGAGCCAACCUCAUCACUUGUAAACCUUGAACUCUUCUUCGGGGCAACUGAUCAUUAUUCCAAUAUCCAUCUUCCUAGCAUUCUUAAAUCCAUCCAAUUGUACUGUAUCGCUUCCUUCUAUUGGUACCAAACUAAGAUGUGAUUACUCAGACUCAUCAUGGAGUUACAAUUGCUCCAUCUACCAACAUUAUACCUCCUUUAUAAGCAAUGGUACUUCAUCCCUUCAUAUUCUUGGGGCAUCCCACAUACCGAGAUAAAAAUUGCACUUAUUUUGUCUGAAGUCCACUCCGUGGAAUGUCCUUAUCUUUUCCAGGGGUCAAGUAUCCUCACAGGGUACUACCACCCUUGAAAUGCUCAAAUUCUUCCAUAGACCAUAUUUCUCAUAUCCUCGAAAAUGGUCAAAACCUUCCUUCAUAGAGUCACUACUAAAAAAUCCAAAUCAGUACCAAUGCGAUUGAUUCUCAAAUUGUUACAAUCUCCGGCAUUUCCAUUACAUGCCUCAACUCAACACUUCAAUAUAAAAGAAUUGUUCACACUACUACUACUAUUUUUUUUGCAAACUCAACAAUUUAGCACAAGCCUCCUUCUCUUUGGGACAAUCUCUGGCAAAGUGCCAUGCUUCAUUACAGCAGAAACAUAUUACUUCUGACAAGUCUCGUGGUUUCCUUGUGAUUUCAUAGCCUCCUUGGGUCCUCGGCUUCCUUUUUGGGCAACCGCUGAAGUAGUGCCCUGAAUCUUUGCACCUGAAACAGGUGAUAUGACUUAGGUCUUUCCUGGAAUCCAAUCUAUUUCUCUUCCUGGACUUUUCCGUACCAAUUAGGGCUUCUAUUUCCUGUGGGUCAUAAUCUACUUCCUCUGUCAGGAAUUCUACUAGAUCUCCCUUCAGACAAUUCUGGGAGAUGUGUCCUUCCUCUGUCCUCGUCGCCGUCGCCCCGUGCCCCCUGCCCCGACGCCGGCCGCCCCGACGCCGCCCCGCGCCCCCGGCCUGCCUCGAUCACGUCAUCGCCGCUCCGGCCCCUGCUCCGUUCCCGAGCCCCUGCCCCGGCCCACCCCCACCCAGGCCCGCCUGUCGGGGGAAACGACACCAAUGGGAUCACAAGAAUCCCUACUACGGUUGCCGGGGCGCAGGGUUGCAAGAAGAGCAAGAUCAGUAGCCAGAACAAGGAGCGUUUACCCAGGUUCGGGCCGCGAGGAUGCGUAAAACCUAGUCCUGCUUUGGUGGGUGUAUUUCAAAGAGCUCUUGAGCUCUCGAACUAGCUGUGGUGAGUGCGUGGUUCGAAAGAGCCGAAUACUUCUCCAGUAUGCCAUGGGCCUCCUUUUAUACUCGAAAGGGGCUGCCAUAGUGGCACACAUGAGGUGGAAAGGCGCAUAGUGCCCUGAGCUUAUCGCUUGUAUUACAGGACAAGAUGCAUUUAAUGCGUAGCUUAGGUGUCCCCCUGCUUUAUCGGGGACGGGGCGAGGCCCGUCCCGUUCGCCGCCGCUCCUCCUUGCUUCGACACGCGCCUUGGCCAGCGAUGCGUGCGGCGCCAUGUAGGCAGGCAAGCAGCUGAGGUGGCAUGGUGGUGGAGCCUUCACGAAGAUAUGCAUGCCGCCACGCAGGCGCUCGAUGAGUUGGCCUGGGGGCUGCAUGUUGCCACGCAGGUGCCGCCCAGCUGGUUGGGCUGGCAGCUGCAUGUGAACGACGGUGGAAGCUUGGUUGGCGUGGGCCUGGCGGUGGCCCUGCUGGCGUUCUUGGUCAGGGCCUUGCCGGGUGGCCUGGCAAGGGUCUUGCCGUGUGGCCCGGCAAGGGUCUUGCCGUGGCGCGCUGUUGUCCCCGGCAAGGGCCUUGCCGGGGGUCUGCUGGCCUUCCUCGGCAAGGAUCUUGCCGAGGAUCGUCGUCUUCUAAUCCUCAUCUGAUCUUGAAUAUGUCUUCACAAAGAUGCAUGCCACCACAGAGGUGCCUUCACGAGCCCUGGCCCCACGUGGAUGAUGGCAUUGGGGACCGUGGGCUCAAGGGUGGCUCGCUCUGUUGGUGUGGGGCGAGCUGCCCCGACAAGGGUCUUGCUGGGGCUGCUGAGGCUUCCCCGGCAAGGGUCUUGCCGGAGGAGCCUGCUUCGUCCCUCUGCUCCUUGUGGUCUCGGCCUUGGCGUUGCUCUGAUUAUCUUGGGCUUCGGUCUUACCUUGGCUCACCUCCCCUCUUCUGCUUGGUGUGACCAUGGGCGCGGCUCCGACUGCCCGUGCACAGGUAAAGGGGUACAAAAGCGUGCCCCUCUUUUUGUACACCAACAGGAGCCCCCAGGACUGGGCCACACAUAAGCUCGACACGUUGUUGGGCCAGGCCCAAAACGGUGCGCGGGCAGGCGGGGCGGUUUUUACCGUGGUAAGACUUUUCGCGCGCUGCGCUUCCCAUGACCCGCGUGCGUCGCGUGGCGUGGAGGGGUGUGCGUGACGUGGGCGGCAUGCGUGGAGCGGUUUCUGCACGCAUGCGUCACAUCGCAGUAAAUGGGCAGCGCGACCCACGGCUUCCCCAUAAAAAGGGAUAACCGCGGGCGCACUGUUCCUUUUACCCUUCGCGCAACCCCAAUCUCGGAAACCUCCGCUUGCUUCCUCUUCUUCUCCAAGCUUCGUUCCUGCUCGCUGCCGUUGUGCUUCCGCUGCCCUUUAUCCUGCCCUCCUCCCUCAGCCGCCAUGGCGCCAAAAUCCACCAAGGGCAAGGGAGUGGCCAAGGACGCUGGAACCGUGGAGCCACCGGAGAGUGUGCUGGCGGUGCAGCGGACGCAAUCCGCCUUCUUCCCCUCGACAGUUGAUGUGUUCGAGCUUCGGGACUCCUUCAGGCCCCUGUGGGGAGNNNNNNNNNNNNNNNNNNNNNNNNNNNNNNNNNNNNNNNNNNNNNNNNNNNNNNNNNNNNNNNNNNNNNNNNNNNNNNNNNNNNNNNNNNNNNNNNNNNNNNNNNNNNNNNNNNNNNNNNNNNNNNNNNNNNNNNNNNNNNNNNNNNNNNNNNNNNNNNNNNNNNNNNNNNNNNNNNNNNNNNNNNNNNNNNNNNNNNNNNNNNNNNNNNNNNNNNNNNNNNNNNNNNNNNNNNNNNNNNNNNNNNNNNNNNNNNNNNNNNNNNNNNNNNNNNNNNNNNNNNNNNNNNNCGCGUCAUCCCUGCCGACUGCGCCGAGGCUGCCCCAAAUCGGUACCCCUUCUUUGUCGAUUAUUUUUCCUGUGGGCUCUGUCCUCCCUUCUCCGAUUUCUUCAGCGACGUCAUGCAUACCUUUGGCUUCUGCCUCCUGGAUUUUACUCCGAAUGCGGUGGCGUGCAUGGCCCUUUUCGCGCAUCUCUACGAGGGCUUCGGCGGGGUGCACCCCAACACGGCGCUCUUUCGCCAUUACUUUUCCCCUCGGAUCCAACCAGGGGGCGCCAUCUCCGGUUGCAUCACCUGGGUCUCAAGAUCCAAGGGAGCGUAUCCGGAGGGCGCCAUGAAGGAGAGGUGGGAAGAAUGGCGGGGCCGGUGGUGCUGGAUUGAGGAGAAGGACCCGCCGGCGUUCUGCGAAGUUUGCCGGGCGUCGCCGGUCCGCAGAAGCGAUUGGAGCGACGUCGAUGCUGACGACGAGAAGCUCACGGUCGCCACCACCAGGAUCCUCCAGCUCACCGAGGCAGGCCUCACCCUUGAGAUGAUCGGGGCGGACUUCAUUUGCCGCCGGAUCGCUCCACAGCAUAACAAGGGGAGGCCAGCAUGGCUCUUCACGAACCCCGCCGACAUCAUGCGGCUUCGUCCCGGCCUCGACCACAAUUUCACGGUGAUGGGGCAUGCCCAUUUCUGCCAGCGGCUCUUCCAGCUUGACAUGGGCCGUGACGGCGAGGUCGAGCGGACCGGCAAGGUCGCGAGGGCCGCCGCGAAGGCCGGCAAGGUCCUCAAGGGGCCUCUGUUCAAGCUGCCGGCGGGGGUGGUCCCAUUGUGCAAUAACUCGCGCCGGUCCGAUAUCAUUGCCAUGAUGCCAGACUGCAACGCGCAUGGCCCUGACCCGAGCUAGAAGGAGCCGGAGGAUGCCGAGGUGCAGCAGUUCUUUGAUACUCUGUACGAGGGGUACGUCAAUGCCGAUGCCGAGCGGCUGCUUGUCCAGGACACCACCCAGGCGGAACUGGACUACAUCGCCACCAGGGCGAGGGAGGCACAGCUUGCCGAGGAGGCCGGCAGUGCUGGCGGUGUGGAGGACAAGGCCGCGACGGCCGUGGAGGAGGAGGAGCUCACCCGGUGGGCGGCGGCCGCCGGGGAAGCCAGCAGCGCGGGCACCGAGGCUCCUCUGGUUGAAGAUGUGGUCGACGAGUCGUCGGAGAAGGAGGCCGGGACCGCCGGCCCGACGCCAGCUAUGGGAAGAGGGUGAGUCCUGCGGCGGGCCAGUUCCGGCGAGCCGGUCCGGCCCGACAGGGCUGCGCGGCCGCAGCUGACCUUGGAGGGGUCCGGGCGCCACACGAUGGCAGCGGCGGCAAAGAAGCCGGCGAAGGCCGCGGUGAGGAAGAAGACAGCCGCCCCUUCUUCGUCCAUGCGUUUCCAGACACUACCUCUUUCCCCCCUCUGGCGGAUGUUGACACGGAGGUUACUUUCGAUUAUGUGUCCCUCAGCACGAGGAGGAAGAGGAAAACGGCAGAGGAGGAGGCGGACGACGAGUAAGUAUCUGGUUCCUUUUUGUUAUCUCUGCCUCCUCAAUCUGUGCUGCUCGUCUUGACUUGUCUUCGCCUUUGCAGGGACGUGAAGAUGCUGGCCCAGAGAGUGAAGAGGGCCAAGGUCUCGGCGGGUGGCCAGCCCCCGGUUGGUAGUUCGAGGGUGCCACUAGUGGUGUUGAGCAGCCCGAACAGCAGCCUCCGGCAUAGCCCCCAGUAUAAGUUCAUCAUUCUUCCCCCGUUGACAUGUGUCAGGGGCACGAUACUUUGGUGCUGACCUUGCCAGGUAUGCUGGAGGAGAGCAGCAGGAGGAGGAGCCGCAGAGGGCUACGCCUAACACGCCGCCCCCAUCGACCACGCCACCCCGAGGGGCGUCCCCGGCAAGGGCGCCAAGCACCGAGCCCACGCACAUGGAGGAGGAGGAGAACUUGGGCGCCGGCGGCUUUGCCUCGACGCCAAAUGUUGGCGGGGAGGGGACUUCCGUUUCCCAGCCUGGUACUGGCACAGGUAAGUCGUUCACCGUUCGUCCCUGUUUCUUUUUCUUUCUGGCUCUUGGUCCUGGCCUUGCCUCACCCCCUUCUUCGGCGUCCAGAUUCCUCCUCGGUGAACCCAGAUGACAUGGGCGCCGUCAUCGAGGACGUCGCCAAGGCCGCCGAGGCGGACGCCGAGAAGAUCGCCGCCGAAGAGGCCGCCAAGGGGCCUACCGGGGAGGCCGGCAAGGCUGCCACCGAGGAGACCGGCAUCGGGCCUGCCGGAGAGGCCGGCGGGGCCGCUGCCGAGGAGGAGGAGGUGGUGGCUGAUGACUAGCCUUCCUCUUCUGCUGCUUCCUGCUCCGGCAAGUACCUGAGGGUGAGCGACGACUUGUUUGUCCACCUUCCAGGCGCGUCGAGCACCAGGACACCCGUUGAGGGAGAGGUGUUCGACGACGAAGUGCUUGCCGCCGCCGGGCUUGAAGUCGUCGAUGAGCCGAUCAUUGGUGGCGACGGUUCGCAGGAAGUGCGGCUCCUCCACGCCAUGGGCGCCAGCUUCCGGAGGCUCCAGGCGCUCCACUGCGCCCGCCUAGACAAGGCUAAGUCCAGGACGGCGGUGGUGGAGAAGGCGGAGGCGGACCUCCAGAAGCGCGUUGCCGAGACGCAGGACUGGUUCCGCGAGGCCCACAAGGAGCUCAAGGCUGGUCAGGGCGAGCUGGCCAAGCGCGACGUGGAGCUCACCAUGAAGCUCGCCGACGUCGAGAAAGCUCAAGAGACGGCGAGGAACUUGGGCGCGGCCGCCGAAGCCGCCCGGACCCAUGACGAGGCCGUGCUGAACUCCCAGGAGGAGGACCUCGCUGCACGCGAGGAGAAGCUUGCCGCCAUGCUUCGCGGCAAGGAUGCAGAGGUGGAGAAGCUUGUCUUGCAGCGGACCAGUGAGCUGGAGUAGAGGCACAAAGAGGCACUCAAUGCCCAGGCCCAGGUUCACGCCGGCAAGGUGGAGGAGCUGGAGGCGGAGCGCAACAGGCUGAAGGAGCAGGCCCUGAAGCUGUCCCAGGAGAAGGACACGCUUAACAGUGCCCUGACAGAGGCGCAGGGCGCGGUCGUCAGCAAGGCUGGGGAGCUCUCCGAGGCCAACAACUCCAUCAAAGACCUCAAGCUGAAGCUGGAGGGUCUCGAGAAGGUGCUGUCGGAUGCCAAAACCCGAGAGGGGACCCUGGCCAAGGAGCUGGAGGCCGAGAAGCAGUUGCGGAAGAACGAGGGCCUCAACUUCGCGGAUCACGUGGAGGGCAAGAACCGUUGGCUCGAUCGCCUCGCCACUGUCACCAACCAGGCCGCCGCGCAGCUGGCCAUCAUGGGGAUGCCGGAUAUGAGGUAUGUCCCGGAGCGGAGCGUGAGCGCCAAUUGAUCAGCCUGACCAUGUUCUUUGAGAAGGUCGUCGGCGCUCUGGAGCGGCUUCACGCCAACCGGGCAGCCUCACUGGCCGACGAGUCCCGGAGGCUUUGCCAGGGUGCCAUGACCAAGGUUCUCACCAAGGUGGCACACUGGUACCCCGACCUCGACUUCGACGCCGCGCUGGAGAGCUUGCCGGAGGGUACUGACCUCGCGCCGCUCAGGGAGCGCAUCAAGCCCAUCAUCAACCGAGUCGGCGAAAUUCAGAGGGUGGAGGGCCAGCGCCGGGAUUAGGCACCCCGUUAUUUAUCGCCGCUGCAGGUUCACAACCAAGACAAUCGCUUUCUCUAGUUAGAACCGCAGCAACAAUUCGAUGUAAUAUAACUCUGCAGCACUUUCAGUAUCAUGCAUGUUAUUUUCCUGUUUGAUUUUCCUUUGUAUGUCCACCCUACGCUAACUGGUAGGUUUGCGGGCGCGUAAACCCAGGGCGGCGUCUUGGGGACGGAUCCCCAUUGGCCUGCCGGGUGUGCUUGCUGCCGGGCAAACCACCUUGCCGUCCUUAGCGCGGCCGCCCGAACUGUCGAGCUUGACUCGAGUCAGAAUCGAGAGCGUUGCCAGGUGCGGAAGGCUACCCCGCCAUUCUCGACGCUUCCACUUGAGCUGUUGAGCGGACUCGAAAGAGAACAAGGGCGUUGCCAAUUGUGGGAGGCCCCUUUGCGUGCAGGUCUCUCAUACAUAGGCAAAAUCUCCGAGGACGAUAACCAUAUAUAUAUAGGAGGAAAUAACUCAGAGCUCUGAAUGACUUAGCUUUUCUGUUGCCGCGCCGGCGUCGUUCCUCCGGCUGCCUUCUUCUCAGGAGCCAAGGGCGAUGAAGAACCGCUAGGUUAGCUACUAGGCCAGAUUCUCACAAUCGCGCCCCCUACCUGGCGCGCCAAAGAUGUCGGGGGAAACGACACCUAUGGGAUCACAAGAAUCCCUACUACGGUUGUCGGGGCAUAGGGUUGCAAGAAGAGCAGGAUCAGUAGCCAGCACAAGGAGCGUUUACCCAGGUUCGGGCCGCGAGGAUGCGUAAAAUCCUAGUCCUGCUUUGGUGGGUGUAUUUCAGAGAGUUCUUGAGCUCUCGAACUAGCUGUGGGAGUGCGUGGUUCGAAAGAGCCGAAUCCUUCUCCAGUAUGCCAUGGGCCUCCUUUUAUAGUCGAAAGGGGCUGCCACAGUGGCACACAGGAGGUGGAAAGGCGCACAGUGCCCUAAGCUUAUCGCUCGUAUUACAGGACAAGACGCAUUUAAUGUGUAGCUUAGGUGUGCCCCAUGCUUUAUCGGGGACGGGGGCGAGGCCCGUCCCGUCCGCCGCCGCUCCUCCUUGCUUCGACACGCGCCUUGGCCAGCGAUGCUUGCGGCUCCAUGUAGGUAGGCAAGCAGCUGAGGUGGCGCGGUGGUGGAGCCUUCACGAAGAUCUGCAUGCCGCCACGUAGGCGCUCGAUGAGUUGGCCUGGGGGCUGCAUGUUGCCACGCAGGUGCCCGCCCAGCUGGUUGGGCUGGCAGCUGCAUGUGAACGGCGGUGGAAGCUUCGUUGGUGUGGGCCUGGCGGUGGCCCUGCUGGCGUUCUUGGUGAGGGCCUGCCGGGUGGCCUGGCAAGGGUCUUGCCGUGUGGCCCGGCAAGGGUCUUGCCGUGGCGCGCUGUCGUCCCCGGCAAGGGCCUUGCCGAGGGUCUGGUGGCCUUCCUCGGCAAGGAUCUUGCCGAGGAUCGUCGUCUUCUAAUCCUCAUCUGAUCUUGAAUAUGUCUUCACAAAGAUCUGCAUGCCACCACAGAGGUGCCUUCCCGAGCCCUGGCCCCACGUGGAUGAUGGCGUUGGGGACCUUGGGCUCAAGGGUGGCUCGCUCUGUUGGUGUGGGGCGAGCUGCCCCGGCAAGGGUUUUGCCUGGGCUGCUGAGGCUGCCCCGGCAAGGGUCUUGCCGGGGGAGCCUGCUUCGUCCCUCUGCUCCUUGUGGUCUCGGCCUUGGCGUUGCUCUGAUUAUCUUGGGCUUCGGUCUUACCUUGGCUCACCUCCCCUGUUCUGCUUGGUGUGACCGUGGGCGCGACUCUGACUGCCCGUGCACAGGUAAAGGGGUACAAAAGCGUGCCCCUCUUUUUGUACACCGACACCGCCUCCGCGUGCCGGCGCAGCCAUCUCUGUCGCCGUCGCCAGCCGCCAUCGCCGUCGCCAGCCGCCCCCGCUGUGAGCCGCCGCGCCGCCCCGGCUCAUAGCAUUCUUUUUAUAUGUUCAUAGCAUUUUUUUAAUAUAUAUGUAUUUUCUUUUUCAUAUAUGCGGCUAUGUAUUUUUUUUGUUCAUAUAUGUUCAUAUGGAUGGAUGUAUAUAUAUAUAUGAUGUUCAUAGAAUAGAUUUUUUGUUCAUAGAAAUUAGUUAAAAUGAGGGGGACGUCGGACAUGACAUUAGGGGGGAUGUCGGACGUCAGACAUGUCAUGAGGGGUGAGCGUCGUUGUUGUCUACCCCCUCCCCGAUAACUUUGACAUGAGGGGGGACGUCGGACAUGUCAUGAGGGGUGAGCGUCGUUGUCGUCUACCCCCUCCCUGAUAACUUCGACAUGAGGGGGGACGUCGGAAGGAGAAGAAGAAGGAGAAGAAGAGGAGAGGAAGAAGAGGAUAAAAAAAUAAGAAGAGGAAGAAGAAGAAAAAAAAGAGGAGAAGAAGAAGGAAUAGAGGAGAAGAAGAAAAAAAAGAGGAGAAGAAGAAGGAAUAGAGGAGAAGAAGAAAAAUAGAAUUCUAUUUUUCUUCUUCUCCUCUAUUCCUUCUUCUUCUCCUCUUUUUUUCUUCUUCUUAUUCCUCUUCUUAUUUUUUAUGGGGAACGAGGGUGUCGAGGAUCGCCGAGCGGUCGAGGGUCGGGAACUAGGGUAGAGGGUCGAGGGUCGCCGAGGGGUCGAGGGUCGAGGUUUGUGGAUUUUUUUUCAUAGAAAUUAGUGUGAUAUUUUUGUUCAUGAUGAUCUUGCUCGAUGAAUUUUUUAUGUUAUAACUCAUAUUAAGUUUGUUCGAUGGUGAUUUUUUUGUUCGUAGAAUUUACUAAGUUAAAAUGUUCUCGUGUUGGGGGGCAGGAGUCCUCGAAACAUAUCAAGUGCACUUUAUAAAUUAUUAUUUUUUAUCGGGAACGAGGGUGUCGAGGAUCGCCGAGCGGUCGCGGGUCGGGCACUAGGGUAGAGGUUCAAGGGUCGCCGAGGGGUCGAGGAUCACCGAGGGGUCGAGAGGGGGACGUUGAUCAACCCCCUCUCGCUCGACCAACUCUCGAGGACACCCAAACCCUAGAAAAAAAACGUUGUCGAUCUCCUACCCCCUCCCGCCCCUACCUGACAAACUCUCUCGAGAUUUAUAAGAGAUUUAUCAAGAAUGCCCCCAUUAUGGAUGUGCAUAAUUAAGUUGAUCCAUAUUUUUCCUGAUCUCAUCUACGCUUCUAUAUGUGCACGUUCUCUUGUGUCAAAGUAUUGAAGAAAUCCAUGGUUUCAUAAUUAGCCGGAAGUAACAGGCGCAUGAUGGUAUGAAGCUCUCCAAAAUUAUUUUGGAAAGGAGUCCUGAUAGGAUAAUUCACGUUUUGGUACGAAGUUCAGCAAAGGCCUUCCAAAUAGCGAUAUUCGAAAGGCUAUUGCUGAACUUCGCACCAAAAAGCAAAUUACCUAUCAGGACUCCGUUCCAGAUUAACUUUGGAGAGCUUCAUACCAUUCAUGCGCCUGUUACUUCUGGCUAUUGAUGAAGCCAUGGUUUUCUUGAAUCCUUUGACACUAGAAAACAUGGCAUAUAGAAGGGUAGAUGAGAUCAGGAAAAAUAGGGACCAUUUUCUACACAUCCAGAAUGGCGCCAUUUUGUUAAAUCCCUUGUUUGACAUUCAUGAGAGAGGCGGUCCGGACGUCAGACAUUCAGGAGAGAGGCGGUCCGGUCUAGAAGCGUUGCCGAGGCCACCCCAAACCCUAGAAGCGUCAAGGCCACCCAAAUUUACUAAGUUAAAAGAGCAUUGUCGAGGCCGCCCCAAACCCUAGAAGCGUUGUCGAGGCCACCCCAAACCGUAGAAGCGUCGAGACCACUAAUUAAUAUUCCUUGUUGUGAUUAGCUAGCUAGGUGUCUAUCUUUGCCACUAAUAUAUCCAUCUCUCAUGUUUGUAUAUUAAUUGCCAUGUUGUAAUAUUUGCAGAAACUAUGGAGCAAAGAGAAUUGGAAACAGAGCAGUUGUUGGGGGACAUAAUCCUCGGCGGAGGUGAUGUCUUGUCGUAUCUCAACGACACCGAUGGUAUGGAACGAGAGGGUGAAGGCUCCGGUGAUCGAACAAUGGAGGAGGAAGGACAUGAUCAUGAUGGCUCCGGUGACCGAAUGCCGGUGGAAGAAGGAAGACCGUGAUGACGGCUCUGGUGACCGAACGGAGGAGGGAGCUGUUGCAAAGUCCGGUGAGGUAUAUAUAUUAGUUAAGCCUGUGCUGACUAGCUAAUUGAUGCAUUAAUUGUUUUGGUAUGUACAUAUAUUAACUCUUCUUCCUUCUUUUAUAGCCCUCCGGAUCGAGCCCAACUUCGGUAACAAGACGAGGCCCGAAGAAAAGGUUGCGCUAGGAUGAAAGGUUCACGAUCACAGCAAUCGCGAACGAUGGCCAACGGAUUGAACCCAGCGGACCAAGGAUGCAUUUUCUGCUCAGUGCGGGGCUAUUGUUAGGGACAUGAUCCCAAUCAGCAUCCAGCUAUGGAAUAAUCCUAAGAACGAAGACCCUCAAGUUUCUUAUGUCACUGAUAGACAGAAAGAUGAUCUUUGGACCUCGCUGAAGGCAAAUUUCACCCUACCGCUAGAGGAGGAUCCGGAUAAGCCAGUUAUAGAGCCAUUGGUCAAGGCGUGUGCUCUUAAGAAGAUGGCCGAUCUAUUCAGGAGGUGGAAGAAUGAGUUAAAAUCAACGUAUGUCGACAAAGGGAAGACUCCAGAAUUCACCGGCUGAUUUGAGAAGAUAAGAGAUCACUGGCCCGCAUUUGUGGCCUACAAGACAUCGGACAGGAGUAAGAAGAUGUCAGAGACAAACAAGAACAAUGUUGCAAAGAAGAAGCUUCACCAUCGCACGGGGUCAGGUGGCUACCUCAAAGCCCGGCCGCUAUGGGACAAAGCUGAGAAUGACCUGCUUGCUAAAGGGGUCGAACCAGAGACAUUGAACUGGCCAGACCGUUCAACGACUUGGUUCUUCGGGGUUGGGGGAACCUUGGACCCUGAAACAGGGAAGUGCGUUUGGACGGACGAGCAACUUGCAAUACCAGUCAAGAAGCUUCAGAAGUGUAUCGCCGCAGUGCAGCAAGGGACGUUCAUUCCCGACAGAGAGAAUGACGAGCUAACUGAGGCCCUCGGGAAUCCUGAGCACCCUGGACGAACACGAAGCACGCCAGGUUCCGUUGCGUGGAAGGUUGGGUUUCCCGGCGCAGGCGGUUACAUAAGCCGGGAGAGGAAGAGUAAACUGGAGCUCAGUGAAAUGCAGAAGCUGAAUGCAAGAGUAUAAAAGCUAGAGGAACAAGUUGAGAGCCAGCGAGCUGCCGGAGCUACCCGAGAAGCUACCCCGCCAUCUCAGCGGAGAAGCAGCGUGGCUUCCACCAAGCUCGUUCAGCAGCCUGACUUCACGGCUCCUAGCUACCCCGUGGAUGCUAUCACGGAGGCUCAACAUUGCCAGCUUAUGACGCAAUGGCAGAACCUCAAAGUCAAGGAAGCUGUCGGCUCUGUUGCACCUCCUCAACCCGACGGAACUUUUCACUGCCGUCCGAUUCCACAUGGCUAUGCUGUUGUGAUGGUGGUGAAGUAACGGAGGGAUUUGAGGAGCUCGAGCUAGACCACCCUACAGGUGAAGGGGAGACUCAGCUGGGUCUUGUUCUGAAGACUCCAUGUCUAUGGCGGAAGGAGCACAUCAAGCUUCCGAACUGGAUGCCUCCACCUCCUCCUCCUCCUCUGGCGAGUCAGGGCACUCCUCCUCCUCCUCCUCCUCCUCCUCCUCCUCCGGCGAGUGAUCAGGGCACUCCGCCUCCUUCUCCGGCUGCUCCAGCGCGUGAGGCCGGCACUCCGCCUCCUCCUUCACCUCCUCCGGUGUGUCGGAGCAAUCCGCCUCCUCCUUCGCCUCCUUCGGCGCCUCGGAGCAGUCUGACUCCUCCUUCGCCUCCUCCGGCGCAUCAGAGCAGUCCGCCUCCUCCUCCGCCUCGUCAGUAAUGGCGAAAGACAGACGCCGCCCCUCUGGCUGCUCCGGCGCGUCGGAGCACUCCGCCUCGUAAGCAACGGCGGAAGAGAGACGCCGCCACUCCGGCGGCUAGCAGUACAGCCAGAUGCGGGAGGCAAUUUAGAUAUGGUCCAUCUCUCAAGCCUCUGGAAAAGUUACCAUACGAGAGGACCGAUGAGGAAAACGCGGAGAUCUCUCAAACCCAAGUGAGGGAAUUUUUUGCAAAGAAACCUCCACCUCCGAAGGAGACAAUAGAUCCGGUGAAAUUGAAGCACACUCUCGAUGCCCUGAAGUGACCACCGCUGCCUUCGCCGGAUGACAACUAUGUCUGUGCUCUUAAGAAGACAUAUGAAGAUGCGCGACAGUCGGGAACUACUUGCAGUGAUAAAAGGUUAGAAGAACGAAGAAGUGGGAAAAAUUCCCCAACUCGGCGAACCAAUCAUAGCGAUAUCAUCGCUAAUCUGCCGGGGAUGGUGCUCGGUACCAAUCCUGCUGAUUACCUGAGCGAUGAUGUACACUUUGAUACAUUGGAGGUGGAUGAAUUCAGAUAGCAGUACGGGCAGCCUCUCAUCAAACCUGAUCAUCCUCUUCUAACAACGAUGAUGCGAAGAUUCCAUGAAUGGUACCUGAAAACCUGCAGCGAGUCUGGGAAGGAUGUUUUGACGAUGAGAAUUAAAGAGGAGCACGACCUCGUUGGAACUGGUCUAUUUUCUAUUACAUGUGAGGAGUUAUUCUAGUUAUACAAUAAAAAGGCCCUCGACAAAACACUCAUGACUUGCUACUGUCUGUAAGUACUACUUCUGUAAUUAAGUCCCUCUCUCUAUAUAUAGUUCAACUCUUUCAUUGCAUGUAUAUAUAAUUAUCCUCACUAUUAUGCAGAUUGAAGAUCGUCGAAUGCAGGAAAGCACAAAUCUGGGACAUUGGGUUCAUUAACCCAGAUAUCAUACAUAAAUGGACGGUUAAACACAAUGUCACAAAAAACGAGGACAACUUGCUACAAUCGUUGCUUAAAUAUCAACACAAAGAUAAAAUACUAUUUCCUUACAACUUCAAGUGAGUGUUAAUGUCUUAUGCAUAUUCGGUUUCCCAUAUUAUUACUCGAGGUUAUAGUAAUGUAAUUAAUGAGUUAUGCAUGCGUGUGCAGCUUCCACUUUAUUCUGCUAGAGAUCCAGCUUGAGCGGGGAGUAGUAACCGUCUUAGACUCGAGAUGAAACGAUCCCCAGGACUAAGCAAACAUGACUGCAAUGCUCCAGAAGUAAGUUCAAUCGAUCAUUAUCGCACCAUAUCGGCAGCUUUGUUCAUUUGAUCCUGAUAUCGAAUGAUUAUUUUCUUUGUCUGGCAGGGUUUGGAAAGAGUUCACCGUAAUUGUUCCGGCACUGCCGAAGGAGCUGCGAUUUACACACCCGAAAGUAAGUACUACUACCUAGUUCCACACAUCUCCCGUUGAUUCUUGUUUCAUCAAUACCAUUUAUAAUUCUUGAUUAUCAGUUUGAUUGAACUCUAUUUCUCGUAAAGUGGUUGUGGCAGGAGCCAGGAAUGAUUUUUGUGGAUACUACGUUUGCGAGUACAUCUACAACGCGACGAUCUCUAAUAAGUGGGGCUACUCUAAAAACCAAUAUGAUGUGCGUAAGCAAAAAUAUUCACAAUUUUAUUUUAUUACCAUCAUUUGUGUUGGGUUUCAUUCAUAUAAAAUGUAUUGACCCCCUUCUUCAAAUUAGAUCUGACAGAUCCAGGAUGAACUCCUACCACAUGAUCGCAUAAAAGCAAUUCAAGAGGAAUUGGCGGGAUUCUUUCUGGACCACGUCAUCAAUAAAGCCGGAGAAUACCAUGUGGAAAUUUAGAUAGACAUGAGAUGUUAGGGAUUGUAAGAGAUCUUAUAUUGUAUAUAUGUACCUAGUAGCAUCGGAUAGAUAUAGGAAAACUUGUUGUUCGACCAACAUCUCUCGGAGAAAGAGAGGUCACUCCUCUCUGUAUAUGUUCAUGACAAUCUUGUAAUUAAUGGUUCCUUCAUUUGCUUACUAGCUAGCGCGUCGAGUCCUCUCUAUACGUAUAGUAGCUAGCGUUGACCAAGCACGGAGAUAAGAGAGGACACUUCUCUCUAUUAGCUAGCUAACACCAUAAAUUAACCCCCCCCCCAAAACCCCCUAAACCCACCCCCUUUCAAAAAAAACAAAAACCUCAGCUCCUGCCAGCUGCUGACGCGUGGAUGCCUUUUGGUCCCGGUUGGUGUUACUAACCGGGACUAAAGGUCCUCCUGCCUGGGCGCCCCGCAGCAGCCACGUGGAGCCCCUUCUGUCCCGGUUUGUAAGCGAACCGGGACUAAAGGGUUUGCGCUUUAGUCCCGACCUUUUUGUCCCGGUUCCAGAACCGGGACUAAAGGCCCUCUGGAACCGGGACAAAUGGGCUGUUUUCUACUAGUGUUCCCCGCUCACAAAUGAUUUCUUUGAUCUCACGUGAGGACAGUGCAUGCAUGUAACUUCUUAGAUUGUGGAAAGUGGAGGGGUCAACGCAAGAUGACUUCGAUUUGGUGGUACUUCUCGAGUAUCCGGUCUCAAGCUGUGGGUGAAAACCCUUGGUCUGACCCUAGUUGGUCAUACCUGGCAAUGGCAGUGUUUUGAUGUCAUUACCUUCUUGUAGGCAUGGUUUGGAGUUUGCUCAGACUUGAUCUUUAGGGUUAAAACCCAUGAUCUGCCCUUCGGGUUGGAUCCCGCGACGGCGAAGCUUGAUCCCAGGAGCCCUCAGGCAUACGGGCGAUCGAACACAGAGGAUCACUCACUCACACACACAUAGAAAGCAACACCCAAGGAGAGGGAGCAGCCUAAGCCUCGGCCUGCCUUCCUUCCUCCUCCAUACAGCUCUAGGAGCAACUCUGUACUGAUACACAUCAACUACACUCGGCAGGACUUGGGGUGUUAUCUCUCCGGAGAGCCUCGAACCUGGGUAUGUCUUGCGUCCCGCGCUCGCUCAUGCCGACCUCGCCUCUAGAGCCCACCAGUGCCCUCGAGCCUCCUCCUAUCUUUAGCCAUCCCUUGGUAUCUGUCGUGCGCCCACCACGACACAAAUAUUAUGUGUACAUGCAGCUCCGGAGCAAUAGAGAAAUUGUUAGGUGGACAAGAACAGAACACAAUUACCCUCAAUCGUCAAGUCCUGCAAGAUAAUUGUUGAUGUGGAGAGCAGGGACAAAGUCAGGACUUUACAUUGAGGGGGGCAAGUAAGACUGGCUUGGUAUUAUGAGUUUAAUCAGGGUUCUAGAAGUGCUAAAAUAUCAUGAACAUGGUGUUCUAAUGAGUGGUGACAACAACACAAAAAAAUGAGUAGUAAUAUUAAGGAAAUUUGAACCUUGGGCAUGGGUUAGCCCCUACUCGCCCCCCCCCCCUGCCCCCCCCGUCCCUGGUGGAGAGAACAAGAGAGACAAUGAGAGAUGGAACUUACGAGUAAUAUAAUAAGAGUCGAGACACCCAACCUACUCUAUGAGUUAGUUUGUUCGUUUGACUCAAGAUGAUAGUGGACAAACAAUCAACAAUCGAUUCUAACGUUAUGAUGUUCAAGCUAGUCUUUAAUUUUUAGGGUGUGUUUGGUUGGAGGAAUACCACGGAUGGUUUGGGGUUAUCCUUGUUUUUUUUGGCUCAUCGGGUUGUUUGGUGAACACUUGUCACGCAUAGACUCAACAGUUUUAUUCAAAAAAGGAAAAGAGAUAGACUCAUUUUCUGAAAAUGCACGUCACUUCAUUAAGAGAGAAAGGUAAUUUGAUUACAAGAGGGUUGGAAUAGAGUUCUGAAGCCCCUAACGACACAACACCGCAUCCACAUAUACGAAAUGAACAUGUUGACUAUUCCCUAUCGCUCGGAGUUCUACGGAAGAAGAAGAAGAUAGAAGGUCGGUCUAUGUAAAAGUUACCCCUGCCUCGUCCAGACAGCCAACAUGGGACGCGAUCAUGUUCCAAGUUUUAUGGUCCUCCCCGUCAGACCUUCCUCUCCUCGCCGCUACCAAAUGCUGCCGUCGGGCAAAGCCUGAGCAGCCCAUGCAUGGUGGCGGCGGUCCUGUAGGUGGUUCCAUGACGGUCAUCGAUCCUCAGCAGUGACUCGAAGAGAAUAGUAGUAGCGACAAGAAAAGCACCGACAUGGCAACGAUCCGGGAGCAGCAUCAACGCUCAGCAUCGGUCCUACAAAUCACGCGUAGUGACAAGAAAUGCAGCAGCAUGGCAACAAUCGGGGAUCACCGGUAGCGACGCAUUGCACUUAGUUGUGGUUGUAUGUAUCGCGCGUCAGCAACAUCAAGGCACCUUUUGUUUUGUGCUCAUAGAGUAGUUGUGGCUAAGCGGCUCCUGGGGCAGUACACAGUCAUGGCUUGCUAGUGGCCACUGGUUGCGGGCGGCAUGAAGUCCGGAAGGCCAUGCUCGCGCCACUGCGGUGGCUGGCGGUAGACGGUCCCCACAUCCAGCCCGUGGGUUGCUCCUCUUGUGUGAUGUCAUAGUGGUGCGGUUUGGUCUCAGUGACAACGUGCAUAGCCAUGGUGGGUGGCAGGUGUGGCCUCUCAACUGUCGUCAUUGCCCUCCUCCACCCAGUCGUUCGGCGCGACUCCAAGUUGCUCGACAUUGGAUCUUAGCGGUACGACAACACAUCUAGCGACAAGAUAGAGCGGCAGGUCCGGACAACUGCGAGUUAAUUGCAAGAAACCACCACAUUUGCGGCAUCGUUUGCAGAAAACCACGAGGUCACUAAUUUUUUGCAAAUGCCACCGCGUAUUCGGUAAACCUUUUGCAGAAAGCGCCGAUCGCGUGCUUUGCCGCGUUUGAUCGCGUUUCUGACAGGUGGGCCCCGCUAGUCAGGUUCUAACUUGGGAAAAAAAUUGCCACGUGUGAGUGUUAACCAAGUCUUCUACCUUCUCCUCUCUUCCACUCUCACACACAUUACAACAACCAUGUUGUGUGCGUGAACUGGGAGGGGCAGGACCCGACGCCGUCGGCUGGGACGGGGAGAGCGCAAUCGUCGGCCGGCGAGCAGUCGCCGCUCAUGUGCGUGGUGCAGGAGGACCCUCCUCCCGCGAGCACGCACCCCGGCGAAGAGAAGGACGACCUAACAACUGCGGUGAGGCGGCCACCCUUCUCCCGCGUGAGCACGCGCACCGGCGAGGCGGCCACCCUUCUUCCGCGCGAGAACGUGCCCCGGCGAGGCGUUCUCCCUCCUCACGCGCGAGCAUGCGCCCCUGGCUUCCGGCAAGGCGACGUCCCUCGUCCCGCGAGCAUGCGCCCUGAUCCCGGUGAGCACGUGCCCCUGACCUCGCGCGCGAGCGCGCCCUUCAACGCCCGCCAUGGCUGCCCCUUGGCUAGCUGCAACGGCCGCCGUCGGCCAUCAGUGUCAAUUUGUUGUAUGUCAAUUUGUUGCCAAAUCAGCAUCUUACAACCCGAGCCUACUUGUCAGAAAGUGAUCAAACGGUCCAAAUACUCCGAUCAGUGAUUUUGCAAAAGGAUUACUAGAAGCGCGGUGAUUUUUCCUUUUGCAAAAAAUAGUGACCUCGUCGUUUUCUGCAAACGAUGCCCCAAAUGUGGUGGUUUUAUGCAAUUAACUCGGACAACUGCCAUCUACAUCCCCAUGAAGCACUCUUCCGCUCGAAAAUGCAUGUGUUAUGUGGUCUUGGGUUGCUGGCAAGGGUGGCGACACGUGGUAGUGUUUUCUCUACCAUCGGCUACCACUAGCGAGAUCGAUCCAGCGCUGCCAGGUCAUCCUAAACUAGGAUUAUGGCAAUGCCAGUGACAUUCCCCGCUCACAAAUGAUUUCUUUGAUCACACGUGAGGACCGUGCAUGCAUGUAACUGCUAAGAUUGUGGAAAGUGGAGGGGUCAACGCAAGAUGACUUCGAUUUGGUGGUACUUCUCGAGUACAUGGUCUCAAGCUCUGGGGUAAAAGCCCUAGGUCUGACCCUAGUUGGUCACACCUGGCAAUGACAGUGUUUUGACGUCAUUACCUUCUUGUAUGCAUGGUUUGGAGUUUGCUCAGACUUGAUCUUCAGGGUUAAAACCCAUGAUCUGCCCUUCGGGUUGGAUCCUGCGACAGCGGAGCUUGAGCAGCAUUGCUACCGAAGAACCUUUCUCGUCGUCCUUGAUGUCAAGAGACCAUAGAUGAUGUGGAUGGUCAUUUCACUAGUUCACCGAUCGUUUUUUGAUCGCUUGAGAGUUUUCUUUCCUUUUAUUCAUCUGCCUAGGCAUGGCUUCGGUCUUCGAUAUGUGUUGUGUGUGUGUGUGUGUGCGUGUGUGUGAAUUGAUGUUGAUUCUGUGCAUUCUAGUCAUGCAAAAGUUGGAUGUGUACUCAUUCCCCUUAAUACUUUAUUUUAAAUCUAUAAAGCCCACCCUUUAUCGACAAAAAAUCAUCUACACAGUUCUGCCGGCCGACUCAAUCACUUCAUGUAGAGUCAUCACAAUCCAAUGUGUUUCUUAUCCCUCCAACAAAAAAGAAAUUGUACUCAUCCAGAGAAACACUUGUCCCUUGCACCAAGCUCAUCCCACUUAGUCAAAGAAGGAAUUUGUAUGUUCCAUCCAUAAAAAAUAGUAGAUCACUGGAUGGCCACCCCGACCUACCAAUCCCUUGCUCUCUGACCAAAACGGACCCUAGAAAUGCUCCUCAGAAACAACAAGCACGUACGUACAACCAAAACAAACGACACACAAGGAUCGACAGUCAACAGACAAAUUGUUGCAGCGAGCUAACCCAGAUGUUGUCGUUGAAUUUUCAUAAUGGCAAGUUUGUGGUCAGAGAAGUGCAGCUGCUGCCGCAGCAUUUUGGUAGUACGUUGAUGAGAGCAGAGUUUCUGCUGGAUGGGCGUUGGAACUCUGUUGCGAAAGCUGGUCUUCGACAGUGGGCCCGUUCUGCUACAUAUGCACGACUAGUAGUCUGAUGAUGUACUCCAUGGCUUUUCUUGAGGGGGCAUGCGCAUGUGCAGCAUUUUGGUGUGCCAAACCUCCGGCGAUUGCGGUGCGGUCGGAUCCACAAGUCGUUAUUUGCUUCCGGCAAUCAGCACUGAAUUUCUUUUGACUAGAGUGUGGAGUACUUUGAAAGUUCUAACCCGUAAAGCACCAGAACAGAACAGCAAGCAUCUACUAAGAAAUAGAGUUAAUAAACGGUACAACUGUGAACAAGGCACACUCAAAUCAAAAGGUUAAGGCUCAAGCUAAUUAACUAAGUGGACGUAUGAUUGGUGCCCAAAGGGUAUUACACUCCCCUUUGACUAAACGUAAUACUGUUAGGCGCAGGAGUAGUACUAGGAAUAAGACUUCUCCUAAUUCUUCAGUAAAAAGUGAAGAAGGUAAGAGUAAUAUGCGGUACUAUACGGUCAGGGGAUAGAUCUUUUUCACAUACGGACCUACUCUACGUACAGGGCCAUGCUAUAGAAUUUGCUGAUGCACGUAUGUAUAUGCUACCUUGAGGAGAGGAAUUCAGGUUGAAUUGUCCAUGCUUGAUAUAGAUAUAUAAAUGUUUUGACCAUGACCACCAUGCAUGCCUCCAGUUUCUAAGGAUGAGCAUGGGCCAAAUAGUACCGCCGGAGACCCGGUCAGACGUCUGUAUGUCCCCGAAACUUGAAAAAACCAUUAUGAGAAAAAUCAGCAGGCAAGAUAGUCGGAUCAUCAUCUCGUUCAUGAUCAUGUACCGGCAGGCAGUAGGUAGGCUAACCUUGACAUUUGUUGGAUACGGAAACAGUGAUGCAAAAAAUAAUUAAGAAAAUCAUAAGCGUGUUAAUGUACUCUUCCUGUGCCAAAGUGUCGCCUUAAAGUCCAUGCGAGUGUUACAUUAGCACGCUGAUGAUUUUCUUGAUUAAAUUUGACCCAGAGAACUAUGUAGAGUAGUAAGCUAGCAAACACCGUCCGUAGCACAGGAAAGAAACAUGAGGAGACGGAGACAUGCUUGCACAUGUAUGCAAGCAUGAUUGCCAUGACUCUUACUUAACCGUGUCGAUGGCACAGUGUCGGCAUGCAGCUUUUUCUACCAAAACUGUACAUUUUUCACGAGCUACGUUACAUAUGCAUCUGGUGUGAAACGCGUAAUUCCAAAGCGCCGCGCCCGUUUGGAUCAACGCUCAAAGUCCACCGGAGUUGGUGAAGACGAUGGGGGCAUGAUGAUGCAAUCUAAUAGUAUAUGAUGGCAGACUAGUAGCUAGAAUAAUCAUGGCCACCGGCGUGAGCUUAGCCUUUUCUUCCUAUAAAUACCGGCCGCCCCGCGUUCCUCCACCACAUCCAGCAAACAAGCUCUCUCAAGGCACUAUCUAGCUGACUAGAAUAGACCGAUCAUGGCAGCGCGCGCCAUUGCUGUCCUCUCGCUCAUCCUCGCGCUGGUCGCCAUCGCCAGCGGAGGAGCCUCGGCGCAGCUGUCGUCGGGCUUCUACUCCCGCUCCUGCCCGGGCAUGCUCAAAGCCGUGCGCUCGGCGCUGCACCCGGCCAUCGCCAGGGAGCGCCGCGUGGGCGCCUCCAUCGUCCGCCUCUUCUUCCACGACUGCUUCGUCCAGGGCUGCGACGCCUCGCUGCUGCUGGACGACGCGCCGGGCCUGCGCGGCGAGAAGAACGCCACGCCCAACAAGAACUCCGCCAGGGGGUUCGAGGUAAUCGACGCCGUCAAGGCGGCCGUCGAGGGGUGUUGUCCCGGCGUCGUCUCGUGCGCCGACAUCCUCGCCAUCGCCGCCGAGGAGAGCGUUGUCUUCGUAAGUAUCCAUACAUUCAUAGUCAUGCUUAGGUAGUUAGUACUGUACGUACCCUUCAACAAAGUCUAACACGUACUACUGUGACAUCUGACAUGCGUUGUGUACGUGUAGCUGGGUGGCCCGAGCUGGGAGGUGAAGAUGGGGCGGAGAGACUCGACCACGGCGAGCUUCAACGGCGCCGAGAACAACAUCCCGCCGCCGACGUCGGGGCUCGCCAACCUUACGUCCCUCUUCGCCGCGCAGGGGCUCUCCCAGAAAGACAUGGUCGCACUCUCAGGUACGUACAUAUACAUGCAAAAUAAACCGUACGUACAUCGAUACAUAAUCCCAAAUCAACCACUGACAUCUUCCAUCAACCUUCUUCUACGUACUUUAUUUUCAUAUAAAUAAUUAGGCACUCUCAGGUAGUAUAAUUUUGUACUUCCUCUGUCCCAUAUUAAUUGUCACUGAAACGGAUGUAUCUUAACGUAUUUUGCUAGAUACAUCUGUUUGAGCGAUAAUUAAUGCGAGAGGGAGGGAGUAGUUUGCACGCCGAAGCAACAUAAUUUGUCAUAGCCAAGUAAUAUUUUCCUUUGCUGAAGAAGCAAGUUAAAAUUCUGUACUACUUUCUCAGACUGUUAAUUCCUCAAUGGACUGUUAAUUCCUCAAUGGAGUCGGUAGCUUUUUAGCCGCAAAACAGCUGGUAUCAACCAACGGGACUCAUAGCCACAUUUUGACUCCUAAGCUGCUCAAAAAUUCUACAUAAGACAAUUUCUCGGGAUUAAACAAAUAUAUUACUACUUUACAGGUGAUGAGUUACAAAGUUGAUCGAUGACUAAUUACCACUGACCUAACCUUUGGUAUGUCCGCUUAAUUUGUAAGACUGGACAACGUCAAAAAAAUUGUUCCUUGGUCACUUAAACAUGUAGUACUAAUUAGGAAAGUUGGUCAAUGGUUCCUACCGAUGGAAUGACAAAAAGAGUAGCUGGAAAAUAGGUAUAACUUGAGCUGACGGUAUAACUUGUGUUCCAGGAGCCCACACAAUCGGCCUAGCACGCUGCACAAACUUCCGGGACCACAUCUACAACGACACAAACAUCGACGCCGGCUUCGCCAGGAGCCGCCAGUCAGGCUGCCCUCGUGCUACCGGCUCAGGCGACAACAACCUGGCACCGCUAGACCUGCAAACCCCCACGGUCUUCGAGAACGAAUACUACAAAAACCUCGUCCAGAAGAGGGGCCUCCUGCACUCAGACCAGGAGCUCUUCAAUGGUGGCGCUGCCGACACGCUGGUCCGGGAGUAUGUCGGUAGCCAGAGUGCCUUCUUCAAGGACUUUGUGGAGGGAAU
This 96901-nucleotide long non-coding RNA is filed under the name Triticum aestivum (bread wheat). Its description in RNAcentral is "long non-coding RNA (TAES_LNC004209)". The record is from RNAcentral. Lineage: Eukaryota; Viridiplantae; Streptophyta; Magnoliopsida; Poales; Poaceae.